GAGGCAUAUGCUCAUAGAGUUUACAUCCAUAGGCAAAUGACACAACAUAUAUUAUUAUAUCUCAAUCAUGGCAGUACAUCAACCAGGCAGCAACAUGGCAUCCACCAUGAUAUCUUUUAUUGUAGCAACGAAAGAAAAUACACACAAGCACAUAAACAAACUGACACACGGGUUUGGAUACUCUCAAUGGGAUCCAGUUUUAUUGAGCACGAAGGCAAGACAUAACUUUGGCCUAUGAAAUUUCAGACCAUGCUUAUCCAUUAUUAGUCAUCAAGAUCAAGGGAUGCCAGGAGAGCAUCCCCCUUACAUAAACUAUCACAAGCAUCACCGCAAAGUUUCAUCUCUUCACUGUUUGUAGCUGGUGCCAAAAAAAACAUAGCAUGCGUCAAUUACUAACUUUUCAAUUAGUUUGUACAUACAAAUGAAAUAUAAAUAUAUUCAGAUGGAUUUAUUUACCUAUGUUGACCAUGACCUUGUCGUCACACACGGAAGCCCUACAUUCUAAGCUGCAAUUCUCAAUGGUGUUUAGUUCAUCUGCCAAAACGAAAUAGAUCUGUAUUAGCUAUCUUCACAACUACUUUUUGGGAUCACGGAAACAUUAUUCAUGUCAAAUAUGAUCGUACAAAUAUCAACUAAACAAAUUAAUGAUAGUUGAUAUUAUUUUAGUGGGUAAACUUGGGAAAAUUUUAAUUUGACCGUACUCUUUUAGGAUCAUGUCUACUUCAAAAAGGAGAUAGUAUAUACUUAUUUCGUCCCAAUGGGACAGGGAGUAGUAUAUACUCCGUCUCAUAUUAAUUAUUGCUCAAACAAAUGUAUUUAAGCAUUAGUGCAAGAUAGAUCCGAUUGAGCGGUAAUUAGUAUAUGAGAUGGAGGGAGUAUAAAUUAAAAGUAGUAGUGAGUUGAGUGUCUUUACCGGAGCUGCGUACAAAGGCCAAGUCAGCGGGGAGGUAACAGCCACAGAAGUUUGCGCACUGAAACACUAUACUAGGACCCAGAAGGCAAGAAUGGUAGCAGGCCCCUUUGAAGAUGCUGCCGCCGCCUAUAUAAAACAAUAAUCCCUGGUUAAUCUCUAAGGUCCAUUUAGAUGCAUGACAAAUGGGGAUAAGUUUAGUACCAUACUGCUAGAAUAAUGAGAGUGAGACCCCUUUACGAGGAAUGCUCUAUCACAUGCCAUUAGGAGCUUGAAAAGAGGAGUUGUACACGCGCUCUUCUCCUCCUCCGCACGCCUUCACUGCCUUCUUUUCUGUUGCUUUGUGACUACUGGGUUUAUCCUCCGCUUUAAUUUUCCCUAUCUCCCUCAGGGUAGAACGGGCUUUUUCAUACAAGCUGCAGAGCUUGAGGCCCGGCAGCAUGCUGGGGCGUUCGGCGAGGAGGAACACCAUGUAAUCUGACAUCGCCUUGAUUGCCUUACCAUGAUCUUAGAGUGCUUCUAGGACCCAAGUGUGGUUCCACGAGAGGAAAACAUCCGUAGCAAUGUGCCAGAUGAGGACGGCCUCUUGAAGCUCAGGAGGGAAUUCGCCUGACUGAUCCGUGGGCUUGAAGGCAGCAGUUUGCUUCUUGGGGUUGUCGAGCAUGGAACCAGUGUGGACAUUCCUCCAGAGAUAAGCUUGCUCAUAGGGUUAGAGAUAAGCUUGCUCAUAGGGUUCACGCGGGGCUUGAUCAUACCUCCAGUGAUCAUCGGUUUGUUGCUCGUAGGCUCUGGGCGAAGCCUUUGCAACUUCCUCGUCAAGGUGGUGCACUAGUGCAGAACCGGCCUUUAGUGCUGGUUCGUAACGGCCUUUAGUGCCGGUUUGCCAACCGGCACUAAAGAGUGGGGACUAAAGGUCCCCCUCCCUCUUUAGUACCGGUUCGUCACGAACCGGCGUUAAAAUGACACCACGUGGCACGAGCCAGGCCCUGUGAGCGUAGGACAUUAGUNNNNNNNNNNNNNNNNNNNNNNNNNNNNNNNNNNNNNNNNNNNNNNNNNNNNNNNNNNNNNNNNNNNNNNNNNNNNNNNNNNNNNNNNNNNNNNNNNNNNNNNNNNNNNNNNNNNNNNNNNNNNNNNNNNNNNNNNNNNNNNNNNNNNNNNNNNNNNNNNNNNNNNNNNNNNNNNNNNNNNNNNNNNNNNNNNNNNNNNNNNNNNNNNNNNNNNNNNNNNNNNNNNNNNNNNNNNNNNNNNNNNNNNNNNNNNNNNNNNNNNNNNNNNNNNNNNNNNNNNNNNNNNNNNNNNNNNNNNNNNNNNNNNNNNAUAUAUAUCAUCGAAUGUCUCACAACCAACACCAUUAAUUAUUCACACAUACACAUGUAUAUACAUAUACAAUUUCUCCUACAUGUUGCCUUGGUGCCUCCGGAGCACGAUGACAAGUGGUUCAUGGGGGCGGUAGCGGGUAAUAGUAUUCUCCUUUGGGAUCUAUGACCUGGUCGAGCAAAAAUCCGGCUAUUUCCUCUUGAAGUGCUAGUACGCGGUCCGAUGGUAAGAACUUAUCCCGCACCUCUCUGAACUGUUAAGAAAGAGAUCAAUAUGCAUGUGUAUUAGUUGUGUGACUAAAUAUCGAUAAUGGUGUGAAUAGUGUUCUGACAAACAUACCCACUCCUGUCUAUCAGAUCUGCUCCUUUCGGAUGCCAUCAUGUGAAUGUUCUCGUAAACGUAGAAUGCACACAGAUUAUUCCCCGACGCCUGCUUCAGGGCCUUUACGAGAAUGGAAUUGAAUCAGAUAAUGAUUAAUCAAGCAUGAUAAUUAAUUAAUGAUAUUGAAACAAGAAUUAAAGAGAUGGUAGCUAGCUAGUACUACUUAAUUACUUACCUUUGGUCGAUGCCAAAACUUUUUUGCCCAUUUGCCUGGAGUCACCUUGAUGAACUUUGCCCAUGCCCUGCCCGCCGGCAAAGAAAAUUAAUAAAGGGGUUAUUAAAUAGUUCAUAUCAGGAAAUGACGAACUAAUAAUAGGCCGAGAUAUAGUUAAUAAUGAUUGAAAUUAUCUGUUGACUAUCCCCUUCACGAUGGUGUAGUCUUUAUCUUCUUUAGUUAGUGAGUCCAGUAAUUCAACUUUUCCUUCCUCAACUUUAAUGUCUAACAAGAUCCAGUGCCAACUGCAUGUGCACACGUUUGCAUGUCUUAAUUAAGCAGGCAUGUGCAUAGAAUUAAUCAACUACCAUAAAACGUAUACACUUAAUUAUUAACAUCUAGCUAGCUAGUAAGCAAAAACAGAAUUUGUAGUGCAAGACAGUGUGACUCACGGGAAGUUGUAAGGAAGUAGUAUAUCUUCAUUGGUAUUGAGGCGCUUCAAGAACUUUAGCAUGCUUUCCUCUACACUUGCUUGAUAAACUGGAAGCUUCCAUGUGUACUCAUUAAUGGUAUUUGGGUCAAUGAACCCAAUGCCAUAGCGUCCAGAUUUUUUCAUUUCAUACAUCUUCAUCCUGUAUAUAAUACCACAGAAAAGAAUAUAGUGAGGAUAAUUACAUGUAAUGAUUGAUCAAAAUUAUCACUACAUAACUAGCUUGAGACUUAAAUUACAGAAAGAAAUCAUUUACACAUAAUAACAACUGACAAUAGACUUGUCGAGUGCGUCUUGAUUGUAUAACUUAAAUAGUUCUGAAUACUCAACGGCCAGAGCUUUCUCAAGGUAGUAAUGCUCACGCUUGACAUUUACCAUGAGGGACUCUCGAUUGGAAAUCUUGAUAAUGUUCAUGUACCAUUAAUGCAAUUCAUACAUUCUCGUUGGGAGGUCCUUGACCUUGUAUGGAUGGACCAAAGGUUGGCCCCGGACAUAUUUCUGUUUUAUUUCCGAUUCUCUAAGCGGAGACAUGGGCUCGAUUUCGAGGAGUUGUCCAACAGAGAUCUUGAGCAUUUCAGCCUGCAUUAUAUGCUCCUCUGUUAUUACCACAUCGCCCUGCUGGGGAAUGCUAACGCUUUGCCCACAAUAAUAUUUGGCGCACGUACUCCUCUCAUGUGUUGUUGGCACAACAAGCGGGGGGAUCGCUUGCGUCGUCUGUUCUCCCAGCUGGGGAACGGUUUUCCUGCAUUUUUUGCUAGCUGCUUGUUGGCUCGAGCUCGAGCUCGCUUCCUUCUGUAGCCAUGCUCGAUGUAGCUUCCUGAUUUGACGCUCAUAGUCUGAGUCAACAGGCUUGGGAGCUGGUGCUCUAGCCAGACGAAUGAAGUGGUCAAUCGUUUUCUCAGGCACUUUCUCCUUUGGCGGCGGUGCCGGUUUCGGUCCAAAAUGGGCGUCCACUUGGGCCUGCACUAUGGCUGCGUUUUGCUCCUUGGUCAUGUCGUAAGGCCUCUGAGGAAGAGGAGCAAAGCUUGGACCAUAUUUAUAUCGCUUGUCUCCGCCUAUACUUCCUGUAUUACCUCAACUCGUACCGCUACGCACCAUAGCUGCGGCGUGUCUCUUCUGCGAUUCCUGAGACCGCGGAGACGGCUGACGUGGCUGACGCUGUGCCAGACUUGAAGCAGGAGGAGUGGCCUGAUGCUGUGCCGGACAUGAAGGAGGAGGAGUCUGCUCACGCGUUCGGGGACUUGGAGGAGGUGGCAGACUUCGAGGAGGAGUCGGCUCACGCGUUCGUGGACUUGGAGGAGCGGGAGUCUGCUGACUCGGUGACGGACUUCGAGGAGGAGUCGGCUCAUGCGUUCGUGGACUUGGAGGAGCGGGAGUCUGCUGACUCGGUGGAGGACUUCAAGGAGGAGUCAGCAGACGACGCGGUGUCGGUGGACUUGGAAAGAUGAUGCAAUCCUUUCUCUAUAGGAUGAUACGAUGUACGACCUCUCUCAGUGUGCGCUCACCGUCACCUCCAGCAAUGUCAAGUGCUAGCAUCGAAUAUGGCUCCACCACUUCAUCAACCAUGACACGAGCAUAGCCCUCUGGAAUCGGGAUGCAAUGGAAGGUUGCUUCAGGGGUAAUUGAAAGCAACGCCGUCCACCACCUUCAUGGAUAUGUUCUUCAUUUUGGAGUGUAGCUCACAGUUAGUGUUCUCUAUGAUGUCAUUCUCAGGGUGGUAUGUAUCCAGCAGUGUGUCGCCCGGGGCAGAACCAACGCUGCUUCUCAGCAUGGAUGGGAUGGUGCUAUCCAAUGAUGGACGAUCAUCCGCUUGCUGCUGCCACUGCUGAGACCCCCUUUCCUGGCUAAGUGAGUCGAUCUGCUGCUGCUACUGCUGGAAUUUAAGUGCCAAGUCUGUGUGACUUGCUUCUAGGCAUUGAAGGCGUUCUGCGUCCUGCUUCCUUUGCUCCUUGAUACGUCUCCAACGCAUCUAUAAUUUUUUAUUGUUCCAUGCUAUUAUAUUACCCCUUUUGGAUGUUUAUGGGCUUUAUUCUACACAUUUAUAUCAUUUUUGGGACUAACCUACUAACCGUAGGCCCAGCCCAUAUUGCUGUUUUUUCCUAUUUGAGUAUUUCGAAGAAAAGGAAUAUCAAACGGAGUCCAAACGGAAUGAAACCUUCGUGAGCGUUAUUUUUGGAACAAAUCUGAUCCGGAGAGCCUGGAGUGCAAGUCAAGAAAGCUCCGAGGGCCCCACGAGAUAGGAGGGCGCCCCCUGUAGGGCGCGCCCCCCUGUCUCGUGGGCCCCUCGGGCAUCCACCGACGUACUUCUUCCUCCUAUAUAUGUCCACAGACCCCGAAAACAUCCAGGAGCACCACGAAACACAAUUUCCACCGCCGUAACCUUCUGUAUCCGCGAGAUCCCAUCUUGGAGCCUUCGCCGGCACUCUGCUGGAGGGGGAAUCAAACACGGAGGGCUUCUACAUCAACACCAUAGCCUCUCUGAUGAGUUGUGAGUAGUUUAUCACAGACCUACGGGUCCAUAGUUAUUAGCUAGAUGGCUUCUUCUCUCUUUUUGGAUCUCAAUAUAAUGUUCUCCCCCUCUCUUGUGGAGAUCUAUUCGAUGUAAUCUCUUUUUGCGGUGUGUUUGUCGAGAUCCGAUGAAUUGUGGGUUUAUGAUCAAGUUUAUCUAUGAUAAUAUUGGAAUCUUCUCUGAAUUCUUUUAUGUAUGAUUGAGUUAUCUUUAGAAGUCUCUUCGAAUUAUUAGUUUGGUUUGGCCUACUAGAUUGAUAUUUCUUGCCAUGGGAGAAGUGUUUAGUUUUGGGUUCAAUCCUGCGGUGAUCUUACCCAGUGACAGAAAGGGUUACAAGACACGUAUUGUAUUGUUGCCAUCGAGGAUAACAAGAUGGGGUUUAUAUCAUAUUGCAUGAGUUUAUUCCUCUACAUCAUGUCAUCUUGAUUAAUGUGUUGCUCUGUUCUUAUGAACUUAAUACUCUAGAUGCAUGCUGGAUAGCGGUCAAUAUGUGGAGUAAUAGUAGUAGAUGCAGGCAGGAGUCGGUCUACUUGUUAUGGACGUGAUGCCUAUAUACAUGAUCAUGCCUAGAUAACGUCAUAAUAAUUCACUUUUCUAUCAAUUGCUCGACAGUAAUUUGUUCACCCACCGUAAUACUUAUGCUAUCUCGAGAGAAGCCUCUAGUGAAACCUAUGGCCCCCGGGUCUAUCUCUUAUCAUAUUUGCUUUCAAUCUACUUUUAUUUACAUACUUAUUUUCUGCAUCUAUAUUAUAAAAUACCAAAAAUAUAUUUAUCUUAUCAUACUUUCUCUAUCAGAUCUCACUUUCAUAAGUGACCGUGAAGGGAUUGACAACCCCUUUAUUGCGUUGGUUGCGAGUUCUCAGUUUAAUUUUGUAGGUGUGUGGGACUUUUUAGGAGCCUCCUACUGGAUUGAUACCUUGGUUCUCAAAAACUGAGGGAAAUACUUACGCUACACUUUGCUGCAUCACCCUCUCCUCUUCGGGGAAAACCAACGCUAGCUCAAGACGUAGCACUCCUCCUCUAGCUCCCUCUUCUCCUCCUCCUCCAUCUUCUUUCUUGCAUGGGACCUGUAGUCGUUGUUCCAGUCCGAAAAGCCCUCAUGCUAGGGAAUAACGCCCUUGCCGCGUGUUCUUCCCGGGUGUUCAGGAUUUCCCAAGGCACGCGUAAGCUCUUCGUUCUCUCUGUUGGGCGUGAACACCCCCGUUCGAGCUUCUUCUAUUGCGUCAAGUAUCUUUUGAUCGGCUCCUUUUGGACUUGCCUUCUGCGAAACUAGGUCUGUCUUCGGGUCCAACACCGCCCAUGCGCAUAGAACCAAGUUCUGCACCUGGGGGGGCAGCUCCUAGUAAUUGGAGUGACCCCUGCAUCCUCCAUCUCUUGCUCAGACUUAUCCCACUUAGGCAUUCCCACCGCGUAGCCACGUGGACCCAGCCUAUGGAACUGCGUCUUUUUGCAGUAUUGGCCUUGUUUUUUAUCGACCGUUCCUUAGAUAAUUCUGAAUCCUUGAAUUUCACGAAAUCGUCCCAGUGUUCUCUUUGCUUCUCCAGUGUUCCCGUGAAUUCUGGAGUCUUCCUUUUUGCAGCGAUGUAGUUGGCCCAUACAGUUUUCUUGUGGGUGUUGAAUGCAAUUGCCUUCUUCUUAAGAGCAGCGCCCUUGACUUUCUCCACAUCUGCUUUAGUGAAAUAAUCUGGUAGGGUGAAAUGUUCCAUCAGAGAAUCCCAAAGGUCUUUUUUUGCUCUGUCGUCGACCCAAGUAACACCUGGACGUUUAGUCUUUGGCUCUUUCCAUUCUUGAAUGGAGAUCGGGAGUUUGUCCUUCACAAGACCUCCGCACUAACAAGUCCACUUGUUUGCAAUGUUCUUAGGCGUCAGUGGUUCUCCACUAGGUUUGACGGAUUCGAUGUUGUACUUUACACCAUCCUUCAACAAUCUGCCCGGGCCUCGCUUUGUCCUGCUGUCUAUAGAAGCAGAUUUGCUCGAUCCGGAGGGCUGAAAGAAGGAAGAUCGAUUCGUUCAUAUAUCUUAAAAAAACAUGUGAUGAUCACCAGAUGCCUGCUUAUACAAAUAUACCUCGCUGGUAGUCUUUGUUAUUUGAAGAUCAGCAUUCUCUGUGUCAUCAUAAACAUUGUUUGUAUCAUCAUAAUCAGAAUCAUAGUUCAUGACUUCAUCAGCUCGGACGUCGAGAUCGAAUAUCUUUUCAUCACCCUCUCCGGUAUUGUUCAGAUAUUGGGAGCUGACAUCUGCUUCAUUCAGAUCAUCUAGCCUGCCAGGGCUGCAUAUGAUGUCGAACAAUUCCUCUUCUCUAUCUCUGCCGGUAUUGUCCGCCAUAGCUUUUACUUAACUGAUACAAAAGAAAUAUAGAACAAUUUAGUAUUCAAAUUACAAUGCAUGGAUGCAAUCAAUAAGGAAAAACUGAAUCAUAUAGUACAUAAUAUAUAUGCAUCGUCUCGAUUAAUAUAUAAUUUCAUAUAUACAUCAUCGUCUCGAAUAAUAUAUAUAAUCUCGAAUACAUCAUCUCGAAUAUUAUUUUGCUUUAUCUAUUUUUGUUUUAUUUAUUUUUGAGUUGUUUUUUGCUGUAUUUAGAGUUUCUUUCUGGAUGUUUUUUAUUUAGGUACAAAAAAUUACAAACUUUCUGUUAGUGCCGGUAGUUUUCAAAUUUGAAUAGUUUAACUUUUGAAUUAUUUGAAAUUUGUGUGAAUCACUAGUUUGUGAAUAACACAUAACUACCCUAACUAUUACAGAGAUUCCCUCCUGGGUGUGAAACACAGAAGAAAGUGAAGAUAGUGAAGCCGAUCAUAUCCCGGAUCUUUGGGUGUGAAACAUUUUCUUCGCGUGUGUCCCUUUGCACCGUAGCCAUGGAAAAUCUUCAUCAUUUAACUGGAUGCUCGGGUCAAUAUUCACUGUGAAUGGAGCAAUUUCAUCAAACUUAUCAUAAUCUUCUAACAUGUCUGUCUUGUCAUCCACUCCCAUGAUGUUUCUUUUCCCUAAAAGAACUAUGUGGCGCUUUGGCUCGUCGUAUGAUUCAUUCGCUUCCUUAUCUUUUCUUUUUCUCGGUCUGGUAGACAUGUCUUUCACAUAAAAAACCUACGCCACAUCAUUGGCUAGGACGAAUGGUUCUUCUGCAUACGCAAGAUUGUUGAGAUCCACUGUUGUCAUUCUGUACUGCGGGUCUUCCGUUACCCCGCCUCGUGUCAUAUUGACCCAUUUGCACCAGAACAAAGGGACCUUCAAACCACCUGCAUAGUUAAGUUUUCAUAUGUCCUCUAUGUAACCAUAAUAUGUUUCCUUUCCCGUGUUGGUUGUUGCAUCAAAGCGGACAUCACUGUUUUGGUUGGUGCUCUUCUUAUCUUGGGCGAUCGUGUAAAAUGUAUUCCCAUUUAUCUGGUACCCUUUGAAAGUCAUUAUAUUCGAAGAGUAACUGGGACAACGAGUAUACGUCAUCUUCAAUAUCGCCAUCAUGCAUGGCACGUUUCUGCAACCAACCGGCGAAAGUCCUCGUUUGUUCACGUGUAAUCCAGUCGUCAGACUUCUCCGGGUGUUUGGAGUGUAGAAAAUUCUUGUGUUCCUCCAUAUACGGAGCCACCAAGGCGGAAUUCUGUAGAACUGUGUAGUGUGCUUCAGUGAGAGAAUGCCCGUCCAUACAUAUUAUUUGAUCCCCUCCUAGCGUGCCUUUUCCAUCCAGUCUGCCCUUAUGUCGCGAUUCAGGAACACCAAUCGGCUUAAGGUCAGGAAUAAAGUCAAUACAAAACUCAAUGAACUCCUCAUUUUCAUGGCCCUUCGCGAUGCUUUCUUCUGGCCUAGCACAGUUAUGAACAUAUUUCUUCAAGACUCCCAUGAACCUCUCAAAGGGGAACAUAUUGUGUAGAAAUACAGGACCCAAAAAGUUAAUCUCUUCGUAAAGGUGAACUAGGACGUGCGUCAUGAUGUUGAAGAAGGAUGGUGGGAACACCAACUCAAAACUGACAAGACAUUGCACCAAAUCAUUUUGUAACCUUGGUAUGAUUUCUGGAUCGAUUACCUUUUGAGAGAUGGCAUUGAGGAAUGCACAUAGCUUCACAAUGGCUAAUCGAACGUUUUCCGGUAGAAGCCCCUCAAUGCAACCGGAAGCAGUUGCGUCAUAAUCACGUGGUAGUCAUGAGACUUUAGGUUCUGGAACUUUUUCUCUGCCAUAUUUAUUAUUCCCUUUAUAUUCGAUGAGAAGCCAGACGGUACCUUCAUGCUGAGAAGGCAUUCAAAGAAGAUUUUCUUCUCUUCUUUGGUAAGAGCGUAACUGACCCUGAUGUAUGUCGUCUUUUCCGCGCAUAUGUUGCUGGUCCUCCCGUGCCUCUGGUGUAUCUUUUGUCUUCCCAUACACGCCCAAGAAGCCAAGCAGGGUCACGCAAAGAUUCUUCGUCACGUGCAUCACGUCGAUUGCGGAGCGGACCUCUAGGUUUUUCCAAUAGGGCAGGUCCCAAAAUAUAGAUUUCUUCUUCCACAUGGGCGCGCGUCCGUCAGCGUCCUUUGGAACAGGUUGUCCGCCAGGACCCUUUCCAAAGAUUACCUUCAAAUCCUUGACCAUAUCAUGUACAUCAGCACCAGUACGGUGGCGAGGCUUCGUCCGGUGAUCCGCCUCACCUUUGAAAUGCUUGCCUUUCUUUCUUACGGGAUGCCUGCUCGGAAGAAAUCGACGAUUUCCCAGGUACACAUUCUUCCUACAACUCUCCAAAUAUAUACUGUCAGUAUCAUCCAAAUAGUGCAUGCAUCCGCGGUAUUCCUUGUUUGUCUGUCCUGAAAGGUUACUGAGAGCAGGCCAAUCAUUGAUGGUCACGAACAGCAACGCCUUUAGGUCAAAUUCUUCCUGUCCGUGCUCAUCCCACGCACGUACACCUGUUCCAUUCCUCAGCUGUAAUAGUUCUUCAACUAAUGGCCUUAGGUACACAUCAAUGUCGUUGUCGGGUUGCUUAAGGCCUUGGAUGAGCACUGGCAUCAUAAUAAACUUCCGCUUCAUGCACAACCGAGGAGGAAGGUUAUAUAAACAUAGAGUCACAUGCCAUGUGCUAUGGUUGCUGCUCUGCUCCCCAAAAGGAUUAAUGCCAUCUGCGCUUAGACCAAACCAUACAUUCCUUGGGUCACCUGCAAACUCCUCCCUGUACUUUCUCUCGAUUUUUCUCCACUGUGAACCGUCAGCGGGUACUCUCAAUUUUUCGUCUUUCUUACGGUCUUCUUUGUGCCACCGCAUCGCCUUCACAUGCUCUUUGUUUUGGAACAAACGUUUCAACCGUGGUAUUAUAGGAGCAUACCACAUCACCUUGGCAGGAAUCUUCUUUCUGGGGCGCUCGCCCUCGACAUCACCAGGGUCAUCGCGACUGAUCUUAUAACGCAAUGCACCACAUACCGGGCAAGCGUUCAAAUCCUUGUACGCACCGCGGUAGAGAAUGCAGUCAUUAGGGCAUGCAUGUAUCUUCUGCACCUCUAACCCUAGAGGGAAGACGACCUUCUUUGCUUCAUACGUACUCUCGGGCAAUUCGUUGUCCUUUGGAAGCAUAUUCUUUAUCAUUACCAGCAACUUUCCAAAUCCCUUGUUAGAUACACCAUUCUCUGCCUUCCAUUGCAGCAAUUCCAGUGUGGUGCCCAACUUUUUUUUGUCAGCUUCGCAAUUCGGGUACAACAAUUUCUUGUGAUCCUCUAACAUGCACUGCAACUUCUUCCUCUCCAAAUCACUUGCGCAAUUUCUCUUUGCAUCGGCAAUGGCCCGACCUAGAUCAUCAGCGGGCUCAUCUGAUGCCUCUUCUUCAGCUUGUUCCCGCAUUGCCGGCUCAGCUUCUUCCUCCAUUGUUGUAUCAUCGUAUUCAGGGAACCCAUGGCCAGGAUAGAUGUCGUCGUCCUCUUCUUCUUCAUUGUCUUCCAUCAUAACCCGUCUUUCUCCAUGCUUGGUCCAAACAUUAUAGUGGGGCAUGAAACCGGACUCAAAUAGGUGAACGUGAAUGGUUCUUGCCGUAGAGUAAUUGUGACCAUUCUUACAGCUAGCACAUGGACAAGGCAUAAAACCACCCGUCCGCUUGUUUGCCUCAGCGGCAAGCAGAAAUGUAUGCACACCAUUAAUGAACAAGGAAGAGCAUCGGUCAUCAUACAUCCAUUGUCGGCUCAUAUCUUCAUUAUACACAACACCGAAUAGACCAAAUUAAUACAAGUUCAUACAUAAAGUUCAUAUACAACACUUAAUUAAAUGCAACAUACAAAGAUCUCUCUAGCUAAAGAAUUUAAAUGCAACAACAAAUGCGAUCAAGAUCGCAACUAAGGUAACAAUUGAUCCAACAUCAUAAUGAUACCAAGCCACACUAUCAAUGGCAUAUUUUCUAAUCUUUCUAAUCUUCAACCUCAUUCUUUCCAUCUUGAUCUUGUGAUCAUCGACGACAUCGGCAACAUGCAACUCCAAUUCCAUCUUCUCCCCCUCAAUACUUUUCAAUUUUUCUUUCAAAUACUCGUUUUCUCUUUCAACUAAAUUUAACCUCUCGACAAUAGGGUCGGUUGGAAUUUCCGAUUCACAUACCUCCUAGAUAAAAAUAUCUAUGUCAACUUGAUGGGCAUAAUUUGUCAUAAACACGAAAUGCAACAACUAGUUUUAAAAGAGAAUAUACCACAUCCGAAUCAUAACAAGGACGAGGGCCGAUGAAGACGGAUAUCAAAACCAUGGCACUAUGUAUAACAAACAACGUACGGGUAAGACAAUUAUACGAGUAACUAUAUAUCCAAAUCACACAAACAUCAAUUUGGUAAUGUAAAACAUUCAUGAACAAGAACCUCACCAAAAGGUGGUGCCGGCGACGGGACGGUGCGGGCGAUCGACGGUGGUUACGACGGAGAUUUAGAAGGCACUAAGUAAACCACACCUACAUAUGCAAACUAAGUGUUAUUUUUGACCUCAAAUUGCAUAUAAAUCAAAUACUAGCAAAUAUAAUUCCUCCCAAAUUAAUCACUAUACAAAGCAUUGCAAGAGCUAAUCUAGCAAUGAGAGUUGAAAGGACAAAGUUGCUAAAGGGGCUGGACGGGCCCCAGACUGACAACAUCCUGCCACCACUCUCUUUAGUACCGGUUCGUGGCACGAACCGGUGUUAAAGGUUCGCCACGAACCGGUACUAAUGAGAGCGGCCGGCUAACCGUUGGAACCAGCACUAAUGUGUCUCAGAUUUGCCCCUUUUUCUAUUAGUGGUGGUGCGGCCUUGCGGGCGCACCGUAUGUCUCUUGAUCAAUUGUCACAUUUCUCAUACAGGAACAGACUUUCCUUGGGUAGGGCGGCCAUGUAGGAGGCUCAUUGAGCAUACCCUUGCAGAUCCGCUGCCUGGGGUAGAAUGGCACCGGAGGAUGCUCAUUGUCCAUACCAUUGCAGAUCCGCUCCCUCGGGUAGAACGGCCACAAAGGAGGCUCACUGUCCAUGUCCCUGCAGAUCGGCUCCCUGGGGCACAACGGCCACGAAGGAGGCAGAUUGCCCAUAGAGUUGCAGAUCCGCUCCCUGGAUACUGGAGUCCUUUGAUGCUUACCGGUGUCAAUGCAGUUGUUCUGCUUGGCAUGAGGCACAUGUACAGUACAACUGGGGGGCUUCAUGGUCCACUCACACGGGCACUUCUCGGGGGCUCGGCGCGCGGCCCUGGAGACUUUUGAUGCCCACCUAUGGAUGGGUUAUGGGACUGCAGCCCUUGAUGCCCAUCGACUUUGGAAGAGGAGUUCCGCCGCCCUUGAAACCCUUCCUGGUGGAGGAGCUUGGGGUUGGGGGCUUGGAGGCCCAUCUGAAGUGCCACUCGACUGUGGGUUGACCCCUUGUGUCAAGGGAGCAGGGAAUAACUCUGCAUAUAUAACAUUGAACACCAGCUUCUUGACAUAGUCGGAAAUCUCCAGGCCCUUCGAGUGGUGUUUCAAUUCAGUCUCCAGUCUAGAUAUGUUGUAUAUGCUGUAUAGGUUGCGCCUCCCACCUCCUGUAGCUUUUGUGCUUCUUGGCAGAGUCACAUGUCCACAGCCACAAGGAGAGCCGGGAGAGAGGCAGGGACACGACCCAACGACGGAGCUUGUGCCAUCUCUUUCGGCACAAAACUUGAUGAUUCAACCAACUGUGUGGCCCCUUGAAGAAUGAGUAUGUCCAGGUUGAAGCUAGUGCUCUGAGCAGCCAUCUCAAAUCGAGGAGGAAAGUCGUCCCCAGCAAUACAUUACUGAUAACUUUAUCUUCUGUUCUCAUGUCGUCUUUGCAUUGGAGGCUAAACAGAAAGAGCGCAGUGGCGGUUAAGAGCGGCGAGGAUAGACAGAUGACAUAGCCAUGCCACGUGUAGACCACUGCGGCCUUGGUGUAGAGGAUGUCAUACAUAAGAGAGAGUUCCAUCUCCACCACCUUGCACAUACUCUCCCAUUGACCCGAGAAGCUGCUUCUGACGGCGGCAUUAUAAUCCAUGUACUCCACCGAGUAAACAGAAAAGGCACCCUUGCAGAUAUCGAACAGGCCAUGAGCAACCAACAAGGCUUCCUCAUCUUUCAGAUUCUUGCCUCCACCAUAAUCACGUCUGAAGCUACUGGCACUUGGUUGCAGCUCCCUGAAUGACCUCCGUAUGCGGCUCAAAUUGCAUAGCCAUAGCGCCGCCGCACUCUCCACAUACUUGAAAAGGCCCAGCAAUAACAUGAUGAAAGACGCUUGACGCAACAACCCAGUAGUGCAGUCGGCGAGUAUAUAUCUAUACACAAUAAGUAUGGAUCCUAGGGACUGCAGGGGAACAAACACGAACAGGCGCAGCCAGAGCUCAUUGUCCUCGAUGGUGUAGGCACUCAUGUUGUCCGGGGGAGCGUUGUGCAGUGUAGAAGGACAAGAUAUGGGCUGUGCAAUCUCGAUGUAUUGAUCGGUGCACCAGGCACGUAUAUAUAAGUACAGAGGUGGGCCACAACCUCAACUAUACAAAGGAAACUGGAGGCGGCCCUACACACAAAUAUACACGUACACAAUAUACUCAACACCCCCCCGCAGUCGAAGCGGCACCAGUGACGCAAAGACUGGAACGGGACUCCUCGAAGGUAGAAGUCGGCAGUCCCUUCAUCAUCACAUCGGCGAACUGCUGAGCGGUCGUUACAUGGAGAACCCGCAUACGUCCAAGAGCCACCUGCUCGCGCACAAAGUGAAUGUCCAGCUCGAUGUGUUUAGUCCGGCGAUGAUGAACGGGGUUGGCGGAGAGGUACACCGCAGAAACGUUGUCACAGUAGACAACCAUAGCCUGGGAGACGUCGUGAUGCAGCUCCUGAAGUAACUGUCGUAGCCAGGUGCACUCGGCAACAGCGUUGGCCACAACUCGGUACUCAGCCUCCGCGCUGGAGCGCGAAACCGUGGGUUGUCGCUUGAACGACCACGAGACGAGUGAAGGACCGAGGUAGACGCAGUAGCCAGAGGUGGACCAACGAGUAUCGGGGCAGCCAGCCCAGUCUGCAUCAGAGUAGGCCACCAUCUCCAGAGAAGUAGACGCCGUGAGUGUCAACCCGAGGGUCAUCGUGCCGCGGAUGUAGCGAAGGAUCCGCUUCAAGAGAGUCCAAUGAGAGUCACGAGGGGCGUGCAUGUGGAGACACACCUAUUGAACAGCAUACUGAAGAUCCGGUCUGGUGAGAGUCAAAUACUGAAGAGCGCCGACAAUAGACCGGUAGAAAGGAGCAUCCGACGCAGGCGAGCCCUCAAGAGAAGAGACCUUGGCCUUCGUGUCAACAGGAGUAGCAACAGGGUGACAGUUGAGCAUGCCAGCACGCUCAAGAAGCUCAUGUGCAUACUUCUGUUGAUGAAGAAAGAAACCGUCCGGACGCUGAACGGCCUCAAUGUCAAGGAAAUAAUGUAGAGCACCCAGGUCCUUGAUAGCAAACUCGUCACGCAGCCGGAGAGUAAUCUGCUGAAGAACAGCUGCGGAGGAGGCCGUCAGGAUGAUGUCAUCGACGUAAAGCAGCAAAUAUGCAGUCGUGUCACCAUAGACAAACAGUGAGGCGUCCGAGCGAGUAACGCUGAAGCCUAGUGUCUGAAGAAACCUGUAAGUGCAUCUAGUGCCAUCCCUAGUUGGUUUUGGAGUAUUGACGACAAAGUUGGUUGAGGGACUAAUGUGUUUGUGAGAAUUGCAGGAUAACGCAGGUAGUGUCCCUCAUUGAUUCGGUUUACCUACCGGAGAUGACCCCUAAAAAUGUAUGAAGACAUUGAAGACAAUGGUGGUGUGUGAAGAUAUUCACACUGAAGUCUAUGACAUGAGAAGACAUUGAGUGAAGACUAUGGAGCGCGAAGACUGAGUCGUUUCGUUGUUUCCUUUUCUUCUUUGUUGAGUCAUAGGAACCACCGCACUGUUAAGUAGGGUCCAAGUGAACUAAGUCAGAGUGACUGAAGUGAUGCUCAACCCAAAUCCUAUGUCUUCGAGCGAAGACAAUGUGAGUAAAUCUUAUCCAGAGCUGGAUGAGUCAGCUUUGCUUGUAGCCCAAGUAAAGUUGCCGUGUGUGUUUGAAAUCUGACCAUUGAAACAUGUGUCAGUUCCUUAGUGACCCAGGGUCAUUUUGGACAUAUCAGGUCGGGUUGCCUUGUGGCUAUAAAUAGCCCACCCCCUACACCAUAAAUUGGUGGGCUGCUCAGAGUUAGUUUACGGCUUUUGUCGUUUUGAGAGCAACCCACCUCGAAGCCUUUGAGAGAGAAAUCCUUGCGAGGACAAAGCCCAAACACCCAGAGCCAAAGAGUGUUAGGCAUCACUGAAGUCUUUUUGUCUGUGUGACCUGAAGACUUAUUACACUUGAGGACUGUGUAUCCUCCAGCCGGUUAGGCGUCGCGUUCUGAGCAUCCAAGAGUCAUUGUGGAUUGCCAGGUGAACGAAGUCUGUGAAGGUUCAGAAGUCUACCUUGAAGACUUAACAGAGUGAUUGGGCGAGGACUGGGUGUCCUUAGCUCAAGGGGAAUAAGGUGAAGACACGGUCUUUUGAGUUGAAUCUCAGCCUCCCCAACCAGACGUACAGUUGUCACAGCAACUGGAACUGGUCCAACAAAUCAUGUGUCUUCAACAAGUGACUGGUUCUAUCUCUUCCCUCCUUUACUUUGAGUUUGUCUUCGUGAAGUCAUUGCUUAUCUGUCUUAUCUGAUUGACUUCAUUGCUUGACUACUAUUGUUGAUUGGCUUCAUACUAUCUUCCAUCCUGAUCCUUACUACCUAGCUGCUGUUAGUCUUCGUACGUUAGCACUAUUGCAUACUUGACUAUGGCUUGCUUUGUGUAGUUUAUCUUCCGCUGCAUAUCAAUUAGGUCAUUUCUAUUGUUUAUCUUCGAAACUUCCACAUUUUGAAGACUUUGAUAAAAAUCGCCUAUUCACCCCCCUCUAGUCGAUAACUAGCACUUUCAAUUGGUAUCAGAACAAAGUACUCCCUUGUUCUGUGUGAUUCGGUUUAACCACCUGGAGUUUAGCUAUGUCGACUGCAGGGAUAAUCAAAGUCUCCGUUGCUUGCCCCGUGUUCGAUGGAACAGAAUAUCCCUACUGGAAGAAUAAGAUGCGCAUGCAUCUUGAAGCCAUUGAUGUCGACCUCUGGUAUGUCGUCAAGAACGGCGUUCCAAAAACUGGUGAAGGUGUCACCCCUGCUGAUGUCAAGAAGUUCAUUCAACUGGACUCGACUGCAAAGAACAUCAUCUGUGGUCAUCUAACCAAAGGACAGUAUGGCCGUGUGAGUGCUCUGGAAACGUCAAAGCUAGUUUGGGACUGGCUAUCCAAGGUCAACGAAGGCGUCUCUACACAGAGAGACCAGAGGAUCAGUGUUCUUCGCAAUCUCUUCAACCGCUUCAAGAGAAACAACAAUGAAAAUGUCCAGCUCACAUUUGAUCGCCUCACCGACAUCACAAAUGAGCUUCAGGCUCUCGGCGCCACUGAGAUCACCAAGCAUGAAAUCAUCAAGACGCUGCUGAGAUCCCUUGACAGCUCCUUUGACACCCUUGCCCUCAUGAUACAAGAACGUCCUGACUUCAAGACUCUCGAUCCGUCUGAUAUACUUGAGAGGCUCAACACACAUGAGUUUCAGCUUUCUGAGAAAAGAGAUAUCUAUGGCCCCAACUACGGCCGAACUCGUGCUUUGAAGGCAAAAGUUGUUUCCUCAUCUGAAGAAGAAGAAUCUGACUGCGGUUCUGAUGAUCCUGAAGACAUUGGAAGGGAGCUUGCUAUGCUUGUGAAGAAGUUCCAGAAAUUCACCAAGAAGAAGGGCUUCAGAAAGUCUUCACGAUCCAGUUCAAGAAAUGAUGAAGCUUCCACUCAAGACAACAAGAAGAGAACAUGUCACAAGUGUAAGAAGCCUCGGCACUACAUCUCUGAGUGUCCUCAGUGGGACAACGAGAAGAAGAAGAAAAAGAGCAAGGAAUAUGACUCUGAUGACAAGAAGAAGAAGAAAUCAUCAAAGUCUUCUUCCAAGUCCACAUCAAAGUCUUCAUCUCAUAAGAAGAGCUCAUCUGGCAAGGCUCGUGCUUUUGUUGGCAAGGAAAUGGAUUCAGAGGAGGAGUCUGCUUCUGAGGAGGCAGAGGUGGAAUCUAAAGUUGAGUCCAACUCUGGCAUUGCGAGUCUGGCUCUAGCCACAGCCUAUGUCGCCAAGUCCAUCUUCAACACUGAAGACAAUGACUCCCACUCCAAAGCUGAUGAUGAUAAGGACAAUCCUGCUCCCACCUACUGCUUCAUGGCACGCGGUGUCAAGGUAAAAUCACACGAUGCUUACUUUCAAACAUCAAGUGAAGAUGACUCUGAUUGUGAAUCUAAACCCAGCUACAAAACACUUGCUAAAAUUGCUACUGAACAACAAAGGGCUAUGGAACAUACUCAAAAACUGUUAGACAAAAGCGAUGACCUAUUGGACGCGGAAAUGACACGUUCAUAGUCCUUAGUUGAAGACAUAAAAAAUCUUCAUGCUAAGUAUCAAGAACUUGAAAGUUUUCAUGAGACGCUCUCAACCACUUAUGAAAAGCUCUCCUAUGAUUAUCUUCAAAGGAAGCAAGAGCUUGAGAAAUUGAAAGCGACUCAUGAAGAUCUUCAAAAAGAGAAUGAGCCAUUUCACGCUCAACAGAUCAGUCCCGCUCAGGAUGGAUUUGAACCACCAUGCUUAAAAUGCAUUGAGCGUGAUAACGCUGCCUCUGUUGCUGAAUGUUCCACUGCUGCUACUGUUGCUCUGUCUUCAACUACUGAUGUGGUAACUAACCCCUCUUCUGAGGAUACCACUACUAUUGCUGAUAAAAAUGCUAGGUUGAAGACAUUGCUUGAAACAGGGAUGUAUAAAAGUCUGAAAGGGCAGCAGACACUGUGUGAUGUCCUCAAAAAGCAGAUUCUGAACCAAAACCCUAGGAAAGAGGGUGUUGGGUUUGAGAGGAAAAUGAAUGCUGAUGGUUCCUACUGGAAGCCUGAGCAGUAUCCCAAAACCACAUGGGUUGCUGCAAAGGAACCUUCAGUGGAUCCAUCCACUUUAUCUGGCUUUACAUGUGCUAAUCCUAUUAUCAUUGAUGAAUCCCUUGAUGCAAACUAUAAAUUGUUCAAAAAUCAGAAUGGUGAAGUGUUUGCUAGGUAUAUUGGUACUAACUGCAGGAAUGGACCGCCAAUGAAGAAGAUCUGGGUUCCAAAAAGCUGUCUUGAGAAUCUUCCUGUGAAUGUUGUCAUGACACCACCCGAGAAGAAGACAAACCCCAGACCAAAGGCGUCACAUGGUCCAACGGCUUCAUACGGAAAGAGGACUCACCUGAGUCACCCUAACGCCAAUGUUUUGCAGGGAAAUCACACUCAAACUUAUGAAUAUGAGCGUGUGUCUUCAAACCGCUAUGUUCAUAAUACUAAGAACUUUUCUGCUUAUUCAUAUGAGUAUCAAUCAUCUCCUGCAAGGCUAUUUGCUAGGGCUCCAAAGCCGAAAUUCUCAGAUGCUACACUUAGACUCAUUGCUUCUAAGCCACCCCUAAAGAUGUGGGUGGUGAAGAAGAACUAACUCUCUUUUGCAGAACAUGGUCUCCAGCCAGCAAUCAAAGGCGUCCGAUAUUAUUGCUGGGGACCUAAAACACAAAGGGACGCAUGAGAAAAUGACUUACUAUGUAUUUCACAUAUGAAUCGCUUACCUGUCAUACUGUGUGCUAACUUUCAUCUAUGCUGUGAUAAUUCAAGUGUGCAUCAACUGCUUAUGCUUCACAACAUACAUUGUGAAGCCUAUCCUCCUAACUGCAAUGUAGGGUAUGACACCUCGUGCUUCAGAAUGGAUUAUGGACAGCGGAUGCACUAAUCAUAUGACUGGUGAUCGAAGUCUUCUCAUGGACUCAACCUUACGUCCAUCCGACAAGAGUCAAAUCACAUUUGCUGACACUGGUAAAGGCAAGGUAUUGGGUCUAGGUAGAGUUGCAAUCUCAAAGGAUCAACACAUGGAUAAAGUGAUGCUUGCUGAAUCCCUUGGAUUCAACUUAAUGUCUGUCUCAAUGCUUUGUGACUUAAACAUGAUUGUGAUAUUCGGAAAAUAUCGUUGCCUUGUACUAAUGGAAUCUGACAAGUCUCUAGUCUUUGAAGGGUAUAGGAAAGGUGAUCUAUACAUGGUAGAUUUCUCAGCAGGACCACAGCUUGCCAUAUGUCUUCUUGCAAAAGCUUCAGAAUGCUGGCUCUGGCAUCGAAGGCUGGGGCAUGCUGGCAUGAGGAACUUGCACACACUCGUCAAGAAGAAGCAUGUCAUAGGCAUCGAAGGUGUCAAGUUCAACAAAGAUCAUUUGUGUGGUGCUUGCGAAGCUGGGAAGAUGACGAGGGCCAAGCACCCCUCGAAAACAAUCAUGACGACAUCUCAACCCUUUGAGCUGUUGCACAUGGACUUAUUUGGCCCUACUCACUACUCCACCCUCACAACAAUGGUGUGUCUUUAUGGCUUCGUCAUUGUUGAUGACUACUCAAGAUAUACAUGGGUGCACAUAAUUCUCUACAAGACUGAAGUACAAGAUGUCUUCAAACGAUUCGCAAAUCGAGCAAUGAACAAUUAUGGCGUCAAGAUCAAGCAUAUCAGAAGUGAUAACGGCACUGAAUUCAAGAACACCGGCCUUGAUCUAUAUAUCUAGAUACAAUGGGAAUCACUCAUGAAUUUUCUGCUCCGUACACACCUCAACAAAAUGGCAUUGUUGAGCGCAAGAACAGAACCCUCAUUGAGAUGGCUCGAACAAUGCUCGACGAGUACAAGACACCAAGAAAGUUCUGGCUUGAAGCUAUUGAUACUGCAUGUCACAUCAUUAACCGUGUUUACAUCCACAAGCUUCUGGGAAAAACAUCCUAUGAGCUCCUUACUGGCAAGAAGCCAAAUGUCAGCUACUUUAGAGUUUUUGGUGCUAGAUGCUGGAUCAAGGAUCCCCAUCACAGGUCAAAAUUUGAACCCAAAGCUCACGAAGGCUUCAUGCUUGGCUAUGGAAAUGAUUCGCACUCUUACAGAGUCUUCAACCUUUUCCACUACAAAAUCGUUGAAAUAGUGGAUGUGCGAUUUGAUGAAACCAAUGGUUCACAACGAGAUCUCCUGCCAAGCACACUAGAUGAAGCUCCUUCCAGUGAAUCUAUCAAGCUGAUGGGAACUGGUGAAAUCAUGCCCUCUGAAGCACAACCUGAAGAGGAACUUAUCAUUUCUGCACCAAACCAACCUGAAGACAAUGCUCAGACCGAAGACAAUCCUCCCAAUGAUGACAAUAAUCAACAUGAGCAAGGGCUUCAUCCAGUUCAUCCUCGUGUUGCAAAUGAAGUACAAAUUGAGAAGAUAAUUGAUAGCAUCAACGCACAUGGUCCGCUUACUCGAUCAAGACCAACACAGUUAGCAAAUUUCUGUGGGCAUUUUUCAUUUGUAUCAAUAUUUGAACCCAAGAAAGUUGCUGAAGCCCUUAUGGAACCUGAAUGGAUUCAAGCCAUGCAAGAAGAACUUCAACAGUUCAAGCUGAAUAAUGUUUGGGAACUUGUCAAGCGCCCUGACCCUCGCAAGCAUAACAUUAUUGGCACAAAAUGGAUAUAUCGGAACAAACAAGAUGAGCAUGGUCAAGUCAUCAGAAACAAAGCACGUCUUGUGGCACAAGGAUAUACUCAAGUUGAAGGAAUUGACUUCGAUGAAACAUUUGCUCCUGUGGCUAGGCUUGAAGCUAUUCGCAUAAUGCUAGCCUAUGCAAAUCACCACAACAUCCUGCUAUAUCAAAUGGAUGUGAAGAGUGUUUUCCUCAAUGGCAAGAUUGAAGAAGAAGUGUAUGUUGCUCAACCACCUGGCUUUGAAGAUCCAAAACAUCCUGAUAUGGUGUACAAACUCAACAAAGCACUGUAUGGCCUCAAACAAGCUCCUCGCGCUUGGUAUGAUACAAUCAAAGACUUCCUGAAGAGCAAAGGUUUCAAACCAGGAUCUCUAGAUCCCACACUCUUCACGAAAACAUAUGAUGGUGAACUGUUUGUGUGCCAAAUAUAUGUGGAUGACAUAAUCUUCGGCUGCACCAACCAGAAGUAUAGUGAUGAGUUUGGAUACAUGAUGCAAGAGCAAUAUCAUAUGUCCAUGAUGGGUGAGCUGAAGUUCUUCCUUGGUCUUCAAAUCCGUCAGCAAAGAAAUGGCAUCUUCAUAUCUCAAGAAAAAUAUCUCAAAGAUUGUCUGAAGAAGUUUGGCAUGCAAGAUUGCAAAGGUUACACGACGCCAAUGCCAGCCAAACAUCAUCUUGGUCCCGACGAUAAUGGUAAAGAGUUUGAUCAAAAGGUAUACCGCUCCAUGAUUGGUUCUUUACUUUACCUAUGUGCAUCUAGGCCAGAUAUUAUGCUUAGUGUUUGAAUGUGUGCUCGAUUCCAAGCGGCACCAAAGGAAUCACAUCACUUAGCUGUGAAGCGAAUUCUUAGAUAUUUGGCUUACAGCCCAACACUCGGAUUAUGGUAUCCAAAGGGCUCAAGGUUUGAUCUGGUUGGAUUCUCGGAUGCUGAUUAUGCUGGUGACAAGGUGGAUCGCAAUUCAACAUCAGGAACAUGUCACUUUCUAGGACGAUCACUUGUCUGUUGGUCUUCAAAGAAGCAGAACUGUGUAUCACUCUCAACUGCUGAAUCUGAAUACAUUGCUGCUGGAUCUUGUUGUGCUCAGCUUCUGUGGAUGAAGCAAACUCUCAAGGACUAUGGCAUCGAUCUGAAGCAAGUCCCUCUCUUCUGCGACAAUGAAAGUGCCAUCAAGAUUGCCAACAAUCCAGUUCAGCACUCGAAGACAAAGCACAUUGAAAUUCUUCAUCAUUUUCUCAGAGAUCAUGUCAUGAAGAAAGAUAUGACAUCAUUCAUGUCAACACUGAAGAGCAACUGGCAGAUAUCUUCACAAAGCCCUUGGAUGAGAAGGUUUUGCAAGUUAUGGUGUGAGCUAAAUAUCUUGGAAUCCUCAAAUGUCCUGUGAUCAGGCCACAUCCUAACACUUAUGCAUGUUGAUGACUUAGAUGUGCAACACACGAAGUAAAGUAUAUCUUCAGUCAAUGAAGACUUACAUUCUGAGUGUGAAUACAUUAAUGUGGAAUUUGACUUCAGAGCGCCACGAUAAUUGUGCGCCGUGUCUGGGUCUAAUACUUCCUAUACGGUGGGUAACGCCACCACCAAAAUUUCUUGGUUUGAAGUGUUUCACUCAUGGCGUUAUUGUUGAAUAUCUUCGCAUGUUGAUUUGACCUCAACUUUCAACUUAUCUUCAUGAUUUACUUCAUUAUGUUGAGUUGAUUGCUUUCUCAUAUAUAUAUAUAUACUAGUAUUCUGUCCUCUAUAGCAUUCACUUAUAGCCAUGUCUUCACUGUUGAAUCUUUUGAACUAAGUGAAUGUGAUCGGACCCUAAUCUCUCUAUGCUUACUAUCUCAAACUCUAUCUGUCCAAAUCAUAUGCAUUCUAUUGAAACUGUCGAAUGUCUUCUCUGCAUCCUUGUCAGCAGAAGACACAAAUACAAACAUCAAGUCCUAUUAAGUGAUUCAUCUUUAUUGUCGAUAUCCGGAGAAGCCGAAACAACCAUCCGACAAACUUGGCGGGCGUGGGAAUGUGGGACAACUCUGAGUAUGUUGCAUGCUUGCCACGUGUCCCAUGGAUGUGAACAGGCAGGGGCACCUGCGUAAUUGCACUGUGCCGCACACCUACUUAUAAAUACGUGUCCCCUGCGGUCAAGAAAACCUUCUUCCACCUCUCCACCUCGUCAAAACCCUAGUACCACCGCUAGCUCUCGACGACGCCGGCGACGAAGCGCUUAGCUGCCGCGACUUCCCCGAUGCCGUCCUCACGCCGGCCGCGGGCAUCAUCCACUCCGCCACCGCCGUAGGUGUCCUCCGUCGCCAAGUUAGGGCACGGUGGACAGAACUGCUCGGUCUCCAAAUUCUUCCCAUCUAGCAGUUCUUCGUGUGGUAAAUAUAACUCUAUUUUUACCAGCUUUUUGAUCCUCAAUGAUUCAUCCAAUUUACCAAAAUUGGUUUCUGUCUAUACAAAGUUAGAUCUACUCUGUCUGCAUCUCAUACUGCCUAGUAUAUUCACUUAAGCUUCACAUCUAGUUAGAUUCCUCACUUGUACUUAUUCACGGAUUUGUACAAAUCUGGAACCGACUCUCAACAUAUAAGUGAAUGUCUUCGCAAGAUGAGGUCAAUGUCUUCAAACUGAUUUAUCUUCAAAAUCUUUUGAGAAUGCAUAUGACCUCUUCCCCUUCCCUCGCAUCUCUAAUGCUGUCACAGGUACAUGUCCGUGGGAGAAUCCCUAGGUUCUCAUAGUCUGCAUUCGUUUGCAGAAUUCUUACAGCAACACAUUGAUUCUCCUGAAGCCAGUUCCUGUCUGACCAGCAAGCGAAAGCCUUUGAACAUAUUGAAACCGUUCAGUUUGAAGUUCAUGGCUACGGAGAAAUCUAUUAGGAAGGGUGGCAGACAGCGUCGUGGGGGAACUUCAAGGAUUUGCCUGAUGAUCUUGCAGAAAUCUACAAAACAGAUCCUGAAGAAGAUUACAGUCAGCGCAAGACUUGAAUCCAAUGGAUUCAAUGCUAUUGGGCUGAACAGUGGUACAAGUACAAGUUCGUGACCCAGGAGUACGCUGAGAAAAAUACUAUCAAGAGCCCUUGGGGUGAUAUUCUCUAUCGAGGCCUUCCCCCCAAGAACAAAGCUGAAGCCAUUGCGCAAGAAUUCUAUCCUUGCAUGGUCCGUGGACCACAGCCUGAAGAAGCCGACCCAUCAUCAUUGCUCUGGUGUCGCGACGACAAUCUCUUCAAGCGCAAUGUUUAGUAUGCUAAGGCUUCAGCAAAGGAAGACAAGAAGUCAUGGGGAUUAGACUUCAAUCCUGGCCCCUCUGCUCCCCGUGAUGAUGGCACACGUGAAGCUGAAGAGAAUAGAGUUGGCCCCUUUGCAAACCUUGAUGGCCUCAUCUCCUACAUCUUGGUACAAGGUGCCAAAGUGGAUCAUUCUAAUAAUGAUGUUGAUUUUGAUGAAGCUCCAGCUCCUACUCUAAGGUCGCAGAAGCCAAAGAAGAUUAAGGCUUCAUCAUCAGCUGCACCUCCAAAAGCUUCUCAUGUGAAGCCACUGGCCACUGCACCUCCUGAAGUCAGUGUGCAGUCUGAAGAUCUUUCACGCAUCUCCAAGAAGACGAAGAAGAAAAACAAAAUCGUCAAGUGUACUGAUCAGGCUUUGACUCCUGCUGCUAUUAUGCGUGAAGAGCCCAUUGAUCUGUCCAGCGAUGACGAUCUUGCAGAUGAUGCUCUUGAGCAACUGAUCAAGAGCAAGGAAGAAGCAGAGAUCUUCAACAACUUGCCUCUCUUUGACGUGGCAAUCAUCCAUAACUUCAUUGAUGAGUGGUUUGACACACCAAAUCUCAGCUUUGAUGAUCUGCAACUUCCAAUUGGCCUCAACGUCGCCUUCAAUGGCGCCAUUGCUUCUGAGCUAGCUAUUGCUCAGCGCAUCGUCGAACUGAAGCACAAGAUUGACUAUGAAAAGGCUCAGUUCAAGAAGCAUGUGGCCACGCUCAACGUGCAAGAUGCCAGGAACUUCAAGAUCAUGUUGCACGAGCUCAAAGAAGCCUUUCACAAGAAGCGUGAAGAAGCUCGAGGCUCCAGAGAGCGUAUGAAGAGUCUGGCUAACAAGUGUGUGCUUGCCUAUAAUGAGGCUGAGAAGCGUAAGACUCUUGGUCGUCCUGGCAUCGACCCCAGGAUGGCUGCAAAGAAGAAGAAAUCAACUGUCCCUUCUGCACCUUCAAGGCCAGAUGAACCUCGCAUUGUCUUCCCAAGCAGCAUGACUGGCUCGAAGCCACGAGUCACCACUACCGCUUCAGAACAGAAGAAGACGAGGGCUGCAGAGGCUGAAGCCAGAAAAAGGAAAACCUCCGAAGCCUCUGAAGCUGCUCCCUCCAAGAAGAAGCACAAGACCAAGAAGAGUCAGGCUGCUCCCACAAAGCCCCUUGUCGUUGAACCCAUCUCAGUGGUUCGUCCUGCAUCUGCAUCCCAAGAACUUUGCAUGACUGUUCAUGAGCCUGCUUCCACAGAGGCUCCUGAAGCUGAAGAGAUACCUGCAGCUGAACCCACCGCUACUGAAGACAUUGGUCAAGAUGACAAUGUUGAAGAUGAUGAAGUUCUUCCUCAAAUUGAAUAUAAUGUGGUAUCAUCGCCUGUUCGUAAGAACAACGAAAUCAUCAGCAUUGGACGUCCUCUGAUGCCAAUUGCUCAGGAUGCUUCAUGGGCUGAUCGCCCGCAAGAACAAGACUCCCCUAGCACUCCCCAACAACAACAAACCACACCAUCCGUACAAGUUGAAGAGGAUGAGGGCCUGCCCACUCCAUCUCCAAAGGCGUCGCCUGUACUACAAAGGCUUCGCAAAGGACCAAGGCCUCAAGCCCCUCUUCUGAGCGUUCCAGAAGGAGAGGUGCACCAUCAACCUGUUGCACGUCAAGUGUUUUCAGAAGCCACUCCUGUUGUGAAUGUCUCUGCGUCUGAAGCACCAGCUGCUGAAGACAAUCCAGCUGCAUCAGCCGAUGACGAACGUCAAGAAGAACAUAUCUCUACACCCCCCCAUUCUUGAAGAAGUUGUUCACGAUGUGAAAUUGUCUGUGCCUGACCCUCCAGCUCAGCAAGUGGAGGUUGAAAACCUUGAGCCUGCCACCACCAACACCAAUGAAGCCGAUGACAUAGUCAUGGCUAAAGCAAAUGUGGAGCCUGUCCCAAGCCCCAUACUAGAAGCCAAUGCUGAUAAUGCACCUGAAGCUUCUGAUGUGCAGCCCAAAGCCACUGUUGCUGCCACUGCUCCUGUUUCGCCACCAAGGCCCUAUACAAUUGAGCAAGCAUACAACCAUGGCGAGCUAAUCACCGUCAGAUGGCCUGUUCUGGUCCCUCCGCCUACUGUCUCUGGUCCUCAAUUUGACUAUCACAUUGAGCAUAGGCCUCAGGUCCAGAAGCCAAAGCCAAGACUGCCAAGGUUUCCUGGUACUGCCACAUCUGUCGGGUCUUUCAAUGCAAAUGGCUUCAAGAGCCACAACACAUUCUUUGACAGCUCAAAGAACCCCUACACGAAACCAAGAAUAUCAUCAGAUUGGUUCUGGAGUCAUCAGCAGCGAAGCUAUUACUCCUGUGUUUUGUAUGAUCAAGGGCGCAUUUUCCCUCAUAUGCGCCUCGACACUGAAGCCAUUGCUGGACUGCCCUGCUUAGAAGAAGCACUUGACUGCUUUCGUGAUGCGGGUCUGCUCCGCUUUGUCACAGACAAAGAACAUUGGAAUGAAGAGCUAUUGCUCCAAUUCUAUGCUACACUCCACAUUCGCGGUUAUAAUAGAGAUACGAAGACAUGGGUUCUCGAGUGUAUGACAGGAAAUGUUCAUCAUGAAGCCAAAGCUCUUGACAUCAUUGAGCUUACAGGCCUAUCCACUCCCGGAGAGCUCUAUGAACCUGGUUGUCAAAACCACCACAAUGCAUUGGAGAGCAUCUUCCACAAGCCCGAACCCAAUAUGAGCCAGAUGUUGAGCAUGAUGAAGCCUUUGCCACGUGAUGCUGAAUAUCCAAAGGAGUUCUUUGUUGAUGACCUUGAGUAUCUGCCGCGCACCAUAUAUCACAUCAUCAGGCGGACUCUAUGGCCUAUCAAAGGACAUUCAUCAGCUGCAAAACUCGAAGGAGCCAUGAAGACAUUGGUCUUUUACAUCCUCAAUGGCAUCAACUUCAAUGCGCAAGAUUUCUUCAUCAGGAAACUGGCUGCUUCUGGAUCUGACCUCUUCGGACUGAAAUUCUAUGCUCCAUGGGUCAUGCGCCUCAUCAAGCGACACUCUGCUAUCAACUAUCAACCAUCUGCUCGCAAUCAUGUGAUCUUCCUACCAGAGGUUGAUAUGUCAGUUGAAGCCAUAUAUCCUGAACCUGCCAAGAAGCCUCUUCGUCUUCAGAAUGCUGAACAUCAAAGCUUCACUCAGCCUAUGGAAGGAGUCCAAGUUGUCACGCGUGUGUAUCCAAUGGCUGGAAAUAUUCGUCUGCCUCAUCGUGCAUCAACUGAAGCCACUGCGAGCACCAUUGCUCAAAGGCCUCGGAAGCGCUCUCGGGUCCUCAAUGACCAAGAACUUCUUGUGGCCCUACAUCAGAAGCAAGACAAGCAUCAUUUUUGGCUAAAGCGUCAGAUGCAAAGCCUCUUGGUGGAUGUAAAUCGCAUUCGAAACCUUGCCACCAAGAAUGCGUUUGUCACUGACGAAAUUUGUCGGCGUUCAUGGAAGAGUUUGACCCUACUCAGUGCUGAAGCUGAUCUUCAAGACGAUGGCUUCACUGAAAGAUUCAAGUUUGACUCCUCUCCUCCACGGAAUGCUGUCCUACGAAGGACUCCAUCUCUUGAAGACUCUGAUUAUUCUUCCUCCACGGCAACUGUCAAUGCCAAUGCCAUCGAUGAUGAAGACGAUGCUACUUCACCGCCCCCUACUUCUGCACGCAUCGACACUGCACCAAGUUUGUCUGCACCGCCAAACGACAACGACAACCCUACUGCUUCAACUACUCCUCGUGAGGACGAGUAGAUGCUCUAUGUCUUCAAACCUUUUUGGUCAUUACUGAAAAAAGGGGGAGAAGCGUAUGAGUCUGAUAGUCUUCAAGCGGGUUCAUUAGGGCGGUUGCUUUAUAUUUUUUCCUAGUGCUUUCAACUCUUGCCCUUGAUACACUUCGUUCUUUGAGUUGUAAUACUUAAACUUGAUGGUCGUCUGCUACUUAUUUGUGUUUCCACGUGCGAUGAUAACUUCUGCACUUAGAUCAUUCUGCAGACGUCCAUUUGUCAUUAUGCAUAUCAUUCUCUUAGCUAUAUCAUUUCAUGCAUGAUGAAUUAUCUUCAUAAGUUGAAGAGGAUCUCCACAAGUACAACCUGCCAUGUGCAUUUGCAUUCCAAAAGCAAAUUAUUUAUAUGCACAUCUUCAGGGGGAGCCCUUGCCACUUAUGAAGACAAUACGCUAUCCUUUACAAUUUCACAUACUUCUUUCCCGUUGAAAACUUCAACCAGUUUGUCAUCAAUCACCAAAAAGGGGGAGAUUGUAAGUGCAUCUAGUGCCACCCCUAGUUGGUUUUGGAGUAUUGACGACAAAGUUGGUUGAGGGACUAAUGCGUUUGUGAGAAUUGCAGGAUAACGCAGAUAGUGUCCCUCAUUGAUUCGGUUUACCUACCGGAGAUGACCCCUAAAAAUGUAUGAAGACAUUGAAGACAAUGGUGGUGUGUGAAGAUAUUCACACUGAAGUCUAUGACAUGAGAAGACAUUAAGUGAAGACUAUGGAGCGCGAAGACUGAGUCGUUUCGUUGUUUCCUUUUCUUCUUUGUUGAGUCAUAGGAACCACCGCACUGUUAAGUGGGGUCCAAGUGAACUAAGUCAGAGUGACUGAAGUGAUGCUCAACCCAAAUCCUAUGUCUUCGAGCGAAGACAAUGUGAGCAAAUCUUAUCCAGAGCUGGAUGAGUCGGCUUUGCUUGUAGCCCAAGUAAAGUUCCCGUGUGUGUUUGAAAUCUGACCGUUGGAACACGUUUCAGUUCCUUAGUGACCCAGGGUCAUUUCGGACAUAUCAGGUCGGGUUGCCUUGUGGCUAUAAAUAGCCCACCCCCUACACCAUAAAUUGGUGGCUGCUCAGAGUUAGUUUACGGCUUUUGUCGUUUUGAGAGCAACCCACCUCGAAGCCUUUGAGAGAGAAAUCCUUGCGAGGACAAAGCCCAAACACCCAGAGCCAAAGUGUGUUAGGCAUCACUGAAGUCUUUCUGUCUGUGUGACCUGAAGACUUAUUACACUUGAGGACUGUGUAUCCUCCAGCCGGUUAGGCUUCGCGUUCUGAGCAUCCAAGAGUCAUUGUGGAUUUCCGGGUGAACGAAGUCUGUGAAGGUUCGGAAGUCUACCUUGAAGACUUACAAGAGUGAUUAGGCAAGGACUGGGUGUCCUUAGCUCAAGGGGAAUAAGGUGAAGACACGGUCUUCUGAGUUGAAUCUCAGCCUCCCCAACCAGACGUACAGUUGUCACAGCAACUGGAACUGGUCCAACAAAUCAUGUGUCUUCAACAAGUGACUGCUUCUAUCUCUUCCCUCCUUUACUUUGAGUUUGUCUUCGUGAAGUCAUUGCUUAUCUGUCUUAUCUGAUUGACUUCAUUGCUUGACUACUAUUGUUGAUUGGCUUCAUACUAUCUUCCAUCCUGAUCCUUACUACCUAGCUGCUGUUAGUCUUCGUACGUUACCACUAUUGCAUACUUGACUAUGGCUUGCUUUGUGUAGUUUAUCUUCCGUUGCAUAUCAAUUAGGUCAUUUCUAUUGUUUAUCUUCGAAACUUCCAUGUUUUGAAGACUUUGAUAAAAAUCUCCUAUUCCCCCCCCUCUAGUCGAUAACUAGCACUUUCAAAACCCGGCGAUCCGCUGGUACCAGGCGCGGGGUGCCUGCUUGAGCCCGUAAAGAGAGCGGGACAACAGACACACAUGGCCGGGAAGUGAGACGUUGACCAAACCGGUGGGUUGCUCACAAUACACCUGCUCCUCAAGAUGGCCGUGGAGAAACGCGUUGGAGACAUCCAUAUGGUGAACAGGCCAGCCGCGGGAUACGGUGAGCUGGAGGACGGUGCGGAUCAUGCCCGGUUUGACAACCGGGGCAAACAUCUCAGUGAAGUCCACUCCAGCGCGCUGGCGGAAACUACAGACCACCCAGCGAGCCUUGUAGCGCUCGAGAGUACCAUCCGAGCGGGUCUUAUGGCGAAAGACCCACUUGCCGGUGAUGACGUUGGCGCGAGGACGCCGGGGAACCAGGGUCCAGGUGCGGUUCCGUUGAAGAGCAUCGAACUCUUCCUGCAUCGCCGCUAGCCAAUGAGGAUCACGGAGGGCGGUGCGAGCGGAUGCGGGAAUGGGCGACGGCUCCGUGGUGGAAGCGGCGAGGACGUACUCGUCGCUCGAGUACCGGAGGCUCGGACGAUGAACGCCGGUACGAGCGCGGGUGACUGGGCCGGGCGGCGCCGUCGGAGCCACCGGCGAGACGGCCGGCGUCGGGGCCGACGAAGCGGCCGGCGUCAUGGCCGGCGAGGUAGCCGACAUCGGGGCCAGCGAGGGGGCCGGCGUGGGGGCCGGCGAGGUAGCCGGCGUCGGAGCCGGCGAGGGGGCCGGCAUCAGGGCCGGCGAGGUGGCUGGCGUUGAGGCCGCAGAAGAGGCGGCCGAGCCUGCAGCGCCAGAUCCCGCGGCGCCCGAGUCGGGGGCGGCGGGUGAAGACGGGGCGCCGGCUGCACCGUCAGAGCCGACCAAGGAGGCCGAGGGGGCGGGCGCCGGCGUGAGGGCGCGAGGACCGCCAAAGCCCGGAGGUGGUUCACGGGCCAGGCGGGACCGUCCACCUGACGAAGUCGUCGAAGGGCCGGCGGUGACGAGACGACAAGGGGUACCUGCUGCUGAAACGGAAACACCAUCUCAUCAAAGUAAACGUGUCGGGAGGUGAAAACACGAUGGGAGACGGGAUCAUAGCAGCGAUAGCCCUUGGUGUUAGGUGGGUAGCCGAGAAAGAUGCAGGCGACGGAGCAGGGUGCAAGCUUAUGAGGCGUAGUAGCGGCGAUGCUAGGGUAGCAAAGGCAGCCGAAGAUGCGAAGCCCAUCAUAAUAGGGGGGUGCACCGAAGAGGAGAUGAUGAGGUGUAAAGUUCCCGCGAGUACGACAUGGGCGGAUGUUGAUGAGGAGAGAAGCGGUGGCGAGAGCGUCAGGCCAAAAGCGCGGAGACACAUUGGCAUGAAAGAGAAGAGUCCUAACGCAGUCAUUGAGAGUGUGAAGGAUGCGCUCAGCACGACCAUUCUGCUGCGAGGUGUACGGGCAAGUAAGACGAAAAAUCGUGCCAUGUGUGGUGAGAAGAUUACGAACCGCGAGGUUAUUAAACUCCUUCCAAUUGUCUGUCUGCAAUGCAAGAAUGAGACAACCAAACUGCGUGAGAACAUAAGAAUAGAAAGCGGCGAGAGUGGAUAUAACAUCCGACUUGCGGCACAACGGGAAGGUCCACACAUAAUGCGAAAAAUCGUCAAGUAUGACAAGAUAAUAAAGAAAGCCCGUAUUACUGGCAACAGGAGAUGUCCAAACAUCACUAUGAAUUAACUCAAACGGGUACGAUGCAACAAAAGAAGAAGCCCUAAAUGGAAGACGAGCAUGUUUGCCGAGGCGACAUGCAUGACACGAGUGAUCCUCGUUCUUAUUACACGUGAAAAAAAACUCCGAAGUAUGUGGCGAAGGGUGGCAGGAUUAGGAUGACCCAAGCGAGCAUGCCAAAGAUCCACUCCGGUGGCGAGAGCGACAGGGGCGGCAGAAGUAGUGGAGGUGGCGGAGUGAACCGGGUAGAGCUCGUCGGGGUUGUCACGUCGGUGGAGCACCAUCCGCGUGCGAGCGUCCUUAACAGAAAAACCACAUUCGUCAAAUUCAAGGGUAACCGGAUUUUCACAUGUAAGAGAACGAACAGAAACAAGAUUUUUAAUAAGUUCAGGAGAAACUAGAAUAGUAGACAUGGAUAUAGGAGUGGAGUUAGACGGAAAAUAUGUAUGACCAAUAUGAGUGAUGGGAAGGGAAGAGCCGUCACCGGCGGUGAUGCGGUUGGAGGUAUGGACAGGAUGGGCGGUGUGGAGGUUAUCGGGGUACGCCGCCAUAUGAGCGGUGGCGCCGCUGUUCAUGUACCAAUCGCCGCCGCCGGUGUAGCUGGACGGGUAAGGAGCGUUGUGGAGAGCCGCCAGGAGGGCCGGGUCCCACGGUGCCGGCGGGAGAGGCGGCGCGGCCGUCAGGGGCAGCGGCGGCGGCCUACCUGGCGGCUGCUGCUGACCGUAGGGCGCCGUGUAGGGCUGCGGCACGGCGUAGUACGCCUGGUGUGGCUUAGGCCGGGUGCCGAGAAUGCCCGGGGCAGGGGCCCGAGGAACCGGCAUGGAGUAGGCGUGUACAACGCCGGUCCAUGGGUUCUGACCGGCGUACCACAGGGCCGGCUGAGAAGCCUGCUGCGGUGGGCGGGGCGCUCCUCGCUGAGCANNNNNNNNNNNNNNNNNNNNNNNNNNNNNNNNNNNNNNNNNNNNNNNNNNNNNNNNNNNNNNNNNNNNNNNNNNNNNNNNNNNNNNNNNNNNNNNNNNNNNNNNNNNNNNNNNNNNNNNNNNNNNNNNNNNNNNNNNNNNNNNNNNNNNNNNNNNNNNNNNNNNNNNNNNNNNNNNNNNNNNNNNNNNNNNNNNNNNNNNNNNNNNNNNNNNNNNNNNNNNNNNNNNNNNNNNNNNNNNNNNNNNNNNNNNNNNNNNNNNNNNNNNNNNNNNNNNNNNNNGGUGGUGUGGGUCGCGCGAGUCUGCGCCACCCGCAUCCGGCGCUCCUCCAACUUGAGGUACGCGGCCACCUUGGCGAAGGUGGGCUCCGGGAUGAGGGUGAGGUUGGAGGCGGCGUUCCCGAAGUCCUCGUUGAGGCCGCCGGAGAGGGUGCUGAUGAGGAGCUCAUCGCCGAUCUUUUCCCCGAGAUCACGGAGCUCAUCGGCGAGCUUCUUUAGGCGCAUGCAAAAAUCAUCAAUGGAUGAGUCAAGUUGCUGGCACCCGUAAAACUCACCAUAGAGCAGGACCUUGCGCUGCAGCCGAUUGUCAGUGAAGAGGCCGUUGAGUUUGGUCCAGACCGCAUAGACAUCAUCCUCGUCGUCCACCACAGUGUGGAAGAGGUCGCCGGCAACGCUGUUGAUGGUGCACCGCCACUCUGCUGUUGGAAGGGUUGACCACCCGUUGUUAUUGCAAAUCAGACAUAUCACUUACUGAUGCUAGGGGCAAAGCCACGUAGUAGUGGUUGGCUCUUAGAUCAAGAUUCAGACAUAUCACUUACUGAUAUUGCAAAGCAAGGGUAGCAAGGAGAUGACAGAUCAAUUAUUUCAGAGGUAAAACUCCAGUCUGAGUUAGGAAUAGCUUCAGCUUGUGCAUAAGCCAGUUGUCCUAGUGAAAUCUGCUUAAGCUGGGUUGAAAAGAGAAAAAAAACAGAGGAAUUCAUUUGAUUGGGUUUGUAAAGGCUUAUGGAUCUUAUCUUAUUUCUGGUGGUGAAUUGUGUAAACUAUAAAAAACACCUUUUAUGCUUGUUUAAUUUAUAAGAUUGCUGUUUUAAAUUUUUUAUUUGCACGAAAUAUCAAUGUUAUAUCCGGUCCACACAAGAAUUGGCAUCACAACUUGAAAAAUGUGAACAAGCAAGCAAGAUUGUACAAAUUCAUUUGGUGCAGUGAGCAACCGAUAUCAAGAACAGCAUAGACACAUCAGUGGUGGAAAAAUAUAUAUCAAAAGUCAUCAAACUCGGGUAGUAAAAUGAUAGCUUAAUAUAGAGUACGGUCAGGAAACCAACAUCCCAUGCAGCCAGCACAUGUUCCAGCGAAAAAGGAAACAGGGCUCAUCACGAAAGAUUGAAAAUGAAUCAAAUCUCUCAUCAGGAAUACAAUCUGAACCCAUUUCUGUAAUAAUGAUAGUGGUAAGAUACACUACUACUGACGUUGGCCACGUGUCACCCCAUUAGAAUUUCAAAUACUGUUGACGUGGUAUCCAGCGCCACCACUAUAUUUUAACAAUGGCGCCAUAUUAGUGGCAUCGGAUGUCCACGCGAGCAAGGCCAUUUUUUCCACACCAUAGUUAGGCUUUUUUGCACUAGUGACAUGGGGGACGUUCUAGGAGAAGCCACAAGAGGAGCCGCAUCCAACAGCCACAACAUAGGAGGGACAACCGCAGUGGCGGAGCGAGCGCCCAGCGACCCUGGGCAGUUGCCCGGGCUCGCUGGCACUCCGACGGCAACAAUGGUCGUACCACAAUACGUAAAACUGCUGGAUACGGAGUGGAUUUACCCGGGCAAAACUGGAUUAGGCCUCCUUCACAGCCCAGCCCAGUUAUUUACUUGAACGUCCCGAUCACUCCAGCCCACUAAAAAAAAGAAUACCAUCGACAUCGAUCGCUUCGCUCCAGCCCACUAGGCAACAGGGAAUACCAUUGAUCGCUCCAGAGUCCAGACAGUUCUCUCCUUCUCGGCUUCUCGCGUACUCGCGUCUCUUUGGUUUCUCCCAAGUGCGGCAGGGACUUGAAGGCGAGCCGGCGAGGCGGCGAUCUGGGGCUGGGCGAGCGGCAGGCCGCUGGCGAGCCGGCAGUGGCCACGGUCGUCCCCUCCUUUGGCCCUUCCUCUCCUGAAGGCUGAGGCAGUUCCUUUUCUUCGACUUCCAGUAAGAUCGCUUACUUAAUAACUGAUUUGGGUUGAGAUAAUGAGAUUGAUGUACUUAGGGCUUAUUUAGGAACUUUUGAUUGGGGAUGAUUAUGACCAAAGUCCAAAGAGAAAAUCUAUUUGUUAGCGGUUGGAAACUACAGAAACUGUAAGUUAAUUAGACUGACAAACUAGUAUGCAGGUUGCAGACACUUUCCUCUAGUAAUUUUAAGAAAUAUUUCACCGAUUUCACUUCAGUUUGGCAACAUCAAGAAAUACUUGAUAAUCUGAUACAUGUAGUUGAUGCAAGUAGCUUUUUUUAUUGUACUGUACUAUGAACUUGUGAUUAAUCCAUAUUCUUAUUUGUGUAAAAACUAACUUCAGAUUUUUUACUCACUAAAUUUCAGAGAUGAGGAGGUUUUUGGUUAAGAGAGCAAGGACUGAAAAUAUGAAUGAUGUGCAACCUGAAGUAGAAGUAGAGCAAAGGACUGAAAAUGUGAAUGAUGCGUAGCCUGAAAUAGAAGUAGAGCCACCAGUGCCAAAUGUUGCCAAUGAAUUUAAUCCAAAUGCGAUUGAGCACGAUUCGGGAAAGAGGAAACACAUUUGUGAAUAUCCUCCUGAUAUUCAAGACCAAGUGAGGAGAGCAUAUAUAUUGAAGGGUCCAAUGCAACCAGAUUUGAAUAAAUACCAUCGUACUGAUUUUGGAAGUUCGCGUUCCUCGAGCAUUUUCCAAAUCUUGGUAUAGAAGGUACGACUGGAUAGAAUACAGUGAGUGGAAUAUUGAUAUAUUAGUUCGCUUAAAUAUUACAUUUGUAUGACUGUUAUGUCUGUACUUUCACUUCAAUAUUAAUGUGGAUUUGUGCUUUGCAAGUUUGAUGCAUAGUAUAUAUUGUCUACCCGGUACGGAAUUUUUUAUUUGCAUAUUAGUCAUUCAGGCUUAAGUUUGACCGGGCUUCGCAAAAGUUCUGGCUCUGCCCCUGGACAACCGUGACCUUGGUGGUUACUUCCGUCGUGAUGGCCACGAUGGAUACUGUGGCGGUGAUGGAGGUUAACGUGGAGGCUAUGGUGGUGGUUACAGUGACUGCGGUGGUGGUAGUUACCGUGGUGGUGGCGGGAGGGGUGGAGGUGGUGGCAAGCAUGACAUGUACGAUGAUGGACUAAGGCGUACGUAUGGUGGCAGCCCACCACGACGUGGAAGGAGCCCUCUAGCCAGAGAGAACUGCAAGGAACACAUGACCAAUAUCAAGCAGUGGAAUCGUGAGCGGGAGGAGAAGAAAUGAUGAUCUCUAUCUAUGUCAGUCCGGUUAUGGGCAAUGCACCAUUUCCUUAUUAAUUAUCGCUUCGUUAGCUUGCAUCUAUGUUGGUUUGAUGUUGAACAUUGGUGUGUCUGUCGAUAUAGUAUUGCUUGGUUUACUGAGCUCUGAGGUGCAAGAUUCAUUUGGAGUUGUGUAAGUUUAUGAAUAUUUGUCAGUGGGAUCUGCUAUCUUAUUGUUUGAGAAGUUAGUGUCAUGCCUUUAUUUAUUUGGUUGAUUGGUCUUCUCUUGUUUGGUGUUACCCUUCAUGAAGGCACUGCCUUGCUCGUUUAGUGUUUCAUGUUGAAAUUGAAGAUAUUGGACGCAAUGUUGGUCCGGUUUGUUCCUCGGGGCACGGGCAUCCGGGGCGCAAUGUAUGACCUCAACCAUGCUUCCUCCAUGGCUUCUCCCUCCAUCCCGGCCAGGUCUUCCAACCCACUUGUCCAUCCUCUAGGUGCUUAGGUGGAAGGUAUGUUGAUCCAGUCUGUCCUGGAGUCGUGGUAGUGGGACAAUGGUGCCGAGCAUUGGUAGUGACGUGGUCUAGACACCCCAUGUAUCUCGUCUCUUUGCCUUGUCGGCUGACUUCGAGUUAGAAGAGUUUUGUGAUGUGUUGUAUCCCUCUUUGCUAUUACCAUAAGUAGUAUGGUGCUUCUCGCUUCUCUCAUAUAUGUAACUAUUAUUUCUCUCUUUCCUAUCAAUAAAAUGAUACACAAAAUUUGCGUGUUUGUGAAAAAAAAAACAUGUAAUUAUGUCUCGUACUUGUUUCUCCGUUCCAUCUGCUGUUGCAUGCAUGACUUCGGUGCUCUUUUGGUCCCUCUGUACGAAAGAUACAUAUAUGGUUUGGGCCCAGCCAUCAGCUGACGAUAUAGAGAUAGUCGGAUGAACAAAUAGAAAUGGAAGCAUUACCACGUGCAGGUGAAAAUGGUAAAGCCAAACCGGAAAAGGAGAAGCGUUGUGAUGUGAUAUUUGGAUUUUGAAUUGAAUAUUUAGAACUUUAGCUGUUUUUUCCUUUGUGAAAAAUAACUAAACUUGAAAGGCACUUCCGAUCGAAGAAGAAUCAACGCAAGCCAUGCGACGAACCUAGUGCCAUUUUGCCUCACCUAUGAGGACCGCUGGCAUGGUGAAAUAAUUUAUCAACUCAGCAACACAAUGAGAGAUACAAAUCAUGGUGUGGUCUUUUACCCAAACGAGUAGUGAAUGGUUCUUAUAGAUGAACAUUCAGACAUACUGUAUAUCGCUUACUAAUAAUACAUAGCAAGGGUAGCAGGGAAAUGAGAAUGACGACCAACUAAACGAGAGAUACAACGAGUACAACAAACUACCAAGCCAGAAAAGAUACAAUGAGUGCAACCACCAAACCAUAAAACAACUGAAGACUGAAGGAGGGAGUACAGGUUAGCUAGUGCGACGAAAAGCAUCACAACAGAGUUCAUUGCAGAGUAUUUUCCAAAGGAAAAGCUCGCCGUCACAGCUGAGCUGCCUGGCAUGAGAAUCCCUUGUUCUCAUGAUUUGUCAAUUGGGUCUGUUGCCGCAUUAUUUGCGUUGUUGGUAAUUCUACCAGUGCCUUAACCGUUAGUGCUUCUCAGUCGGCUUCAGGCAUCACGUAAUGUGUUUGCUUGUUUUAACCGUUGCUACCCUGUUGUUUGUACUAAUGCCCAUGCAUUCCUCGCCACAAGUUUCUGAGAUAAUCAUACGAAUGAUGAACUAGCGCAAGACAUGUGAAGCACUUUCGAGACCACAGGCAGACUGUGAUAUAAUCUACCACUGUUUGUUUGUUACUGCAAGCAAGAUUUGGACAUGUCAUUCAAUAAAACUACUAGUAGAAUUUUUUGUCAAAAUUCCUCGCAGUACAAAUACAGAGCAAGUUUAUCAAUAAAAGAACGACCAAACCAGAGAAUACACGGGUACAGCUAGAAACCCAACAUAGAAUACGGAUUAGCUAGUGAAAUGAGAGGCAUCACAAGAAAUUUAUUGCAGAGGAAAAGAUAGCUAGGGUACUUCUCAAAAGAAAGACGCACAGAACCUCGAUUUGAUACAAUCAGCAUCUGCGUGUUGUGUAGCGACCCAUAUGAUUGUUAUUAGCUCACCACCACGGCUUAGUUGUUUGGCAUGGGACUCCCUGCUGCACCGGAGGGACGCAUCGACGAGCAUGUUCACCCACACAUCCAAGAUGAACUCCAACGUUCUUUCAAUAUGCCCAGAGCCAGGACCAGGAGGAUGCAGCAUAUUUGGAAUCCAGUGUGCGUGUCUUCUAAUGGCAACAAGUCCACCUUCUUCGGUAGCUGUCCUCCGAUGAUGCAGCUCAUGGGCAAUUUGAGUUCCUUCUGAGAGACAAAUACGAGCUCUGUCCUCGAGAUGACCCUUAUUUAUUCCUCCAGUUCCUUCACCAGUAGCACCUAGCGUCUUGAGAUUAUCCUUGUUCGUCAGCAUCCACUUGGCAAGCUCAUCCCCUUUUGUUUUAGAACUGCUGGCCCUAUAUUGCGGCUUGACCGCCAUCCCAAUAAUACGGCAGGCUGUUUUGAUCACGCUGUGGAACUUACGGCCUGGUAGCAUGUCAUGUUUUCCGAUGUCGAGGAACAUCAUGUAAUCCGAUAUCAUCUCGAUCGCCUUCUUAUGGUGUGGGAAUCGCUGCGCAACUGUGGCUGUGACUUGGGUGUUGCACCUGAGGUAAACAUCUGUGGCGAUGUGCCAGAUGAAGACAUCCUCUUGAAAUUCAGGAGGAUGAUCAGGUUGUUGCUCGGAUGUGCCAGGCCCCAAGCGAUCAGCCUGCUCGGCGGGAGGAGGGGACCGUGUGACAGAUCUUCUAUAUCGGCCAAGCAAAACAGAAGCUUUGAUGGAUAGCUCUCAGAGAACAGAAGAGCUGCUGUAUAGGGUGCCCCCUCCCCGAGUGCAGUUGUCCAACAAGUUUCUGUAUAGGGUGUUAAAUGGUCCCCGAGUGCAGCUGUUCAAGAAGUUACGCUGCCCCAAGGAACCCGCCCACCUCCUGUAGCUUUUGGGCUCCUCGGCAGAUUCACACGUCCACAAGCACAAGGAAACCCGGGAAAGAAGCAGUGACACGACAAACCGACGGAGCUUCGCCCAUCUCUCCAGGAAUUCAUGCUUCAACCAAAUGUUUGGCCUACGUUUGAAGAAUGAACGUGUCCAUGCUGAUGCUAGUGCUCUGAACAGCCAUCUCACGUCGAGGAGGAGGGUCAAAUUCAGCAACACAUAACUGAUAGCUUCAUUUUCUGUCGACAUGCCCUCUUUGUGGUGGAGGCCAAACAGGAGGAGCGCGAUGGCGGUAAGGGGCGGUGCGAUCAUACGGAUGGCGUAGCCACCCCAGGUGUGGACCACGGCUGCCUUGGUGUAGAGGAUGUCAUACAUGAGUGAGAGUUCCAUCUGCACCACUUUGCACAUAAUUUUCCAAUUAACAGUUUUGAACAAGCUUAUGCCAGCUUUAUGACGAUCCAGGUCCACCAGAUAAUCACAAAAGGCACCCUUGCCUCAGGAACGGGACCCAGAAUGCGAAGAUCAUCUUCUCGCGCCGUGAGGUUUCGAUGUACAGGUUGCUCAUGACAUAUGCCGGGGCCAAGUCAGUCAGCUGGUAUGCCACCCACACCAACCCUCUCCUCAAACCUCUGCGUUUGCGCCGGCGGAUGUCGGCGAAGACGGCAAGGAUAAGAUGUGACGCUAAGCUGAGAAGCGUCACUAUCCGGUACAUCCAGUUACUCCACCACUCCACCCCAUGUUCAAUCCAUUGUCCACCAUACAAGCAUGUACUAGCCAUUAAGUGCUCCUGCAUGCACCGAAAUCAAGAUUAGGUACACUAUACCACAUAUAUAUGUGCAAGGCAUCUACUUCCUCUGUUUCUAAAUAUAAGACCUUUCAGAGAUUAAAAUAUGUAGGGACUACAUACAGAUAUGUAUAUAGAGUUAUAGACACAUUAUAGAGUGUAAAUUCACUCAAUUUGCUCCGUUUGUAGUCUAUAUUGGAAUGUCUAAAAGGUCUUAUAUUUAGGAACGGAGGGAGUAGUAUGUAGUCUAGCUAGCUGUUACUGUUAAUUGAGAUGUUGCGUCCAUGCUAGAGAGAGGUUAAUAAGGACCAAAAACCAAAAUCAAGUACAAGUACACACAUACCGGCAUGCACCAGCUAGCUAGGCUGAUCAAUGCUUCGACCUUCCAGUGGAGACCUAAGACAAGUGUUACUCUCGUGUCCUGUCUCUAGAGCUGGGACUGGCAUAUGAGCAGUUCUAAGUUGAUCCACUAAUAGCUUAACUGUAGAAUGUUUCCUACUUAGGUUCAGUUUUGUCUUUACUGACCCGUUAAACUAUGGCUAUUGUGCAUCAAGAUUCGUUCGAAGUCCUAAGAAAACACAAGGUUGUCAGGGACGGUUUUUCUUUGGCUGGGGUUGCCGUCAAUCUGAAUUGAGGAUGUCAGUGAUUGGCAGCUCCAGACUGCAAAAUUUGUCCUACUUAUUGGACAGCUGAUCAGCAUUGUUCUUAGUUCCACUUCCUAGUGCACACACUAGCAGCCACUGGGGCCUAGCAGGGGGCGGCAAUGAGCACCGGUGAGCCGUGUCGACAUCACCAACAGCAGAUGGAGAGGAAGGGAAAAGGGCUGGCAAAGCCAAAAGCAAGGAUCACAUGAAACUAUUGUGUGCAUUGUUAAUGUAUAUGAAACUAUUUUUCUUUCUCGCAAAAAAGAAGUGUAUAUUGACUACACAUGCACUGAACUGGAGCUAAGAUGAUUAGAUACGGUUCUUAUCAAUCAAGCUAGAACAAAAGAGAUUAUUUGUCCCUCACAAUUUGGUAAUCCUGCUCUGCCAAUUUUCACCAUCAGUGUCAAAUAAACAAUGAGCGCACGGAGAGAUUGAGAGAGCGCUCACCGAAAUCAGUGGAGUGGCGCUUGGGCAUAUGCAGGAACUCGGGAGUACUCAUGCUCCCGGUCAUGCCGGAGACCGCGGCACACGAAAUCUUGAGCAAUGGAGAAGGGCGCAAAAUUCACGGCCAUACCGCUGCCUUGCGGUCCUCCUCGCUUCAGGUCAGGGACCGAGCGCGGAAGGGCGCCGCCGCCUCGAUUCCUUCCUCGGUGGUGGGCUCGGCCUUGGCCUCCCCUACAGGAUCCGGAGAGGGAGGUUCGGCGGGGAGUGGCGGCGGACGGGCCGACGGGAGGGGCGCUGCCAUCGCUGGCCGCCUGGUCUGGUGCCGCCGUACGGGGGGAGGCAGGCGCGACUAUGAGGUGCUCAUAGCCAGACCGAAGCGGGAGACAAUCGCCCGGCCCAGCGCGCUGGAGGGCCACAAGCAUUAAGCGUUCGUUUUUUUCUUUCAUUUUGAACUUUUUUAGUUUUUAUUAGAAAACAUUUGUUUAUAUUUCGACAUAUUCUAAACAUAUAGUAUAUUAUAAAAAUAAAUUUACAUAAAAUUUUGAAUAAAUUUUAGUCAUGCAUUUGAAAAAUGUUAAACCUAUAUAGAAAAUUGUUUCUAAUGUAUAGAACAUGUAUGAAAAAAGUAGACAUCAAAACAUAUAUAGGAAAAAAAAUAAACAUGUAUAUUUUUUUAUGAUGUAUACAAAAAAUGUAGAUGGUGUAUGAAAAAUGUAGACAUCAAAAUAUAUAUACUAUAAAAGUGUGUGCUGUGUUAAAAAAAUGUUUGUGCAAGUUUUAAAAAAUGGUGAUAGAAUUUGAAAACAAUGUUUCAACAUGUCAUUGAAUUUUUUUAACACAUAUGCGAACAACAAUGUUCAAAAACAUAUGUUUGAAAACAUGUUAAUGAUGUAUUUGAGAAAUGUUAAACAUAUAUAAAAUAAAUGUUUUAGAUGUAUACGAAAAAUGUACAAUGCAUCUAGCACAAAGUAGACAUGAAAACAUGUAGUAUUUGGAAAAAAUGUUAAUCAUUGUAUUUUACAAAUUUUAACUAUGUAUUAAAAAGUGUUAAACGUGUAAAAAAAUCUUGAUGUAUACAAAAAAUAGAAGGGGAGCCUUGGCGCAGCGCUAAAGUUAUUGCAAAACAGUUUACGAGUCCUGGAAACAGCCUCUUGCAGAAAUGUAGGGAAAAACUGCAUACAAUAGAUCCAAAGUGCCUGGACCCUGCAUAAGCGGGAGUUACGUGCACUGCGCUGCCCCUUUAUUUAUAUAUACAAAAUAUGUAGACAUCAAAACAUGUAGCAUAAUGUUAAUCAUGUAUUUUAAAAUUGUAAAACAUAUAUAAAUUUUUUCUUGAUGUAAAACAAAUGUAGACAUAAAAACAUGCAUAUUUAAAAUAAUGUUAAUCAUGUAUUUAAAAAUUAUUAAAUGUGUAUAAUUUGUUUUCUUGAUGUAUACAAAAACUGUAGACAUCAAACAUGUACUACCUCUAUUCCUAAAUGUAGUGUGCAUAGGUAAGUUCAAAAGUCAAACUUCUCCUACCUUGAUUACAUUUAUAGAGGACAAAUAUCUACAUCUACAGGUUAAGUAAAUAUCAUUAGAUACAUCAUUAAGCAUAUAUUUAUAUUAUAUUUGUUUAGUAUUAUUUUGGUUGAUGCUUUUCUCUUUGGUCAAACAAAACAAUGUUUGACUCCUAGGAAAUUUUAUACGCACUACAUUUAGGAAUAGAGGGAGUACAUUUAAAAUAAUGUUAAUCAUGUACUCCCUCCAUCCCAUAAUAUAAGAACGCUUUUCAUGCUAUGCUAGCUUGAAAAACGUUCUUAUAUUACGGGACAGAGGGAAUAUUUUUAAAAUGCUGAACGUGUAUACAAAUAACGUUUCAUGUAUUUUUAUUAAAUGAGUAUAAGAAAAAAAGUACAAGGCGUAUGGGAAAAAGUAGACUUGAGAACAGAUAUUAUAAAAAAUGUUAGUCUGUAGUUAAAAUGUUAAAUAUGCAUAAAACAUAUUUUGUUGUAUACAAAAAUGUACAUUGUAUGUGAAAAAGUAGACAUGUGUUGAAAAAGUAAAAAGAAACAAAAAGCAAAAAAAAAGUUAAACACAAUGAAAACCAAAGCAAAAAAGAAAAACUGAGAAAGAAACAUAGAAAACUGAAGAAAACGAAAAAAAAGGAAAUCCAAUUUUUUUUUGAAGAAAAACAAAGAAACCCGAGAAAGCAACAAAUAAAAAGAAAGGAACCCCAAAAAAUGAAGCGAAGGAGCAAAGCGAGCAUACAUCUCGCUGUAAGCGAGAUAUAGCUCCCGGAGCAGCAGGUGGACAAAUGAUGUUUCCCUUUCUUCACGAGUGAAUCUCGCAGCACCCCAAUUUCAACAUGGUAAAUUUUUAUUUUUAAACUUUCAGUUAUAAAACCACUAAUUUUGUGCUAAUGACCAGCAAGGCUCACUUGUCAGGCCUAGUGACAAGAACAUUGUUUACUUUGAUAUAGCUUUGAAUUUUCAAUGAAGAUCCAAUUAAUUUGGAAAUAAAAACUUUAAACUACUUAUAUCUUUUAAAAAAAUCAUGAAUUUUUUUUUUGUUAAAAUUUUCGUAGCAAACUUACCAACGAUGAUUCUCUCAUAGUCAAACUGCUCAUUUUAAUGAGCUGAAAUUCUUCAGAAUAGUCAUUCCAAUGAGUAUGGCUUUUCUAGAAACCACAACAAGCAACCUUGCGGUAAAUGACAAUUUUAUGGUAGGUACCCAUCCCAGGAAUAUGGCUGGAACCGUUGAUGAUGAUGUGAUGGUUUUCGAUUACUUCCCGGUCGUCGUUAUAACAUUGUAGCUAAACGCUUAAUUAUGAGAUUGAAAAUAUAAUAAUAUAACAUUAUUGCCUCUAGGGCAUAUUUCCAACACUGACACAUUUGAUUGUUGGAAAUGUUGGGGAACGUAGUAAUUUCAAAAAAAAAAUCCUAAGCACACAUAAGAUCAUGGUGAUGCAUAGCAACGAGAGGGGAGACUGUUGUCCAUGUACCCUCGUAGACCGAAAGCGGAAACAUUAUGACAACGCGGUUGAUGUAGUCGUAUGUCUUCACGAUUGACCGAUCCUAGUGUUGGGGAACGUAGUAAUUUUAAAAAAAUUCCUACGUACACGCAAGAUCAUGGUGAUGCAUAGCAACGAGAGGGGAGAGUAUCGUCUAUGUACCCUCGUAGACCAUAAGAGGAAGCAUUAUGACAACGCGGUCGAUGUAGUCGUACGCCUUCACGAUCGACCGAUCCUCAGUACCGAACGUACGGCACCUCCGCGUUCAGCACACGUUCAGCUCGGUGAUGUCCCGUGAACUCACGAUCCAUUAGAGCUUCGGGGAAGAGCUUCGUCAGCACGACGGCGUGGUGACGGUGUUGAUGAAGUUACCGACGCAGGGCUUCGCCUAAGCACCGCUACGAUAUGACCGAGGUGGAUUAUGGUAGAGGGGGGCACCUCACACGGCUAAGAGAUCAAUGAUCAAUUGUUGUGUCUUGGGGUGCCCCUCUGCCCCCGUAUAUAAAGAAGCUAGGGGGGAGGCGGCCGGCCAAGGAGGAGGGCGCACCAAGGGGGGAGUCCUACUCCCACCGGGAGUAGGACUCCUUUCCUAGUAGGAGUAGGACAAGGGGGAAGGGAAGGAGAGAGGAGAAAGGAAGGGGGGGCACCGCCCCCUCCUUUUCCAAUUCGGACUAGAGGGGGAGGGGGCGCGCGACCUGCCCUGGCUGCCCCUCCUCUUCUCCACUUAGGCCCAAUAGGCCCAUUAUACUCCCCGGGGGAUUCCAGUAACCCCCCGGUACUCCGGUAUAUGUCUGAAACCUCCCGAAGCACUUCCGGUGUCCAAACAUAGUUGUCCAAUAUAUCGAUCUUUACGUGUCAACCAUUUCGAGACCCCUCGUCAUGUCCGUGAUCAUAUCCGGGACUCCGAACUACCUUCGGUACAUCAAAACACAAAAACUUAUAAUACCGAUCGUCACAGAACUUUAAGCGUGCGGACCUCACGGGUUCGAGAACUAUGUAGACAUGACCGAGACAUGUCUCCGGUCAAUAACCAAUAGCGGAACCUGGAUGCUCAUAUUGGUUCCUACAUAUUCUACGAAGAUCUUCAUCGGUCAAACCGCAUAACAACAUACGUUGUUCCCUUUGUCAUCGGUAUGUUACUUGCCCGAGAUUCGAUCGUCGAUAUCUCAAUACCUAGCUCAAUCUCGUUACCGGCAAGUAUCUUUACUUGUUCCGUAGUGCAUCAUCCCGUAACUAACUCAUUAGUCACAUUGCUUGCAAGGCUUAUAGUUAUGUGCAUUACCGAGAGGGCCCAGAGGUACCUCUCCGCCAAUCGGAGUGACAAAUCCUAUUCUUGAUCUAUGCCAACUCCAGGAACACCAUCGGAGACACCUGUAGAGCACCUUUAUAAUCAGCCAGUUAUGUUGUGGCGUUUGGUAGCAGACAAAGUGUUCCUCUAGUAUUCGGGAGUUGCAUAAUCUCAUAGUCAUAGGAACAUGUAUAAGUCAUGGAGAAAGCAAUAGCAGUAAACUAAAGGAUCAAGUGCUAAGCUAACGAAAUGGGUCAAGUCAAUCACAUCAUUCUCCUAAUGAUGUGACCCCGUUAAUCAAAUGACAACUCAUGUCCAUGGCUAGGAAACUCAAACAUCUUUGAUCAACGAGCUAGUCAAGUAGAGGCAUACUAGUGACACUAUGUUUGUCUAUGUAUUCAGACAUGUAUUAUGUUUCCGGUUAAUACAAUUCUAGCAUGAAUAAUAAACAUUUAUCAUGAUAUGAGGAAAUAAAUAAUAACUUUAUUAUUGCCUCUAGGGCAUAUUUCCUUCAGUCUCCCACUUGCACUUGAGUCAAUAAUCUUGAUUACAUAGUAAUGAUUCUAACACCCAUGGAGUCUUGGUGUUGAUCAUGUUUUGCUCGUGGAAGAGGCUUAGUCAACGGGUCUGCAACAUUUAGAUCUGUAUGUAUCUUGCAAAUCUCUAUGUCUCCCACCUGGACUUGAUCCCGGAUGGAAUUGAAGCGUCUCUUGAUGUGCUUGGUCCUCUUGUGAAAUCUGGAUUCCUUUGCCAAGGCAAUUGCACCAGUAUUGUCACAAAAUAUUUUGAUUGGACCCGAUGCACUAGGUAUGACACCUAGAUCAGAUAUGAACUCAUUCAUCCCGACUCCUUCAUUUGCAGCUUCCGAAGCAGAUAUGUACUCUGCUUCACACGUAGAUCCCGUCACGACGCUUUUUUAGAACUGCACCAACUGACAGCUCCACCAUUCAAUAAAAACAUGUAUCCGGUUUGCGAUUUAGAAUCGUCCGGAUCAGUGUUAAAUUAAAGCUUGCAUCGACGUGACUAUUUACGAUGAGCUCUUUGCCACCUCCAUAAACGAGAAACAUAUCCUUAGUCCUUUUCAGGUAUUUUAGGAUGUUCUUGACCGUUGUCCAGUGAUCCACUUCUGGAUUACUUUGGUACCUCCCUGCUAAACUAAUAGCAAGGCACACAUCAGGUCUGGUACACAACAUUGCAUACAUGAUAGAACCUAUGGCUGAAGCAUAGGGAACACUUUUCAUUUUCUCUCUAUCUCCUGCAGUGGUCGGGCAUUGAGUCUGACUCAACUUCACACCUUGUAACACAGGCAAGAACCCUUUCUUUGCUUGAUCCAUUUUGAACUUUUUCAAAACUUUAUCAAGGUAUGUGCUUUGUGAAAGUCCAAUUAAGCGUCUUGAUCUAUCUCUAUAGAUAUUGAUGCCUAAUAUAUAAGCAGCUUCACCAAGGUCUUUCAUUGAAAAACUCUAAUUCAAGUAUCCUUUUAUGCUAUACAGAAAUUCUAUAUCAUUUCCAAUCAACAAUAUGUCAUCCACAUAUAAUAUUAGAAACGCUACAGAGCUCCCACUCACUUUCUUGUAAAUACAGGCUUCUCCAAAUGUAUGUAUAAAACCAUAUGCUUUGAUCACACUAUCAAAACGUUUAUUCCAACUCCAAGAGGCUUGCACCAGUCCAUAAAUGGAUCGCUGGAGCUUGCACACUUUGUUAGCACCCUUUGGAUCGACAAAACCUUCUGGUUGCAUCAUAUACAACUCUUCUUCCAGAAAUCCAUUCAAGAAUGCAGUUUUGACAUCCAUUUGCCAAAUUUCAUAAUCAUAAAAUGCGGCAAUUGCUAGCAUGAUUCGGGCAGACUUAAGCAUCGCUACGGGUGAGAAAGUCUCAUCGUAGUCAACCCCUUGAACUUGUCGAAAACCUUUCGCAACAAGUCGAGCUUUGUAGACAGUAACAUUACCGUCAGCGUCAGUCUUCUUCUUGAAGAUCCAUUUAUUCUCUAUGGCUUGCCGAUCAUCGGGCAAGUCAACCAAAGUCCACACUUUGUUCUCAUACAUGGAUCCCAUCUCAGAUUUCAUGGCCUCAAGCCAUUUUGCGAAAUCUGGGCUCACCAUCGCUUCUUCAUAGUUCGUAGGUUUGCCAUGGUUAAGUAACAUGACUUCCAGAACAGGAUUGCCAUACCACUCUGGUGCGGAUCUUACUCUGGUUGACCUACAAGGUUCGGUAGUAACUUGAUCUGAAGUUUGAUGAUCAAUAUCAUUAGCUUCCUCACUAAUUGGUGUAGGUGUCACAGGAACCGGUUUCUGUGAUGAACUACUUUCCAAUAAGGGAGCAGGUACAGUUACCUCAUCAAGUUCUACUUUCUUCCCACUCACUUCAUUCGAGAGAAACUCCUUCUCUAGAAAGGAUCCAUUCUUAGCAACGAAUGUUUUGCCUUCGGAUCUGUGAUAGAAGGUGUACCCAACAAUUUCCUUUGGGUAUCCUAUGAAGACACAUUUCUCUGAUUUGGGUUCGAGUUUAUCAGGUUGAAGCUUUUUCACAUAAGCAUCGCAACCCCAAACUUUAAGAAAUGACAACUUUGGUUUCUUGCCAAACCACAGUUCAUAAGGCGUCGUCUCAACGGAUUUUGAUGGUGCCCUAUUUAACGUGAAUGCAGCUGUCUCUAAAGCAUGACCCCAAAACGAUAGCAGUAAAUCAGUAAGAGACAUCAUAGAUCGCACCAUAUAUAGUAAAGUACGAUUACGACAUUCGGACACACCAUUAUGUUGUGGUGUUCCGGGUGGCGUGAGUUGUGAAACUAUUCCGCAUUGUUUCAAAUGAAGACCAAACUCGUAACUCAAAUAUUCUCCUCCAUGAUCAGAUCGUAGAAACUUCAUUUUCUUGUUAUGAUGAUUUUCCACUUCACUCUGAAAUUCUUUGAACUUUUCAAAUGUUUCAGACUUAUGUUUCUUUACGUAGAUAUACCCAUAUCUGCUCAAAUCAUCUGUGAAGAUGAGAAAAUAACGAUACCCGCCGCGAGCCUCAAUAUUCAUCGGACCACAUACAUCAGUAUGUAUGAUUUCCAACAAAUCUGUUGCUCGCUCCAUUGUUCCGGAGAACGACGUUUUAGUCAUCUUGCCCAUGAGGCAUGGUUCACAAGUACCAAGUGAUUCCAAAAGUCCAUCAGUAUGGAGUUUCUUCAUGCGCUUUACACCAAUAUGACCCAAACUGCAGUGCCACAAAUAAGUUGCACUAUCAUUAUCAACUCUGCAUCUUUUGGCUUCAACAUUAUGAAUAUGUGUAUCACUACUAUCGACAUUCAACAAAAAUAGACCACUCUUCAAGGGCGCAUGACCAUAAAAGAUAUUACUCAUAUAAAUAGACCAACCAUUAUUCUCAGAUUUAAAUGAAUAACCGUCUCGCAUCAAACAAGAUCCAGAUAUAAUGUUCAUGCUCAAUGCUUAACAAUUAUUCAGGUCUAAAACUAACCAAGAAGGUAGAUGUAGAGGUAGCGUGCCGACGGCGAUCACAUCGACUUUGGAACCAUUUCCCAUGCGCAUCAUCACCUCGUCCUUAGCCAAUCUCCACUCAAUCCGUAGUCCCUGUUUCGAGUUGCAAAUAUUAGCAACAGAACCAGUAUGAAAUACCCAGGUGCUACUAUGAGCUUUAGUAAGGUACACAUCAAUAACAUGUAUAUCACAUAUACCUUUGUUCACCUUGCCAUCCUUCUUAUCCGCCAAAUACUUGGGGUAGUUCCGCUUCCAGUGACUAGUCUGUUUGCAGUAGAAGCACUCAGUCUCAGGCUUAGGUCCAGACUUAGGUUUCUUCUCUUGAGCAGCAACUUGUUUGCUGUUCUUCUUGAACUUCCCCUUCUUCUUCCCUUUACCCUUUUUCUUGAAACUAGUGGUCUUGUUGACCAUCAACACUUGAUGCUCCUUCUUGAUUUCUACCUCCGCAGCCUUUAGCAUUGCGAAGAGCUCGGGAAUUGUCUUAUCCAUCCCUUGCAUAUUAUAGUUCAUCACGAAGCUCUUGUAGCUUGGUGGCAGUGAUUGACGAAUUCUGUCAAUGACACUAUCAUCCGGAUGAUUAACUCCCAGUUAAAUCAAGUGGUUAUUAUACCCAGACAUUUUGAGUAUAUGUUCACUAACAGAACUAUUCUCCUCCAUCUUGCAGCUGUAGAACUUAUUGGAGACUUCAUAUCUCUCAAUCCGGGCAUUUGCUUGAAAUAUUAACUUCAACUCCUGGAACAUCUCAUAUGCUCCAUGACGUUCAAAACGUCGUUGAAGUCCUGGUUCUAAGCCAUAAAGCAUGGCACACUGAACUAUCGAGUAGUCAUCAGCUUUGCUCUGCCAGAGGUUCAUAAUGUCGUCAGUUGCAUCUGCAACAGGCCUGGCACCCAGCGGUGCUUCCAGGACGUAAUUCUUCUGUGCAGCAAUGAGGAUAAUCCUCAAGUUAUGGACCUAGUCCGUGUAAUUGCUACUGAUAACCCACAAGUAUAGGGGAUCGCAACAGUUUUCGAGGGUAGAGUAUUCAACCCAAAUUUAUUGAUUCGACACAAGGGGAGCCAAAGAAUAUUCUCAAGUAUUAGCAGCUGAGUUGUCAAUUCAACCACACCUGGAAACUUAGUAUCUGCAGCAAAGUGUUUAGUAGCAAAGUAAUAUGAUAGUGGUGGUAACGGUAACAAAAGUAAAGACAGCAAAACUAAUGUUUUUGGUAUUUUUGUAGUGAUUGUAACAAUAGCAACGGAAAAGUAAAUAAGCGAGAACUAGUAUAUGGAAAACUCGUAGGCACCGGAUCAGUGAUGGAUAAUUAUGUCGGAUGUGGUUCGUCAUGUAGCAGUCAUAACAUAGGGUGACACAGAACUAGCUCCAAUUCAUCAAUGUAAUGUAGGCAUGUAUUCCGAAUAUAGUCAUACAUGCUUAUGGAAAAGAACUUGCAUGACAUCUUUUGUCCUACCCUCCCGUGGCAGCGGGGUCCUAUUGGAAACUAAGAGAUAUUAAGGCCUCCUUUUAAUAGAGAACCGGAACAAAGCAUUAGCACAUAGUGAAUACAUGAACUCCUCAAACUAUGGUCAUCACCGGGAGUGGUUCCGAUUAUUGUCAAUUCGGGGUUGCCGGAUCAUAACACAUAGUAGGUCACUAUAGACUUGCAAGAUAGGAUCAAGAACUCACAUAUAUUCAUGAAAACAUAAUAGGUUCAGAUCUGAAAUCAUGGCACUCGGGCCCUAGUGACAAGCAUUAAGCAUAGCAAAGUCAUAGCAACAUCAAUCUCAGAACAUAGUGGAUACUAGGGAUCAAGCCCUAACAAAGCUAAAUCGAUUACAUGAUAAAUCUCAUCCAACCCAUCACCGUCCAGCAAGCCUAUGAUGGAAUUACUCACACACGGCGGUGAGAAUCAUGAAAUUGGUGAUGGAGGAUGGUUGAUGAUGACGACGGCGACGAAUCCCCCUCUCCGGAGCCCCGAACGGACUCCAGAUCAGCCCUCCCGAGAGAGAUUAGGGCUUGGCGGCGGCUCCAUAUCGUAUAACGCAAUGAUUUCUUCUCUCUGAUUUUUUCUCCCCGAAAGCCAAUAUAUGGAGUUGGAGUUGGCGUCGGAGGGCCACCAGGGGGCCCACGAGGUAGGGGGGCACGCCCUAGGGGGGGCACCCUCGUGGACAGGGUGUGGGCCCCCCUGGUCUUCAUCUUUGGCGAGGAUUUUUUAUUAUUUAUUCUAAGAUAUUCCUUGGAGUUUUAGGUCAUUCCGAGAACUUUUAUUUUCUGCACAAAAACAACAUCAUGGCAAUUCUGCUGAAAACAGCGUCAGUCCGGGUUAGUUCCAUUCAAAUCAUACAAGUUAGAGUCCAAAACAAGGGCAAAAGUGUUUGGAAAAGUAGAUACGACGGAGACGUAUCUACUCCCCCAAGCUUAAACCCUUGCUUGUCCUCAAGAAAUUCAGUUGACAAACUGAAAGAGAAAAAGAAAACCUUUUACAAACUCUGUUUGCUCUUGUUGUUGUAACAUGAAAAGCCAGCAUUCAAGUUCCAGCAAAUAUUAUGAACUAACCAUACUAACAAUAACCCAAAGGUCUCACAAUUACUCAUAUCAAUAGCAUAAUCAACUAGCGAGCUAUAAUAACAAAACUCGGAUGACAACACUUUUUCAAAAUAAUCAUAACAUGAUAUAACAAAAUGGUAUCUCGCUAGCCCUUUCUGAGACCGCAAAACAUAAAUGCAAAGCACCUUUAAAGAUCAAGGACUGACUAAACAUUAUAAUUCAUGGUAAAAGAGAUCCAGUCAAGUCAUACCCAAUGUAAACCAAUUAUAAUGAAUGCAAAUGACAGUGUGCUCUCCAGCGGGUGCUUUUUAAUAAGAAGGAUGAUGACUCAACAUAAAAGUAAAUAGAUAGGCCCUUCGCAGAGGGAAGCAGGGAUUUGUAGAGGUGCCAGAGCUCAGUUUUAAAAUAGAGAUUGAAUAAGAUUUUGAGCGGCAUACUUUUGCUGUCAACGCAACAACUAUGAGGUGACGAUAUCUCCCAUGCUAAGCAAAUUAUAGGCGGUUCCCAAACAGAAUGGUAAAGUUUAUACUCCCCCUCCUCCACAGGCAUCAAUCCAUGGCUUGCUCGAAACAACGAGUGCCUCCAACAUUUAACGGGUCCCAGGAGGAGUUUUGUUUGCAAUUAUUUUGAUUUAGUUUGCAUAAAGCAUGGGACUGGGCAUCCCGGUGACCAGCCAUUUUCUCGUGAAUGAGGAGCGGAGUCCACUCCUCUUGAGAAUAACCGCCUAACAUGGAAGAUAAGGGCAGCCCUAGUUGAAACAUGAGCUGCUCGAGCAUACAAAACAGAAUUUCAUUUGAAGGUUUGGAGUUUGGCACAUACAAAUUUACUUGGAACGGCAGGUAAAUACCGCAUAUAGGUAGGUAUAGUGGACUCAUAUGGAACAACAUUGGGGUUUAAGGAGUUUGGAUGCACAAGCAGUAUUCCCGCUUAGUACAGGUGAAGGCUAGCAAAGGACUGGGAAGCGACCAACUGGGAGAGCGACAACAGUCGUAACCAUGCAUUAAAAUUAAUUUACACCGAAUACAAGCAUGAGUAGGAUAUAAUCUACCAUGAACAUAAAUAUCAUGAAGGCUAUGUUGAUUUGAUUCAACUACAUGCGUGAACAUGUGCCAAGUCUAGUCACUCAAUUCAUUUAAAGGAGGAUACCAUCCCAUCAUACCACAUCAUAAUCAUUCUAAUAGCAUGUUGGCACGCAAGGUAAACCAUUAUAACUCAUAGCUAAUCAAGCAUGGCAAAAGCAACUAUAAUCUCUAAAUGUUAUUGUAAAUAUGUUAACUUCAUAAUAGCUGACUCAGGAACGAUGAAUCAUCAUAUUUACAAAAACAAGAGAGGUCGAGUUCAUACCAGCUUUUCUCAUCCCAAUAAGUCCAUCAUAUAUCAUCAUUAUUGCCUUUCACUUGCACAACCGAACGAUGUGAAUAAUAAUAAGAGUGCACGUGCAUUGGACUAAGCUGGAAUCUGCAAGCAUUCAAUAGAUAGGAGAAGACAAGGAAUAUGGGCUCUAAAUUAAAUAAACAAUCAUGCAUAUAAGAGCCACUUCAACAAUUUAAUCAUGGUCUUCUCCUACUGACCCCCAAAGAAAAAGAAAGGAAAUAAAAACUAUUUACACGGGAAAGCUCCCAACAAGCAAAAGAAGAACGGGAAAUAUUUUUGGGUUUUCCUUUUUAAUUACUACAGCAAAGAAAUAAACUACUACUAAUUUGUUUUUGUUUUUCUUAAGGUUUAUUAAGCACACAAGAAGAAAGCAGGAGAAAGAAAGUAAUCUAGCAUGGAUAUUACAAUGAAAGAGUAUGAACACCGACAUCUAGCAAUGAGUGUGUGUGAACAUGAAUGUAAUGUCGGUGGGAAAUACGUACUCCCCCAAGCUUAGGCUUUUGGCCUAAGUUGGUCUAUUGCCAGGGAUGGCCUGGUGGAUACCCGUAGGUGAAGCUGGGGUCAUACUGCGAUGCAGAAGACUCUGACUGCCACUGGCUGGCAGCCACCUCUGGAUCCCAAGAAUAAAUAGACUAUCGUGGAGGCUCAUCUUGUGGCUCCGGUUCCGGGGCGGGUGCAGGAUUUCGAUAGGCUUGAAUGGCCGCCCACGGAACGAUGUGAGGACCUGCAGACAAGUUAAACAAAGAGGGAGCAGGCAAAGUAAUAGUCUCAGGGUGAUGUUUAUCAAAGUACAAUUUAUAUUUGAGUUCCCCUUCACGACUCUUAACAACAAAGUCAUGCGCUAGCAUACUCCUAUAAUCUAAAUAAGCACGGGGCAGCGAUGUUUCCUCUUUCUCCUCAUGCCUAAUAGGUAUUUCAAAAUAUUCAGCUAGGCGUGAAGCAUAAAUGCCUCCAAAGACGGGGCCCUUAGUAUGGUUCAGACUUAACUGUCUAGCAACAAUUCCACCCAUACUAACAGAGUUAUUGCGGUAUAAACCAUGGAACAAAAUGAUAACAUCAGGAACACUAAGGUUUCCACAGUUUCCACGACCUAUCAAGCAACGACUAGCAAAUAAGGCAAAGCAGCGUAAAACAGGAAAAUGUAUGCUAGUAAUUCUUGCAUCAGAAACCUUCCUGGUUUCUCCCACCGUGAUAGUGUGAAUAAAAGCUUCUACUUCAUUACGGUGUGGUUCAUCCAAGGUGCCCUCAAAGGGUAUUUUGCAAACCUCACAAAAUUCAGCUAAUGGCAUCCUCUUAACAACGUCAUAUAAAUGAAACUCUACUGAUGGAGGUGAAUUCUUAGGGAAAAAGUAGAAGUUUUGCACAAAAGUAUUUGUGAGUAAGAGAUACUGAUGACAUUGGUCGCGGAGGAAGUCGGUGAGGCCAGCAUUCUCAAUUAAUAAAUAGAAAUCUUCGUAAAUCCUGGCUUUCCUCAAGAAGUCAUCGGAAGGCCAUUCACACGGCCGGACCUCCGCGGUGCGAGGCAAAUUAAAUUUGGGCUUCUGUUCUUCUUCCUUUUGUUUUUCCUUCGAGCUUCGGCUCGACGAGCCCCUCAAAAGUCUCUUCAUUAUUUCUGAAACAAUCUGAAAUUUUUAGUAACUUCAAAUAAAAGUGAACCAACUUCAAUAAAAUUGAUAGCAACUACUCCCACGAGUGCCUAGAGACUAAAUCAAGCAUUAGAACUACUUGGGACCAUAUGAAUUUGACAUGCAAGCUCAAGAAGAUGGUCACCUAGGCAGCAUAAAUUUGCAAUAAAUAAAGCACUAGAACAAAAACUAAUUGGACCAAUGGAGGAGUCACAUACCAAGGAACAAUCUCCCCAAGCAGUUUUGCAAGAGGUGCUUUGAGCAAGGAGAUCAAAAAUCACAGCAACAGGGGCUGGAACUCGUGCUUGAGUUGGUUUUUCGUGUUUGUGUGAGGCAGAUAAAGAAGAUGGGUGCAUGGAUAAGUGGAGGAGGGCCACCAUGGGCCCACGAGGUAGGGGGGCACGCCCAGGGGGGUAGGGCGCGCCCUCCACCCUCGUGGCUAGGUGGCAGCUCCCCCCGCGGUAUUUUUUGCACAGAAAAUUCUCAAAUAUUCCCGAAAAAAUCAUAUUAAAUUGGCAUGGCAUUCUAAGGACUUUUAUUUUCGGGAUAUUUUUAUAUAGCACGGAUAAAUCAGGAAACAGACAUAAAAAAUACUAUUUUACUUUAUUUCUACUAAAUAACAAAAAAUAUAGAGGGUACAAAAGGUUGUGCUUCUAGUUUCAUCCAUCUCAUGCUCAUCAAAAAGAAUCUACUAACAAGGUUGAUCAAGUCUUGUUAGCAAACUCAUUCCGAUUACCAUGGAACCGGAGAAAUUUUGAAUAACACUAUGUUACCUCAACGGGGAUAUGGACAUCCCCAAUAAUAGGUAUAUCAUACUUUUUCUUGACAGUAGGGAGAGGAAAUUCAAAACCUCCAAAUAUAAUUGAUGGAAUUUUUCCAAUAGAGUUGACACUAUAAACCUGAGGUUGUUUCCUCGGAAAGUGUACCGUGUGCUCAUUGCCAUUAACAUGAAAAGUGACAUUGCCUUUGUUGCAAUCAAUAACAGCCCCUGCAGUAUUAAGAAAAGGUCUUCCAAGAAUAAUAGACAUACUAUCAUCCUCGGGAAUAUCAAGAAUAAUAAAGUCCGUUAAAAUAGUGACGUUUUCAACCACAACAGGCACAUCCUCACAAAUACCAACAGGUAUAGCAGUUGAUUUAUCGGCCAUUUGCAAAGAUAUUUCAGUAGGUGUCAACUUAUUCAAGUCAAGUCUACGAUAUAAAGAGAGAGGCAUAACACUAACACCGACUCCAAGAACACAUAAAGCAGUUUUAACAUAAUUUCUCUUAAUGGAGCAUGGUAUAGUAGGUACUCCGGGAUCUCCAAGUUUCUUUGGUAUUCCACCCUUAAAAGUAUAAUUAGCAAGCAUGGUGGAAAUUUCAGCUUCAAGUAUCUUUCUUUUAUUAGUAAUAAUAUCCUUCAUAUACUUAGCAUAAGGAUUUGUUUUGAGCACAUCAGUUAAUCGCAUACGCAAAAAGAUGGGUCUAAUCAUUUCAGCAAAGCACUCAAAAUCCUCACCAUCCUUUUUCUUGGAUGGUUUUGGAGGAAAAGGCAUGGGUUUCUGAACCCAUGGUUCCCUUUCUUUACCAUGUUUCCUAGCAACGAAGUCUCUUUUAUCAUAACGUUGAUUCCUUGAUUGUGGGUUAUCAAGAUCAACACCAGGUUCAACUUCUACAUCAUUAUCAUUACUAGGUUGAGCAUUAUCAUGAACAUCAUCAUUAACAUUUUCACUAGGUUCAUGUUCAUUACCAGAUUGUGUUUCAGCAUCAGACAUAGAGAUAUCAUUUGGAUUCUCAGGUGGCUCAGCAAUAGGUUCACUAGAAGUUUGCAAAGUCCUAUCAUUCAUAUUUUUCUUCUUUCUUGAAGAACUAGGUACAUUAAUAUCAUUUCUCUGAGAAUCUUGCUCAAUUCUCUUAGGGUGGCCUUCAGGAUACAAAGGUUCCUGAGUCAUUCUACCAGUUCUAGUAGCCACUCUAACAGCAUAAUCAUUUUUCUUACUAUUCAUUUCAUCAGGCACUUCUUUUUGAGCUUUAAGUACUUGUUCUACUUGAGUGGUAACCAUAGAAGCAUGUUUGCUAACAAGUUUAAGUUCACCUCUAAUAUCAGCCAUAUAAUCACCCAAGCUUUUAAUCAUAUAAGCAUCUUGUUUUAAUUGUCUACCUGAAAGCACAAGUGCUCCCUAGGUGGUUUUGGUAAUUAAUAAAAACAUAUCUCUUGUUGGACUAACACUUUUAUCUAGUAUGUUUCAGAUAAGUUCAACAAUGGAGUGGCAUGGACUAAAGGAUGUGGGAACUCCUUCAAGAUGCUAAGGACAAAGGAUUGGCUAAAGCUUCAAGCUCAAGACUCUUCAUUUUACAUUUUAGUGAUCCAAGAUCACAUUGAGUCUAUAGGAAAAGCCAAUACUAUGAAGAAGGGAUGAAGUGUUGCUUAAUGAGUUUCUUGCUCCACAGUGCUUAGUGAUAUGCUCCAAAACCCUCAACUACUUUCCCACUUCCACACAUAUGACCUAAACCUAAAGCCAAAAUCGGUCACACCGAUUCUUUCUAUCCGGCGCCACCGAGUUCAAAUGUCAUAGCCACUGCCACAAACCCUAGGCAAAUCGGUCUCACCGAUAGGGAUCUCGGUCUCACCGAGAUGGGAUUGUAAUCUCUCUGUGUAUGUCCAUUAUCAAAAUCGGUCUCACCGAGUUUGUGUAAUCUGUACUAUCGAGAUUACAAUGCAAACUCUCUGGUUAACUUAUUACAAAAAUCGGUCUCACCGAGUUUGAGUAAUCGGUCCCAUCGAGUUUGCCUCACCAACUCUCUGGUCAGCUAAUUACCAAAAUCGGUCUCACCGAGUUUGUGUAAUCGGUCUCACCGAGAUUACAUUAUGCCCUAACCCUAACCAUAUCGGUCCUACCGAGCUGCAUUUCGGUCCAACCGAAAAUCCUAACGGUCACUAGGUUUACUAAAUCGGUCUGACCGAGUUUGUUGAUUCGGUCCCACCGAGAUUGGUAAAUUGUGUGUAACGUUUAGAUUUUGUGUGGAGGCUAUAUAUACCCCUCCACCUCCUCUUCAUUCGUGGAGAGAGCCAUCAGAGCAAACCUACACUUCCAUCUUACCAGUUCUGAGAGAGAACCACCUACUCAUGUGUUGAGGCCAAGAUAUUCCAUUCCUACCAUAUGAAUCUUGAUCUCUAGCCUUCCCCAAGUUGCUUUCCACUCAAAUCUUCUUUCCACCAGAUCCAAAUCCUAUGAGAGAGAGUUGAGUGUUGGAGAGACUAUCAUUUGAAGCACAAGAGCAAGGAGUUCAUCAUCAACGCACCAUUUGUUACUUCUUAGAGAGUGGUGUCUCCUAGAUUGGCUAGGUGUCACUUGGGAGCCUCCGACAAGAUUGUGGAGUUGAACCAAGGAGUUUUUAAGGGCAAGGAGAUCGCCUACUUCGUGAAGAUCUACCGCUAGUGAGGCAAGUCCUUCGUGGGCGACGGCCAUGGUGGGAUAGAAAAGGUUGCUUCUUCGUGGACCCUUCGUGGGUGGAGCCCUUCGUGGACUCGCGCAACCGUUACCCUUCGUGGGUUGAAGUCUCCAUCAACGUGGAUGUACGAUAGCACCACCUAUCGGAACCACGCCAAAAACAUCUGUGUCUCCAACUACGUUUGAAUCCUCCAAACCCUUCCCUUUACUUUCUUGCAAGUUGCAUGCUUUAAUUUCUGCUACCUAUAUACUCUUUGCAUGCUUGCUUGAUUUGUGUGAUGAUUGCUUGACUUGUCCAAAGAUUGCUAAAAUCUGCCAAACUCUAAAAUUGGGAAAAGGUUAAGUUUUUAAUUGGUCAAGUAGUCUAAUCACCCCCCUCUAUACAUACUUCAAGGUCCUAUAAGUGGUAUCAGAGCUUUGGUCUCCAUUUGCUUUGAUUUCCAUAGCUUUUGGUGGUCAUAGCCUUGGUUUCACAACCUAGGAGAGUAUGGCGUCUAGCAAGGGAAAUUAUCACCGUAGAGGUCCUUACUUUGAUGGAACUAAUUUUGCUAUUUGGAUGCAUAAGAUGAAAAUGCAUAUUCUUGGACAUAACCCCGCCGUUUGGGCUAUUAUUUGUAUUGGCUUUCAAGGUGAAUUCUUUGAUGGGAGAGAGCCGAACCGUGAAGCUAAUGCGGAAGAAUUGAAGAUGCUGCAAUACAACGCUCAAGCUUGUGAUAUCAUCUUCAACGGAUUGUGCCCCGAAGAAUUCAACAAAAUCAACCGUCUUGAGAAUGUAAAGGAAAUUUGGGACACUUUGAUUGAUAUGCAUGAAGGUACCGACUCCGUCAAGGAAUUCAAGUUGGAUGUGCUCCAAAGUCAGCUUGACAAGUUCAAAAUGAAGGAUGGUGAAGGUGUCGCUGAAAUGUACUCUAGGCUUGCUCUUAUCACAAAUGAGAUUGCCGGCUUAGGGAGUGAAGAGAUGACCAACAGAUUCAUCAUCAAGAAGAUCCUAAGAGCAUUGGAUGGAAAAUAUGAUACCGUGUGCACAUUGAUUCAAAUGAUGCCCAAUUACAAGAAUCUCAAGCCAACGGAGGUCAUUGGUAGAAUUGUUGCUCAUGAGAUGUCACUCAAGGAUAAGGAGGAACUUCACAACAAGUCAAGUGGUGCUUACAAAGCCUCAUGUGAAGCCCCCACAUCAUCAAGUGAGAAACAAACCUUCAAUGAAGAAUUGAGCUUAAUGUUGAAGAAUUUCAACAAAUUCUACAAGAGUAGAAGCAAAGAAAGAAGCUCUAAGUCAAGGUCCUACAAUGACAAGAGAUCUUCCAAUCGAGAGCACAAUUGCUACAAUUGUGGGAGACCCGGACACUAUUCCAAUGAGUGUAUGGCACCCUACAAAAGAAGAGAAGAUUCUCCAAGAAGAAGAAGUAGAAGAGAAGAAUCACCACCAAGAGAGAGAAGGAGUAGAGAUGAUCGUUAUGAACGAAGACCCUCACGGAGAAGCAAAGAUUCGGAAAGGAAGGACAAGUCAUCAAAGAGCUACACAAAACGAAGACAUCAAGCUCAUGUUGGUGAAUGGGUAUCCGGUUCCGACUCUGAACAUCACUCCGAGAGAAGCUAUCACUCCGACUCUAAACAUACUCAAGAAGAAGGUGUUGCCGGUCUAGCACUUGUGUCAACCAGCUCCUAUGACAUAUUUGACUCACCAAAUGAAGGAAUUGGAAGAUGCUUCAUGGCUAAAGGCCCUAAGGUAACUCAUCCCGAGUAUGUUGAUUUCAAUAGUGAUGAAGAUGACUUGCUAGGUGAUGAUGAUUUACUUGUUGACAACUCUAGUGAUGAAUACUAUGAUGAAACGUCAAUUAAUCAUGCUAAACAAGAUAAAACGAAUGACAAUGAUAAGGAGAAGAUUGAGCUUCUAACUAAAGAACUAAACACUCUUAAGUUAGCUCAUGAAACUAUCUUCGAAAAUCAUCAAGAACUUUUAAGGGCUCAUGAGAAGUUACGCUUUGAAAAGCUCAAUCUUGAGCAAGAGCAUGAGUUCUUAAAGGCAAUCAAUGAUGAUCUUCGCAAGAAAAGUUCUUCUUAUAUUGCCAAGCGUUUACUCUAGUCAAGUCUAGUAACAAGAACAAGAAAGAUUCUUCCUCUAGUAGUAACAAUAACAAUGCUAAAUCCAAUAUUGUUGCUUCUAGUAGUUCUCUUGAUUCCACUAAUGAUUCUCUUAGCCAAGUUACACUUGAGCAAGAAAACAGCUUAUUGAAGGGAAUUAUAGAGAAAGGUGUAUACAAGAGCCUUGCUAGGAGUAAGCAAUUCGAGGAAAUUGUACGCAAGCAAGGAAGGCACCGGAAGAAUCAAGGUGUUGGUUUUGAACGAAAGUUCAAUGCCAAUGGAGUUGAGUGGGAAGAAGAUAAAUACCCCAAGACGAAGUUUGUUCCUCAACAAGAGAAGUAUGAUCCUACUUCCUUCAAGGGGACACAAGCACAAGAUGAUCUUCCACCACAAGACCAUAAGAACAAAGGCAAGGACAAGCUUCAAGAGGAGAUUGAUGCAUUUGAAGAAGCACCUAAGGCCUUGGUCAAGUGGGUUCCCAAGACUACGUCAAGUUCUACUUCAUCUAGCACAACUACUACACUAAGGAUUCCCAUCAAGAUGAUGUGGAUCCCGAAGAAGAAGAACUAGAGAGUUCUUGAGGGUGACUCCGCCAACAUUCUUCAAUCAUAUCUUUAUGGCAAGAACAAGUGCAAUCAACUUCCACAUCUUGCACUAGUUCAAGGAGUCACAAACCCUCAUGUUGGUAAGGCAAGGGACAAGGUAACCUAAUGUUUUCAUGGACAUCAUUUUGUGUGUGCAUCACUCUAUGUCUAUGGAUAUUCUUGUUUGUUCCUUGUGGGACUAAUCCGUGUAGGUAUUGAAAGUGCAACUCACUCCAAAGGAUUUCUCCAAAAGAUCUACAUCAACAUUGAGCAUCCACAUCUUCAACACCUACAUGAAGUCAUCAUCGACAAAACCCAAGGUUAGUUCAUCCAUCUAAAGGGGGAUCUCACAUCUAGGGGGAUCUUAACUCUAAAGAAUUGAGUCAAAGCAACUCUAAUGGUGUGAACACAUCAAUGCAUUAUGUAAAAGUGGUAACCCCACUUGAGCUAUAUAGAUGAUCAAAUGUUCUCAUUUGACUCCUAAGUCAAUAUACUCAUAUAUAGAUGACCUAGCCAUCGCCAAUUGUUUGAUAGAUGCUAGAAUUGGUUGUGCAUGGUUUGCCACAUAUUUCAUCUGUCAUUUUAUUGUGUGAGCAUGUUGGUUGCAUAUUUUACUCAUUCAAGGACAUCCACUUGUUGUUUUGAUUGAUUGGCUUCUUUUUCUUUGGCCAAGUGGAUGGACAAGAAUGCCUAAGAACCUUCUCUAGCUAUCUAUGCUUUUCUCGUCUCAAACUCUAUUCAUGCUACAUCACAAAAUUUGAUCAAGUCAGAUUCGAACCACUCUGUGUGAGGAGCACUUGGAGUCCCCAAUUCGUCAUAGACUUAAACUUCCAAAACUUCUUUGUGAUUUUUGGUCUGACCGAUUCCUCCAUUUCGGUCCUACCGAGAUUACUAAGUCGAUCUAGGUUUUCAAUCUCGGUGGGACCGAUCGCUCUUUUCGGUUAGACCGAAACGUUACGAAGGGAAACAGAGAGAUUACAAUCCCAUCUCGGUGAGACCGAGAUCCCUAUCGGUGAGACCGAUUUGCCUAGGGUUUGUGGCAGUUGCUAUGACAUUUGAACUCGGUGGCGCCGGAUAGAAAGAAUCGGUGUGACCGAUUUUGGCUUUAGGUUUAGGUCAUAUGUGUGGAAGUGGGAAAGUAGUUGAGGGUUUUGGAGCAUAUCACUAAGCACUGUGGAGCAAGAAACUCAUUAAGCAACACCUCAUCCCUUCUUCAUAGUAUUGGCUUUUCCUAUAGACUCAAUGUGAUCUUGGAUCACUAAAAUGUAAAAUGAAGAGUCUUGAGCUUGAAGCUUUAGCCAAUCCUUUGUCCUUAGCAUCUUGAAGGAGUUCCCACAUCCUUUAGUCCAUGCCACUCCAAUGUUGAACUUAUCUGAAACAUACUAGAUAAAUGUGUUAGUCCAAUAAGAGAUAUGUUGUUAUUAAUUACCAAAACCACCUAGGGAGCACUUGUGCUUUCAAUCUCCACCUUUUUGGUAAUUGAUGACAACAUACAUCAAAGCUUUAGAUAAGGAUAUAAAUAAUAGCAAGUAAAGCUUUGGAAAGACAUGUAACAAGCAUAGGCUCCCCCUACAUGUAUGCAAACAUGUGAAUAUGGAAUAUAGAAGCAUGUGAGAGCAUAACCAUGAUAGAGUUGGCAAUGAGUUACAUGUAUCUUGGCCAUAUGCAUCAGAGCAAAGAAUAUUAAAGAAAAUAUCUUCAUGCUCAUGAGUCCUUCUUGCAAACAGUAUGUACAUCAGCAAGAAUUCCUCAUACACAUGAUUGUGAUGCAUAUACUUACCUAGUAGUCUUGAGUUGGCUUAGGAUGGAAUGAACCUGCACAUCUUUGCAUGGAAACCUUCUGACAUGCCGGGUGUACCAAGGGAACUCGCUGAGCAUACUCUCAAUAUUGAUCCGAAGUAUAAGCCGGUCAGGCAGUUUCUCCGACGGUUCAAAGAAGAGAGACGAAAAGCUAUUGGGGAAGAGGUUGCCCGGCUCUUAGCGGCCGGGUUUAUUGUUGAAGUUUUUCAUCCGGAGUGGUUGGCUAACCCGGUGUUGGUGCUCAAGAAGAACGGCACUUGGCGAAUGUGUGUGGAUUACACGGACUUAAACAAGGCUUGUCCGGCUGAUCCCUUUGCUGUCCCCCGUAUUGAUCAAAUCAUUGAUGCUACGACGGGUUGUGAAUGUUUGAGCUUCUUGGAUGCUUACUCUCGUUAUCAUCAGAUCAAGAUGGCAGUUAAGGACCAGGAGAAGAUGGCUUUCAUCACUCCGUUUGGGCCUUCUGUUAUGUAUCUAUGCCGUUUGGACUCAAGAGUGCCCAGGCGACUUAUCAGCGAUGUGUGCUGAACUGUUUGCACGAUCAAAUUGGGCGUAAUGUUCAUGCUUAUGUGGAUGACAUCAUGGUGAAGUACAGAGAAAAGAAAACCUUAAUAUCCGACUUGAGAGAGACCUUUGACAAUCUCCAGGUUUACAAGAUGAUGCUUAACUCGGCCAAGUGUGUGUUUGGUGUACCUGCAGGCAAGCUCUUGGGUUUUCUGGUGUCAAACAGAGGCAUUGAAGCUAAUCCGGAGAAGAUCAUGGCGAUUACCUCUCUGGCUAAACCGACGUGUUGCUGCUUUAAGCCGGUUCAUAAGCCGGUUAGGGGAGAAGGCCUUACCGCUAUAUCAGAUGAUGAAGAAAACAGACACUUUCGUCUGGAGCGAUGCUGCUAACACUUCCUUUGAAGAUUUAAAAAGACAGUUGUCUGAGCCACCGGUUCUUGCAGCUCCCAUUGAUAGAGAGCCGCUAUUGUUAUAUGUGGAUGCUAACUCGCGGGCUGUCAGUGUUGCCAUCGUGGUGGAGCGUAAGGAGGCAGGGAAGGAGCAUCCGGUUCAAUGGCCGGUUUACUACAUCAGCGAGGUGCUCAUUGAGUCUAAACAAAGGUAUCCACAUUGGCAGAAGCUUGUUUAUGGUGUGUUCAUGGCAAACCGGAAGCUGAAGCAGUACUUCCAAAGUCAUCCUAUGACGGUGGUAAGUUCAGCUCCUUUGGGAGACAUCAUUCAGAACAGGGAGGCCACAGGACGAAUCACCAAGUGGGCUAUUGAGCUUGGGCCUUAUGAUUUGAAGUAUAUGCCCUGUACUGCCAUCAAAUCUUAGGCCUUGGUGGACUUUAUCAAUGAUUGGACAGAGUUGCAGGCACCUGAGGAGAAGCCGGAUAAUACGUAUUGGACUAUUCACUUUGAUGGGUCCAGGCAGUUAGAAGGAUCAGGGGCUGGAGUUGUUUUAACUUCCCCUCGAGGUGACAAAUUUCGUUAUGUGCUCCGGCUCAUGUUUCCCUGUACUAACAAUGCAGCUGAAUACGAGGCCUUGCUCCAUGGUCUCCGGAUGGCUAAGGAGAUGAAUUUAAGCCGGGUCAGGUGCUUGGGCGACUCAGACCUCGUGGCUCAACAGGUCUCAGGCACGUGGGAUUCUAAGGAUCUCCUUAUGGCGUCUUAUCAUCGUGAAGUGGAUGCUGUAGCUGGAUACUUCAAAGGGUAUCAGGUGGAGCACAUUGAUAGAAGGAAGAAUGAGGCGGCUGAUGCGUUAAGCCGGUUGGGCUCUCAGCGUAAGCCGGUGCCGCCUAACACCUUUCUUGACGUUCUGCAUAAUCCUUCUGUCAAGGUACCUACAGAGGAAGAGCUUGCAGUGCCAGACCCGGAGGCACAGUUGGUGGCCGCACUUCACGUCAUCCUAGAUUGGACGUUGCCAUACUUGGCUUAUAUGACCCGGGGAGAGCUGCCUGAGGAUGAGACCUUGGCGAGACAAAUUGUCAGGCGGUCCAAAUCCAUGACAAUUGUUAAUGGAGAGUUACAUCACCUCAGUGUCAGAGGGGCGUUCCAGCGUUGUGUGUCACCUGCAGAAGGUCAAGAGAUACUUCGAGAGUUCCAUGAAGGGGAUUGUGGUCAUCAUGCCGGCUCAAAAUCUCUGGUGGCCAAGGCCUUCCGUCAUGGUUUUUAUUGGCUAACGGCUCAUGCUGAUGCAGAUGAUCUUGUUAGCAAAUGUGACAGAUGUCAAAAAUUCUCACGACGAGCUCAUAUGCCGGCUCAAGAAUUGAGGAUGAUUCCAAUUACUUGGCCGUUUGCAGUCUGGGGGCUUGACAUGGUAGGACCCUUCAAGAGGUCUAAGGAUAAAAAGACACCUCCUGGUAGUAGUGGAUAAAUUUACAAAGUGGAUUGAGGCAGAGCCGGUCAGUCAGUGUGAUGCAGCCACAGCAGUUCAGUUCAUUAAAAAGGUGAUCUUUCAUUUUGGUUUUCCACAUAGCAUCAUAACUGAUAAUGGCACUAAUCUCUCCAAGGGUGCCAUGGAAGAGUUCUGUCAACGAGAGCAUAUCCGGCUUAACGUUCGGCUGUUGCUCACCCUCAAUCCAAUGGUCAAGCAGAAAGAGCUAAUCAGGAGAUCUUAAGGGGUAUUAAACCACGGCUCUUGGUCCCCUUACAGCUGACUCCGGGUUGUUGGGUGGAAGAGUUACCCUCUGUGUUGUGGAGCAUCAACACUACACCUAAUAGAUCUACGGGUUAUACACCUUUUUCAUGGUUUAUGGAGCAGAGGCAGUUCUGCCAAGUGAUAUCCGGCACGAUUCGCCCCGUGUGGCGGCUUACGUUGAGGCUGAUAAUGAAAAAGUUCGACAGGAGGCACUUGACUUGUUGGAUGAGGAGCGAGACUUGGCAAUAGCCCGCUCAGCGAUUUACCAGCAAGACCUUCGUCGCUAUCACAGCCAUCGGGUUAGAAACAGAACAUUUCAGGAAGGCGACUUAGUGCUCCGGCUCAUCCAGGAUCAGUCCAAUAUGCACAAACUAUCCCCUCCUUGGGAAGGGCCCUUUGUGGUCAGUAAGAAUCUGAACAACGGGUCAUACUACCUCAUUGAUAUUCGAGAGCACAAAGACUCAUGUAAGUCGGAGGAGGAGACCCGCCGGCCGUGGAAUAUAGCCCAUCUUCGGCCUUACUAUACUUAAGCCACUGGCUCUUGAGAUGUAUAUAUUUUUUAUCAAUGUAUAUAUUAUAUAAAGUAAUAAAGCAGGACCUCUGUCCUUUUUCACCCUCAAAAAAGUUUAUAUGUCUUUUUAUCAGAUGGUCGAAACAACCAACAGGGAGUGGAUCAUAUCUGAAUCCGGCUUUACCUUUGGUCCGGCUUAUGAUCAUAUCUGGAUCUAGCCAUGAUCACUUGGGGGCUUCCUGUUCAGACAUAGGUCGUAUCCAAACCAAAGAGAACAUAGCUGUCGAUACCCACUUGAUCGGCAUACUGCCAAACCUACUUGGGGGCUUCUUGAUAAUAUUUGAAUCAUAGCUUAACCCCUUUUGGGUCUGACGUGGAUCGUAUUCGAAUCAGCGUCAUUAAACAAAUCUUAUGGUCACUUGAGGGCUUCCUAUUCAAACAUAGGUCGUAUUCGAACCAAAGAGAACAUAGCUGUCGAUACCCACUUGAUCGGCAUCGCCAAAGCCACUGGGGGCUAUAUGAUCGUAUCCGAAUCUUAGCUUAACCCCUUUGGAACGGUUUACUGAUCGUAUUCGAAUCAGAAGCCUGUAAAUUAUUUGGACUAUCCUGCGACUUUUGUGGAAGGCAUUAUGAGAUGUUUUUUGUCUUUCUGGUUUAAUAUUGGUCACACCAUGUUGUUAAGUGCCAGGUGAGCAUCAUAUCAGCAGGAAGGAUUAUCAAAGGAUCACAGAAUAAGGUGAGAAAAUUUAACACGCCAAGGAAAUAAAAGCCAGAAAUAUAUAGCAGUGGCGGCUUACGUAAGUGUUGAGCGCUAGGAACAUGCGCGAAGGCAUGACAAACAUUGAGAAGUUUUUUCUAGCCUAUUACAAGACUCCCCAAGCCUGAAUAAAUGAAGCAUUGUUUUUUGCCAAACACCUGGCGAUUCACUCCUUCAGCGGGCUUGAAGACUCCGGGUUAUCCUUCUCCGCUUCUCCGUCAGCUGUUUUGUCCUGGAAAGUUGACGAGGCCCAGUCAAUGCCGCUCAAAGCUUCAAACUCAGCUUCAUCAUCUAUGAAACCGGCAGGGUCCACUUCAGGGGCAAAAGUAUGCUUACGAAUUGGAGGGAUCAGGAUGAUUUGAUCAUAUGGAGUGUUUGGAAUUCUCCGGUUCUCACUGUCAUAAGCCGGCGCAUAUUUGCUAUGGUCAGUGUCAUUUCCAAUAAGGGUUGCCACGGGAUGUAUGGCUUUGACACAGGCGGUGAAAUCAUGGUCGUCAAAUGCAGUGCCGUCCUCCUUCAGACUUGGGUAUCCAAGGGCAAGGUAGGCCGAGUCUAGUUCUGGGAGCCAUGCUUUAGCCCGCCUCAAUGUGGCCACGACCCCGACUCUUGAGGAAGCCCGCCUUAAGUCUUGGAUCUGUUGGGGAAGAAAAGCGAGGCUCUUCAAUACGUCUUGCAAAAGGCGAGGAUGUGGAGUUGAUAAGGCCACAACGGCCAAGGCACGUUGUGUCCCGGAGUAUAGCUGUUCCACUAAGGUGUAAACUGCUUUAAGCUUGAUCAGCAUGUUUUGCUUCAGGUUGGUACUCCUGGGGCCUGUAUGUGCACAAGCAUAACAGUGAGCCGGAAGUAAUUAUUACAAUAGUCAUUGUAAGGUUACAAUGUUUGAGGUUGUGCACAAUAACUUACCAAAGAUGGCUGAGACCAUUUGAGAUAUCUGUCGUUUUAAGUUGGACAGCUCGGUUGUUACCUCUGCAAGAGAUGCUUCUGCUGUCUCGGCCCGAGUCACCAGGGAAGCCUUCUCAUCAGCCCAAGCUUUCUUCUCCGACUCAAAAUUCUUCUUCAACUUCUCAUUUUCAGAGACGCUGAAUUCAAAUUUGGAGUUGGCCUUCUGAGUUUCAAGUUCUUGAGUUUCUAGACGACUCUUCAGGACAGUAAGCUCCGAUUCAAAUUGACUGAUGGUGGCCUGCAUUGACACCACGUUAUGGUAAGGAUCACGGUAAGGUAACAUUCAAGUCCCAAGCACUUUACAAGUAAAGAUAAUUGGCACUUGGGGGCUAAUGUAGGCUGAAGAAUUUUAAACCUAUCAUACCGGGUCACACAUGUUAAGUCUCAAGCACUUUACAAGCAAAGAUACUUGACACUUGGGGGCUAAUGUAUAUUCCAAAUUUAAAAGCCUCAUGUUAUAACCGGGUUAAAUAAAUUCUUUUUGAGCCGGAUAAGCUAACAAGUAAAGCAGUUUUCUAAAGUCUACAACAUAUUUAUUCAUAAGCAAUAGACUUGGGGGCUGGUACAGUAUGUAAGAUUUAGGUAAAAAGUAUAAGUUAUACCUCAGAUUUGUGCUGUAUUUGUUUUACCAUGUCCAUUUCCAGGUCACGGCUAUUAUGCACUUGAUUCAGAUAGCCCGAGACUAUAUCACUAAUGCUUAAGUGAGUAUAAUCAGUAAUGUCCUGAUUGGCUUUUCGGCGUUCGGCAAGUUCUUCCUUGGCAGUACAUUUGGCAAGGACGGUAGGCCGCCCUGGUUCAACAAACUGAGACCUCACAAUCUCAACUUCCGGUUCAUUUGUCUUGACCGGGCUAGGAGUAUCCGGGUCAUUUGUGUUGAGAUUAUCUUCGAAGAGCGGAUCAGAGGUUGGCACUGGAACAUCAGAAGCCGGAUCAGGCGGCGGCUGAUGGGUAGGGCUGUUUGGAGCAGACGUGUUAAUCACCGGUUCAGUUACAAUCGGGUCUUGGGACGGCUUAUUCUUCUUUGCCCUCUUGCUGGAUUUCACUUGCAUGUUGUUAACAAAGGCAGAAAGAUGAAUAUGCAAGCAUGGGUAAAGUAAAGCUCAAGGUAGAUAAGGUUACAUUACCCGGGAGCAGUUUUGAAAGCCAGUAUAUUUGAUUGCAUGGAUUCGUCGGAAGAAGGAGAGGUAUCCUGAUAAUUGGAGUCAGAUGAAUUGAGAGGUUGAUGAAUUAAGCCUGCUAAAGGUAAGACAGAACGUAAAUCGGAGAUAACCUCAGUCCGACGCUUCCUGAUUAUGUCAGGUUAGCCGGAGGAGAGUUCCGCAUCCUUGUUGUUCCGGGUCUGCCUCCGGUUCUCAAGCUGUUGUUGCUUCAAAAGAAAUUGAGGAUCUUGAUAAGCAAGAGCAUGUGAAAAUCUUACUUUCCGGGUCACCCUUCGGAUCCAUUGCUUUGGCAAAGGCUCUGAGUCGGAGGAGAUUAUAGUUACCUCUUCAUUGGCUGCUUGACUGUUCCCUGUACCCUCCUAAAGGGAUAGAAUGUCAGACAGGUAAUAACAAGGGAAUUAAGAAAAUUUAAAGAUUACCUCUUCAUCAUCCGAAGAACUAUCUUCCAAUCUGAGUAAGUCGGAGGCGCUGGGUUUCUUCUUCUUUGAGGUUCCCAUCUUGGCGGCUUUCCUUUCGGCUUUCUUGGUUGUCCUGGCUUGUUUGGCAGCCUCAUGGUCGUAUUUGACCUUCCAGAAGUUAUCAUCAGCCUGUGGAAAAAGAUAAGGAAUUAUAAGUACCAAAAAAGGUAUAAUAUAGCAGAGAGUAUUUAUUAAGAUUGAUAACUUACUACAGGGGCCGGGUUUUUCUUGCAAAAGGAAAGUAAGCCGAAGGCGUUACUCGUCAUAGUGCCCUCCUUCAGCAGCGACUGAGUCGUAGCAUCCACCACAUCAUCUGGUAAGUCGUCAGGACUAUGGCGUAACGGGUCAUCCUUUUCGCCUGUAUAAGUACACAUUAAGCCGGAACGGCGGCUUAAUGGAAGUACUCGCCAAGAAACCCAGACUCGGACCAGGUCGAUGCCGUUUAAACCAUUUCCCAAGAGAGCUUUGAUCUUCUUGAUCUUGGGAUUGAGAGGCAGACGUUCAACGGCUGUCAGUUUGUCUGGUAGCGGAUGGUUGGACUCAAGGCGUAGGGCGUGAAAGCCGAGCAGAGGCUUCUCAUCAGCCGAAGAAGUGUCCUGACAAUAGAACCACGUCUGGUUCAAAGAUUUUGGGUGACUCGGCAGCUCAGCAUAAGGAAAAAGACAGUCUCUCCAUCGCUGGAUCGAGAUGCCGCCAAGCUCAAGACUGGGCCCAUUGGCACGUUCAUUUUGCCGGUUCAUGUAAAAAAGUUCCCUGAACAAUAGCAGACUUGGCUCCUCUCCCAGGUACACCUCGCAGAAGACUUGGAAAUUGCAAAUAUUUGACACAGAAUUGGGUCCGAUGUCUUGAGGUCUAAGGUCAAAGAAAUUCAAAACCUCCCUGAAGAAUUUUGAGCCGGAAGGAGCAAAUCCCCGGCUCAUAUGAUCCAUAAAAAUUAUUACCUCCCCUGCUUUGGGUUGAGGCCUUUCUUCAGACGGGUCAGGGGCACGAUAAGACAUGACCUCCUUUUUUGGCAGAUGGCCAGAUUUCACGAACUCAGCCAGUUUGCUCUUGGUAACUAUGGAUGGGACCCAAUUGCAAGUUACAGGGGCCUUGGUAGCCAUAGGAGCCAUGACAACAAUUGGCCUAUGGAAAAAUAAGAAGAUCCGGUUCAAUUUUAACCCGGGAGAAAAAUCCUAAUUAUUCAAGGUGGCGGCUUAAUGAGGGGCCUAAUGAUAUAAGGAUGACUGUGCAACAAUAUUUAAGCCGCUACAAGUAUCAACAGCAGUUCAAAAUUCUUAAGGUCAUGAGAAGCAAGCAAGGCUCACAGAUCAGUGUCAUUUAUUUAAGCCGGACCAAUGGAUAGUUGUGUUUAAGGGCAUAUACCAGAAGAAGUUUUUCGGGUGAUAAAAUUAGGGUUCAUAAUCUUCUACUAAUAUUUGAGAUCAAAGGUCUGUUCUGAUAAGAAAAGUUUCUAGACCCAAAAACAGGGCACAGAAGUUCAUACACUCGAAGAAGGUUUCCAAACAAGGGAAUUGAGAUCUGUUUCUAUGCAAGAUAAACACAAACAAUUACCGCAACAGUUCUACGUAGUUUUUAUGAUCUAAACAGGGCAUUGGAGGUGAAAACUAGCGAGGGUUUGCUUCGGACGGUGAUGAACGCCGACGAACUCAACAAAGUUCCAAUGCAGAUCUAAGAAGGGGAAAGAGAGGAACUCACGGAUGCGGACGAGCUGCGGAGGUUCGCCGUCGAUUUCUGGUCAGAGUCAGGUUGAUGCAGCGGCCCGAGUCAGUGAAGAUGAGGGGUUUGACGGCGGCGGCGGCGGAGCUCGAGAGGAAGCAAGAGGAAGAGGACGACUGCAAGAAGGAAGAGUGAAAGACCUAGGUCGCCCUAUUUAUAAGGGAAGACUGACCGAGAUGGCGCGAGAAACGAGGAGACCAAAACAUCAUUAUCCAGCGGCCCCGACGCCUCGAUUCUCGGGAUGGUCAGUAAAGGCAAAGAUCCGUUGGAAGAUAUGACGGAGUAAAAAUAAGUUUUAUUGAAGAUGACGUCACGGUGAUUUAACCCGGAUCCAGAUGAUGACGUCACGACGGGUUAAAAUCUUCAUGCAAGACAAAAGACUAAGGACAGUUCCAUAAGGUAUUUUAAGAUUGACAAGAACAGGUUCAAAUCAAUCUGGGGCCUAAUGUUGGGGAUAUAACUAUUUGUGUAAAGCCGCCCAGGAGGGGCCGGGUUACGCAAAUAAGACUUACGAGAGAGAAGCCCAAGACCAAAGGUGAAGAUGGCGGUUCAUAGAGGGCUUAAGGCCCGCAGGCGACUUAAGGCCCGUUGUAAUAAACCGCCAUAGUAAUAUGACUUGUAUCAUAAAGUAGGCUUAACUAGUCACCGAGCCGGACACUGUUUAUAAGCCGGCCGUGACUCUGUAAGCCGCAGGGCGUCAACCCGUGUAUAUAAGGGGACGACCUGCUGGUGGCUUAGGGCAAGAAACAACUCAUCGAGAGCCGGGCAUAGCGUAUCUCGCUCCCUGGUCAUCGAAACAUCAAUACCAACCCAACUAGACGUAGGCCUUACCUUCACCGUAAGGGGCCGAACUAGUAUAAAAACCUCUCGUGUCCUUUGUCCCGAUUAACCCCUUCAAGCUUCCUAGUUGCGAUGGCUCCACAAAUAAGUCCUUUCACGAGGACAUCUGACGUGACAAUUCCACGACAGUAAGAGACAUCAUAGAUUGCACCAUAUCUAAUAAAGUACGGUUAUGAUGUUCGGACACACUGUUACGCUGUGGUGUUUGAUACGUAUCUAUAAUUUAUGAAGUAUUCAUGCUAUUAUAUAUAUUCUGUUUUGGAUGUUUAAUGGGCUUUAUUAUACACUUUUAUAUUAUUUUUGGGACUAACCUAUCAACCGGAGGCCCAACCCAAAAUGUUGUUUUCUUGCCUAUUUUAGUGUUUCGAAGAAAAGGAAUAUCAAAUGGAGUCCAAAUGGAAUGAAACCUUCGGGAGAGUUAUUUUUGGAACAGAAGCAAUCCAGGAGACUUGGAGUAGAUGUCAGGGAAGCUUUGAGGAAGCCACGAGGCAGGGUGGUGCGCCCUACCCCCUGGGCGCGCCCCCCACCCUCGUGGGCCCCUCGUGGCUCCCCUAACCAACUUCUUUCUCCUAUAUAUAUCCAUAUACCCUAAAAACAUCGGGGAAUAGAAUAGAACGGGAGUUCUGCCCCCGCAAGCCUCUAUAGACACCAAAAACCAAUCGGGACCCUGUUCUGGCACCCUGCCGGAGGGGGGAUCCCUCACCGUUGGCCAUCUUCAUCAUCCCGGCGCUCUACAUGACAAGGAGGGAGUAGUUCACCCUCGAGGCUGAGGGUAUGUACCAGUAGCUAUGUGUUUGAUCUCUCUCUCUCUCUCGUGUUAUUGAUUCGGCACAAUCUUGAUGUAUCGCGAGCUUUGCUAUUAUAGUUGGAUCUUAUGAUGUUUCUCCCCCUCUACUCUCUUGUAAUGAAUUGAGUUUUCCCUUUGAAGUUAUCUUAUCGAAUUGAGUCUUUAAGGAUUUGAGAACACUUGAUGUAUGUCUUGCAUGUGCUUAUCUGUGGUGACAAUGGGAUAUCACGUGAUUCACUUGAUGUAUGUUUUGGAGAUCAACUUGCGAGUUCCGUGACCUCGUGAACUUAUGCAUAGGGGUUGGCACACAUUUUCGUCUUGACUCUCCGCUAGAAACUUUGGGGCACUCUUUGAAGUACUUUGUGUUGGUUUGAGUAAAUGAAUCUGAGAUUGUGUGAUGCAUAUCGUAUAAUCAUACCCACGGAUACUUGAGGUGACAUUGGAGUAUCUAGGUGACGUUAGGGUUUUGGUCGAUUUGUGUCUUAAGGUGUUAUUCUAGUACGAACUCUAUGUUAGAUCGAAUCGAAAGAAUAGCUUCGUGUUAUUUUACUACGGACACUUGAAUAGAUCGAUCAGAAAGAAUAACUUUGAGGUGGUUUCGUACACUACAAUAAUCUCUUCGUUUGUUCUCCGCUAUUAGCGACUUUGGAGUGACUCUUUGUUGCAUGUUGAGGGAUAGUUAUAUGAUCCAAUUAUGUUAUUAUUGUUGAGAGAACUUGCACUAGUGAAAGUAUGAACCCUAGGCCUUGUUUCCUAGCAUUGCAAUACCGUUUGUGCUCACUUUUAUCAUUAGUUACCUUGCUGUUUUUAUAUUUUAGAUUACAAAACCUAUAUCUACCAUCCAUAUUGCAGUUGUAUCACCAUCUCUUCACUGAACUAGUGCACCUAUACAAUUUACCAUUGUAUUGGGUGUGUUGGGGACACAAGAGACUCUUUGUUAUUUGGUUGCAGGGUUGUUUGAGAGAGACCAUCUUCAUCCUACGCCUCCCACGGAUUGAUAAACCUUAGGUCUUCCACUUGAGGGAAAUUUGCUACUGUCCUACAGACCUCUUCACUUGGAGGCCCAACAACGUCUACAAGAAGAAGGUUGUGUAGUAGACAUCAAGCUCUUUUCUGGCGCUAUUGCCGGGGAGUUGAGUGCUUGAAGGUAUAUCUUUAGAUCUUGCAAUCGAAUCUUUUUGUUUCUUGUUUUAUCACUAGUUUAGUCUAUAAAAGAAAACUAAAAGAUGGAACUAAGGGUGCCUCAUAUGCUUCAUCUUUUUAAUGUCUUUCGUGAAAAUGAUGGGAAGGAAAAUUGUGCUCAAGUAAAAGAAGAAGAAUUACAUAGAAUGCUUGGCAUAAAAUAUGUGAAUAAUGAGCAUGAUUGCAAUGUUGUUAGUAUGAAUUCUUGGAAUACCCAUGAUGCUAAUGAUACGCAAAGCUACAAGCUUGGGGAUGCUAUGUUUGAUGAAGAUGAUAUGUUUUGUUUUGUCCCCCAAGUUAUGAUGAGCAAAUUUAUUAUGAUGAUAGCAUGCUUCCUAUUUCUGAUGAUUAUAUUGAUGAAAGUGGGUUUGGAAGAGUGUCAACUUUAGGAAGUAAUGAUCCCACUAUUUUGGAGGGUGUUGAAUCUUAUUGUGAUAAUUAUGAAAGUGGAUUUGGAGAGGUCAUGACUUUAUUUAGCGAUGAAUCCACUAUUUUGGAAGAGGUUCCAAUUGAUUAUGAGAAUAAAGUUGCUACCUAUGAUGAUUAUUGUGAUGACAUGUAUGCUAUAAAGAAUAAAGAUAACCAUGAAACUUGUCAUCAUGAUUUUAAUUUUCAAUUGGAUUAUGCUUCACAUGAUAGUUAUUUUGUUGAGUUUGGUCCCACUACUAUUCAUGAGAAGAAAUUUGCUUAUGUGGAGAGUAAUAAAAUUUCUAUGUUUGUAGAUCAUGAAAAGAAUGAUUUUAUGUGCUGGUUGUAAGGUUGAAUUCAUUCAUGAUGCUACUGAAAAUUAUUAUGAGAGAGGAUCAUAUGCUUCUACAUAUUGCAAUAAUAUCAAGUUUCCUCUCUAUGUGCUUAAAGUUUUAAAUUUAUGCUUGUUUUGCCUUCCUAUGCUAGUUGAUUAUUGUUCCCAUAAGUUGUUUUCUAACAAAAUCCCUACGCAUAAGAAGUGGGUUAGAUUUAAAUGUGCUAGUCAUAUUCUUCAUGAUGCUCUCUAUAUGUUUCAGUUCUUACCUUUUAUAUGAGCAUUAUUGAAAUCAUCAUGCCUAGCUAGAAAGGCAUUAAAGAAAAUCGCUUGUUGGGAGACAACCCAAUAUUUACCCCUACUGUUUUUGUGUGUUCACAUGAUUAAGCUACUGUAUUAAUCAUGUUUUAUAGCUUUUGUUUCAAUAAAGUGCCAAGUAGAACCUUUGGGAAGACUUGGGUGGAAGUUAAUGUGAUCUUGCUGUAAAAAACAGAAACUUUGCACUCACGAGUUUAGCUGUCAUAUUUUACAGAAGAGUGUCUUUAAGUUGAUUCUUUUUAUAGAAGAUUAAUAGACAAAUUCCUCAGGUCCACCAAUUUAUUUCAGAAUUUUUGGAGUUCCAGAAGUAUAUGUUUCAUACAGAUUACUACAGACUUUUCUGUUUUUGACAGAUUCUGUUUUCUAUGUGUUGUUUGCUUAUUUUGAGAAUCCGUGAGUAGUAUCGGAGGGUAAGAACCAUAGAGAAGUUGGAAUACAGUAGAUAUUACACCAAUAUGAAUUUAGAAUGAGUUCACAACAGUACCUAAGUGGUGAUUUAUUUUCUUAUACUAACGGAGCUUAUGAGUUUUCUGUUAUGUUUUGUGUUGUGAAGUUUUCAAGUUUUAGGUAAAGAUUCGAUGGACAAUGGAAUAAGGAGUGGCAAGAGCCUAAGCUUGGGGAUGCCCAAGGCACCCCAUUGUAAUAUUCAAGGACAACCAAAAGCCUAAGCUUGGGGAUGCCCCGGAUGGCAUCCCCUCUUUCAUCUUCAUUCACCGGUAACUUUACUUGGAGCUAUAUUUUUAUUCACCGCAUGAUAUGUGUUUUGCUUGGAGCGUCAUUUUAUUUUAUUUUGUUUUGCUUGCUGUCUGAAUAAAAUACCAAGAUCUGGAAUUCUUAAAUGAGAGAGAGUCUUCACAUAGCUACAUUAUUAUUUAACUACUCAUUGAUCUUCACUUAUAUCUUUUGGAGUAGUUUGUCAUUUACUCGUGUGCUUCACUUAUAUCCUAUGAGUAAAUGGUUGAAUGAUUUGAAUGUCAUAAAUCUGAAAUUAUAUAUGUUUCAUAUGCCUUUCCCAUGGGAGUAAUGCCUUCACAUAUAAGAAGUAUAGGUGGUAAAUUUUUUGAAGGUUAGCAAACAUUGUAUUGGUCACUUGAACAAUUCAUGAAAGAAUAUUGAAGGAAGAGGGAGUUCACAUAUAAAUAUACUAUCUUGGACAUCUUCUAUGAUGGUGAGCCCCAUUAAUUAUUUUCAAACCUGAGGAAAUUAGUUGAAGUUGGAAAAGGAAGAUAACAUAAUGAGUUAUGCUUGGGUAUAUUUGUAUAGAAGUUAUAUUGUUAUGGAUCCUCUAACAUGUGGUGCUUGCUAUUUAGAAUCCUUUGCUAGCCAAAAUAUCUGUACUAAGCGGCAAUACUGCUUGUGCAUACAAAUUCCUUGAACCAAGUUUAUUCCAUGAGUGUCCACCAUAUCUACCUAUAUGCGGUAUUUACUUGCCGUUCCAAGUAAAUUUGCAUGUGCCAAACUCUAAACCUUCAAAUAAUAAUCUGUUUUGUAUGCUCGAAUCACUCAUGUAGCGACUAGGGACUGUCAGUAUCUUCCAUGCUAGGUGGGUUAUUCUCACGAUGAGUGGACUUCACUCAUCAUUCAUGAGAAAAUGGCUGGUAACUGGGAUGCUCAGUCCUAUGAUCACAAGAUCAAAAACAAAUUCACAAAUAAUUUAAACAAAACUCCUUCAGGAUUGUUGAUAGUUGGACGGCACCCGUUGUUUCACACAAGCCGUGCAGUGUGAUUGUUGGUGGAGGGGGAGUAAAAUCUUUACCUUUCUGUUUGGGAACUGCCUAUAAUGUAUCUACUAUGGAAGAUAUUGGGAACUCUUGGUCGUUAUGUUGACAAUGAAAGCAUACCUCUCAAAAUUAUUUUCAUCUCUGUUUUUGCUUUGAGCUCUAGCACCUCUGCAAAUCCCUGCUUCUCUCUGCUAAGGGCCUAUCUUUUACUUUUAUGCAAGAGUCAGUAGUAUUCCUUCUCAUUCCAACCUACUUUUUAGUUGGCAAGCAUCAUGUGGUGGAGAAAGAUCUAAGCAUAUAUUGCCAUUCAAAUAUAUUUCAUCAUGAAUUAUUAUUGUUGACAAUUAUCUAUAUGAUAAAUAAGUUGGGAGGCGAAACAUUAAGCCCCUAUCUUUCUCUGUGUUUGAUGGAUGCUAUUUGUUCUAAAAAUAUGCUUUGAGUGGUAGCAAUCAUGGAAGAUUAUAUGAUAGUUGAGUAUGUGGGAUUUGCUAAAUCAAAGCUCUUACAUAGACCCUUCCUGAAAAUAAGAUGAAUUGCAAUUAUUUGAUGACUGAAAACUGUUUGUUAGUUUUCAAGAAAGUUUAUGAUCUAUACUUUAACAUGUUAAUAGCUUGUUACUUGACCAUGAGAAGUUUUAUGAUAUGAGCUACUGUUAUGACAUAUAAUGAUGCUAGAAAAAGUGAUUGCAACUAUCAUUGAUCAGACUUAUGCACUUGCCACCAUUCACACUUCAAAAACUAUUUCUUUUAUCACUUACCGACUCGAGGACGAGCAGGAAUUAAGCUUGGGGAUGCUGAUACGUCUCCAACGUAUCUAUAAUUUAUGAAGUAUUCAUGUUAUUAUAUAUUCUGUUCUGGAUGUUUAAUGGGAUUUAUUAUACACUUUUAUAUUAUUUUUGGGACUAACCUAUUAACCGGAGGCCCAACCCAAAAUGUUGUUUUCUUGCCUAUUUCAGUGUUUCAAAAAAAGGAAUAUCAAAUGGAGUCCAAACAGAAUGAAACCUUCGGGAGAGUUAUUUUUGGAACAGAAGCAAUCCAGGAGACUUGGAGUAGACGUCAGGGAAGCUUCGAGGAAGCCACAAGGCAGGGAGGCGCGCCCUACCCCCUGGGCGCCCCCCACCCUCGUGGCUCCCCUGACCAACUUCUUUCGCCUAUAUAUAUACAUAUACCCUAAAAACAUCGGGGAACAUAAUAGAUCAGGAGUUCCACCGCCGCAAGCCUCUGUAGCCACCAAAAACCAAUCGGGACCCUGUUCCGGCACCCUGCUAGAGGGGGGAUCCCUCACCGGUGGCCAUCUUCAUCAUCCUGGCACUCUCCAUGAAGAGGAGGGAGUAGUUCACCCUCGGGGCCGAAGGUAUGUACCAGUAGCUAUGUGUUUGAUCUCUCUCUCUCUCUCUCUCGUGUUCUUGAUUCGGCACGAUCUUGAUGUAUCGCAAGCUUUGCUAUUAUAGUUGGAUCUUAUGAUGUUUCCCCCCCUCUACUCUCUUGUAAUGGAUUGAGUUUUCCCUUUGAAGUUAUCUUAUCGGAUUGAGUCUUUAAGGAUUUGAGAACACUUGAUGUAUGUCUUCCAUGUGCUUAUCUGUGGUGACAAUGGGAUAUCACGUGAUUCACUUGAUGUAUGUUUUGGUGAUCAACUUAUGUGUUCCGUGACCUCGUGAACUUAUGCAUAGGGGUUGGCACACGUUUUCGUCUUGACUCUCCGGUAGAAACUUUGGGGCACUCUUUGAAGUAAUUUGUGUUGGUUUGAAUAGAUGAAUCUGAGAUUGUGUGAUGCAUAUCGUAUAAUCAUACCCACGGAUACUUGAGGUGACGUUGGAGUAUCUAGGUGACAUUAGGGUUCUGGUCGAUUUGUGUCUUAACGUGUUAUUCUAGUAUGAACUCUAUGAUAGAUCGAACGGAAAGAAUAGCUUCGUGUUAUUUUACUACGGACUCCUGAAUAGAUCGAUCAGAAAGGAUAACUUUGAGGUGGUUUUGUACCCUACAAUAAUCUCUUCGUUUGUUCUCCGCUAUUAGUGACUUUGGAGUGACUCUUUGUUGCAUGUUGAGGGAUAGUUAUAUGAUCCAAUUAUGUUAUUGUUGAGACAACUUGCACUAGUGAAAUUAUGAACCCUAGGCCUUGUUUCCUAGCAUUGCAAUACCGUUUGUGCUCACUUUUACCAUUAGUUACCUCGCUGUUUUUAUAAUUUCAGAUUACAAAAACCUAUAUCUACCAUCCAUAUUGCACUUGUAUCACCAUCUCUUUGCUGAACUAGUGCACCUAUACAAUUUACCAUUGUAUUGGGUGUGUUGGGGACACAAGAGACUCUUUGUUAUUGGGUUGCAGGGUUGUUUGAGAGAGACCAUCUUCAUCCUACGCCUACCAUGGAUUGAUAAACCUUAGGUCAUCCACUUGAGGGAAAUUUGCUACUGUCCUACAAACCUCUACACUUGGAGGCUCAACAACGUCUACAAGAAGAAGGUUGUGUAGUAGACAUCAGUGUUCUAGGUGGCGUGAGUUGCAAAAGUAUUCCGCAUUGUUUCAAAUGAAGACCAAACUCGUAACACAAAUAUUCUCCUCGACGAUCAGAUCGUAGAAACUUUAUUUUGUUGUUACGAUGAUUUUCCACUUCACUCUGAAAUUAUUUGAACUUUUCAAAUGUUUCAGAUUUAUGUUUCAUCAAGUAGAUAUACCCAUAUCUGCUCAAAUCAUCUGUGAAGGUCAGAAAAUAACGAUACCUUCCUCAAGCCUCAACUCUCAUCGGACCACAUAUAUUAGUAUGUAUGAUUUCCAACAAGUCUGUUGUUUGCUCCAUUGUUCCGGAGAACGGAGGCUUAGUCAUCUUGCCCAUGAGGCAUGGUUCCAAGCAUCAACAGUUUCAUAAUCAAGUGAUUCCAAAAGCCCAUCAGUAUGGAUUUUCUUCAUGCGCUUUACACCAAUAUGACCUAAACAGCAGUGCCACAAAUAAGUUGCACUAUCAUUAUUAACUUUGCAUCUUUUGGCUUCAAUAUUAUGAAUAUGUGUAUCACUAUGAUCGAGAUUCAAUAAACCAUUCACCUUGGGUGUAUGACCAUUGAAGGUUUUAUUCAUGUAAAUAGAACAACAAUUAUUCUCUGACUUUAUAUGAAUAACCGUAUUGCAAUAAACAUGAUCAAAUCAUAUUCAUGCUUAACGCAAACACCAAACAACAUUUAUUUAGGUUCAACACUAUUCCCGAAAGUAUAGGGAGUGUGCGAUGAUGAUCAUAUCAGUGUUGGAACCACUUCCAACACACAUCAUCACUUCACCCUUAACUAGUCUCUGUUCAUUUUGCAACUCCCGUUUUGAGUUACUAAUCUUAGCAACUGAACUAGUAUCAAAUACUGAGGGGUUGCUAUAAACACUAGUAAAGUACACAUCAAUAACAUGUAUAUCAAAUAUACCUUUGUUCACUUUGCCAUCCUUCUUAUCCGCCAAAUACUUGGGGCGGUUCUGCUUCCAGUGACCGGUCCCAUUGUAGUAGAAGCACUUAGUCUCAGGCUUAGGUCCAGACUUGGCCUUCUUCACUUGAGCAGCAACUUGCUUGCCGUUCUUCUUGAAGUUCCCCUUCUUCCCUUUGCCCUUCUCUUGAAACUAGUGGUCUUGUCAACCAUGAACACUUGAUGCUUUUCUUGAUUUCUACCUUCGUCGAUUGCAGCAUCACGAAGAGCUUGGGAAUCGUUUCCGUUAUCCCUUGCCUAUUAUAGUUCAUCAAGAAGUUCUAGUAACUUGUUGAUAGUGACUAGAGAACUCUGUCAAUCACUAUCUUAUCUGGAAGAUUAACUCCCACUUGAUUCAAGUGAUUAUAGUACUCAGACAUUCUGAGCACAUGCUCACUAGCUGAGCUAUUCUCCUCCAUUUUGUAGGCAAAGUACUUGUCAAAGUUCUCAUACCUUUCGACAUGGGCAUGAGUGCGAAAUACUAAUUUCAACUCUUGGAACAUCUCAUAUGCUUCGUGGCGUCUCAAAAACGUCUUUGAAGCCUCGAUUCUAAGCCAUGAAGCAUGGUGCACUAAACUAUCAAGUAGUCAUCAUAUCGAGCUUGCAAAACAUUCAUAACGUCCGCAUCUGCUCCUUCAAUCGGUCUGUUACCUAGCGGUGCAUUUAAGGACAUAAUUCUUCUGUGCAGCAAUGAUGAUAAUCCUCAGAUCACGGAUCCAAUCCGCAUCAUUUCUACUAACAUAUUUCAACUUAGUUUUCUCUGGGAACAUAUCAAAAAUAAAACAGGGGAGCUAAACGCGAGCUAUUGAUCUACAACAUAGAUAUGCUAAUACUACUAGGACUAAGUUCAUGAUAAAUUAAAGUUCAAUUAAUCAUAUUACUUAAGAAAUCCCACUUAGAUAGACAUCCCUCUAAUCAUCUAAGUGAUCACGUGAUCCAUAUCAACUAAACCAUGUCUGAUCAUCACGUGAGAUGGAGUAGUUUUCAAUGGUGAACAUCACUAUGUUGAUCAUAUCUACUAUAUGAUUCACGCUCGACCUUUCGGUCUCAGUGUUCCGAGGCCAUAUCUGCAUACGCUAGGCUCGUCAAGUUUAACCCGAGUAUUCUGCGUGUGCAAAACUAUCUUGCACCCGUUGUAUGUGAAUGUAGUGCUUAUCACACCCGAUCAUCACGUGGUGUCUCGGCAUGAAGAACUUUCGCAACGGUUCAUACUUAGGGAGAACACUUAUAUCUUGAAAUUUAGUGAGAGAUCAUCUUAUAAUGCUACCGUCGAUCUAAGAAAAAUAAGAUGCAUAAAGGAUAAACAUCACAUGCAACCAAUAUAAGUGAUAUGAUAUGGCCAUCAUCAUCUUGUGCCUUUGAUCUCCAUCUCCAAAGCACCAUCAUGAUCACCAUCGUCACCGGCGUGACACCUUGAUCUCCAUCGUAGCAUCGUUGUCGUCUCGCCAACUAUUGCUUCUAUGACUAUCGCUACCGCUUAGUGAUAAAGUAAAGCAAUUACAUGGAGAUUGCAUUUCAUACAAUAAAGCGACAACCAUAUGGCUCCUGCCAGUUGCCGAUAACUCCGUUACAAAACAUGAUCAUCUCAUACAAUAAAAUUUAGCAUCAUGUCUUGACCAUAUCACAUCACAACAUGCCCUGCAAAAACAAGUUAGACGUCCUCUACUUUGUUGUUGCAAGUUUUACGUGGCUGCUACGGGCUGAGCAAGAACCGUUCUUACCUACGCAUCAAAACCACAACGAUAUUUUGUCAAGUAUGUGAUGUUUUAACCUUCAACAAGGACCAGGCAUAGCCACACUCGAUUCAACUAAACUUGGAGAAACUGACACCCGCCAGCCACCUGUGUGCGAAGCACGUCGGUAGAACCAGUCUCGCGUAAGCAUACCCAUAAUGUCGGUCCGGGCUACUUCAUCCAACAAUACCGCCGAAUCAAAGUAUGACAUGCUGGUAAGCAGUAUGACUAGUAUCACCCACAACUCACUUGUGUUCUACUCGUGCAUAUAACAUCUACGCAUAAACCUGGCUUUGAUACCACUAUUGGGGAAUGUAGUAAUUUUAAAAAAAUUCCUACGCACAAUGCAAGAUCAUGGUGAUGCAUAACAACAAGAGGGGAGAGUGUUGUCCACGUACCCUCGUAGACCGAAAGAGGAAGCGUUAUGAAAACGCGAUUGAUGUAGUCGUAUGUCUUCAUGAUUGACCGAUCCUAGCACGGAAGGUACGACACCUCCAUGAUCUGCACACGUUCGGCUCGGUGACGUCCCACGAACUCACAAUCCAGUAGAGUGUCGGGGAAGAGCUUCGUCAGCAGGACGGCGUGAUGACGGUGAUGAUGAAGCUACCGGCACAGGGCUUCGCCUAAGCACUACGACGAUAUGAUCGAGGUGGAUUAUGGUGGAGGGGGGCACCGCACACGGCUAAAAGAUCAAUGAUUAACUUGUGUGUCUAUGGGGUGCCCCGCUCCCCCGUAUAUAAAGGAGUGGAGGAGGGGGAGGGCCGACCCUCCUAUGGCGCGCCCCAUGGGGAGGCCUACUCCCACCGGGAGUAGGAUUCCCAGGUUCCAUGUAGUAGGAGUAGGAGAGAAGGAAGGAGGAGAGAGGGAGAAGGAAGGGGGGGCGCCGCCCCCCCUUCCUAGUCCAAUUCGGAACAGAGGAAGAGGGGGCGCAUGGCCUGCCCUGGCAGUCCCUCUCUCUCUCUCUGCUAAGGCCCAUAAGGCCCAUUAUACUCCCUGGGGGAUUCCGGUAACUCCCCUGGCACUCCGGUAUAUAUCCGAAACCUCCUGAAACACUUCUCCGAAAAUAGUCGUCCAAUAUAUCGAUCUUUAUGUCUCAACCAUUUUGAGACUGCUCGUCAUGUCUGUGAUCAUAUUCGGGACUCCAAACUACGUUUGGUACAUCAAAACACAAAAACUCAUAAUACCGAUCGCCACAGAACUUUAAGCGUGCGGACCCUACACGGUUUCGAGAACUAUGUAGACAUGACCGAGACAUGUCUCCGGUCAAUAACCAAUAGCGGAACCUGGAUGCUCAUAUUGGUUCCUACAUAUUCUACGAAGAUCUUUAUCGGUCAAACCGCAUAACAACAUACGUUGUUCCCUUUGUCAUCGGUAUGUUAUUUGCCCGAGAGUCGAUCGUCGGUAUCUCAAUACCUAGCUCAAUCUCGUUACUGGCAAGUACCUUUACUCGUUCCAUAGUGCAUCAUCCUGUAACUAACUCAUUAGUCACAUUGCUUGCAAGGCUUAUAGUGAUGUGCAUUACCGAGAGGGCCCAGAGGUACCUCUCCGACAAUCGGAGUGACAAAUCAUAUUCUUGAUCUAUGCCAACUCCAUGAACACCAUCGGAGACACCUGUAGAGGACCUUUAUAAUCACCCAGUUAUGUUGUGGCGUUUGGUAGCACACAAAGUGUUCCUUCGGUAUUCGGGAGUUGCAUAAUCUCAUAGUCAUAGGAACAUGUAUAAGUCAUGGAGAAAGCAAUAGCAGUAAACUUAACGAUAAAGUGCUAAGCUAACGAAAUGGGUCAAGUCAAUCACAUCAUUCUCCUAAUGAUGUGACCCCGUUAAUCAAUUGACAACUCAUGUCCAUGGCUAGGAAACUCAACCAUCUUUUAUCAACGAGCUAGUCAAGUAGAGGCAUACUAGUGACACUAUGUUUUACUAUGUACUCACACAUGUAUUAUGUUUCCGGUUAAUACAAUUCUAGCAUGAAUAAUAAACAUUUAUCAUGAUAUGAGAAAAUAAAUAAUAACUUUAUUAUUGCCUCUAGGGCAUAUUUCCUUCACCUAGCACCACUGUUCAAGAUAUCUUCCGAUAUUCCGAUAAAUCGGCCGAUUUAUCGCUUACCGUUGUCUGACCGAUAAGAUAAAUCAGCCGAUAAAUUAGCCGAUAUGGCGAUAAAUCGACCGAUAUGCCGAUAAACUGGCUGAUUUACCCCUUAUCUUGGGUCGACUGAUAAGUUCCCGAUAAGCGAUAUCCCAAACAUUGCCUAGCACCGAAGGUACAACACCUCCGCGAUCUGCACACGUUCGGCUCGGUGACGUCCCACGAACUCACGAUCCAGAAGAGUGUCGGGGAAGAGCUUCAUCGGCACGAUGGCAUGAUGAUAGCGAUGAUGAAGCUACUGGCGUAGGGCUUCGCCUACGCACUACGACAAUAUGACCGAGGUGGAUUAUGGUGGAAGGGGGCACCGCACACGGCUAAAAGAUCAAUGAUCAACUUGUGUGUCUAUGGGGUGCCCCCUCCCCCGUAUAUAAAGGAGUGGAGGAGGGGGAGGGCCGGCCCUCCUAUGGCGCACCCCAUGGGGAGUCCUACUCCCACCGAGAGUAGAAUUCCCCCCCCCUUGCAUGUAGUAGGAGUAGGAGAGAAGGAAGGAGAAGAGAGGGAGAAGGAAAGGGGGGCUCCACCCCCCCUUCCUAGUCCAAUUAGGACCAAAGGGGGAGGGGGCAUGCGGCCUGCCCUGGCCGCCCCUCUCUCUCUCCACUAAGGCCCAUAAGGCCCAUUAAACUCCCCGAGGGGUUCUGGUAACCCCCCGGUACUCCGGUAUAUGUCCAAACUCACUCGGAACCAUUUCAAUGUCCAAACAUAGUCAUCCAAUAUAUCGAUCUUUAUGUAUCGACCACUUUGAGACUCCUUGUCAUGUCCGUGAUCAUAUCUGGGACUCCGAACUACCUUCGGUACAUAAAAACACAUAAACUCACAAUACCGAUCGUCACUGCACGUUAAGCGUGCGGACCCUACAAGUUCGAGAACUAUGUAGACAUGACCGAGACACGUCUCCGGUCAAUAACCAAUAGCAGAACCUGGAUGCUCAUAUUGGCUCCUACAUAUUCUACGAAGAUCUUCAUCGGUUAAACCACAUAACAACAUACGUUGUUCCCUUUGUCAUCGAUAUGUUACUUGCCCGAGAUUCGAUCGUUGGUAUCUGAAUACCUAGUUCAAUCUCGUUACCGGCAAGUCUCUUUACUUGUUCCGUAAUGUAUGAUCCCGCAACUAACUCAUUAGUUACAUUGCUUGCAAGGCUUAUAGUGAUGUGCAUUACCGAGAGGGCCCGGAGAUACCUCUCCGACAAUCGGAGUGACAAAUCCUAAUUUCGAUCUAUGCCAACUCAUCAAGUAGCAUCGGAGACACCUGUAGAGCACCUUUAUAAUCACCCGGUUACGUUGUGACAUUUGGUAGCACACAAAGUGUUCCUCCGGUAUCCGGGAGUUGCAUAAUCUCAUAGUCAUAGGAACAUGUAUAAUCAUGAAGAAAGCAAGGGCAAUAUACUAAAAGAUCAAUUGCUAAGCUAACGGAAUGGGUCAAGUCAAUCACAUCCUUCUAUAAUGAUGUGAUCCCGUUAAUCAAAUGACAACUCAUGUCUAUGGCUAGGAAACUUAACCAUCUUUGAUUCAACGAGCUAGUCAAGUAGAGGCAUACUAGUGACACUCUGUUUGUCUAUGUAUCCACACAUGUACUAAGUUUCCGGUUAAUACAAUUCUAGCAUGAAUAAUAAACAUUUAUCAUGAAAUAAGGAAAUAAAUAAUAACUUUAUUAUUGCCUCUAGGGCAUAUUUCCUUCAGUAUUCCACUUGCACUAGAGUCAAUAAUCUAGUUCACAUCGUGAUGUGAUUUAACACCAAUAGUUCACAUCACCAUGUGAUUAACACCCAUAGUUCACAUCGCCAUGUGACCAACACUCAAAGGGUUUACUAGACUCAGUAAACUUAGUUCACAUCACCAUGUGAUUAUCACCCAAAGAGUACUAAGGUGUGAUCAUGUUUUGCUUGUGAGAGAAGUUUAGUCAACGGGUCUGCCAUAUUCAGAUCCGUAUGUAUUUUGCAAAUUUCUAUGUCAACAAUGCUCUGCACGGAGCAACUUUAGCUAAUUGCUCCCACUUUCAAUAUGUAUCCAGAUUGUGACUUAGAGUCAUCCAUAUCGGUGUCAAAGCUUGUAUCGACACAACUCUUUAUGAUGAACUCUUUAUCACCUCCAUAACGGAGAAAUAUUUCCUUAGUCCUCUAAGGAUAAUUUUGACCGCUGUCCGGUGAUCUACACUUAGAUCAAAAUUGUACUCCCUUUCCAUACUCAGGGCAGGGUAUACAAUAGGUCUGGUACACAACAUGGCAUACUUUAUAGAACCUAUGGCCGAGGCAUAGGGAAUGACUUUCAUUCUCUCUCUAUCUUCUGUCGUGGUCGGGCUUUGAGUCUUACUCAACUUCACACCUUGCAACACAGGCAAGCACUCUUUCUUUGACUGUUCCAUUUUGAACUACUUCAAAAACUUGUCAAGGUAUGUAUUCAUUGAAAAAACUUAUCAAGCGUCUUGAUCUAUCUCUAUAGAUAUUGAUGCUCAAUACGUAAGCAGCUUCACCGAGGUCUUUCUUUGAAAAACUCCUUUCAAAUACUCCUUUAUGCUUUCCAGAAAAUUCUACAUUAUUUCCGAUCAACAAUAUGUCAUUCACAUAUACUUAUCAGAAAUGUUGUAGUGCUCCCACUCACUUUCGUGUAAAUACAGGCUUCUCCUGAAGUCUGUAUAAAACCAUAUGCUUUGAUCACACUAUCAAAACGUUUAUUCCAACUCCGAGAUGCUUGCACCAGUCCAUAGAUGGAUCGCUGGAACUUGCACAUUUUGUUAGCACCUUUAGGAUCGACAAAACCUUCUGGUUGCAUCAUAUACAACUCUUCAUUAAGAAAUCUAUUAAGGAAUAUAGUUUUGACAUCCAUUUGCCAGAUUUCAUAAAAUGUGGCAAUUUAUUAACAUGAUUCGGACAGACUUAAGCAUCGCUACGAGUGAGAAAAUCUCAUCGUAGUUAACACCUUGAACUUUGUUAAAAACCUUUUUCGACAAGUCUAGCUUUGUAGAUAGUAACACUACUAUCAGCGUCUGUCUUCCUCUUGAAGAUCCAUUUAUUUUCUAUGGCUUGCUGAUCAUCGGGCAAGUCACCCAAAGUCCACACUUUGUUCUCAUACAUGGAUCCCAUCUCAGAUUUCAUGGCCUCAAGACGUUUCACGGAAUCUAGGCUCAUCAUAGCUUCCUCAUAGUUCGUAGGUUCGUCAUGGUCAAGUAACGUGACCUCCAGAACAGGAUUACCGUACCACUCUGGUGCCGAUCUUAUUCUGGUAGACCUACAAGGUUUCGUAGUAACUUGAUCUUAAGUUUCAUGAUCAUCAUCAUUAGCUUCCUCACUAAUUGGUGUAGGAAUCACUAGAACUGAUUUCUAUGAUGAACUACUUUCCAAUUUGGGAGAAGGUACAAUUACCUAAUCAAGUUCUACUUUCCUCCCACUCACUUGUUUCGAGAGAAACUCCUUCUCUAGAAAGGAUACAUUCUUAGCAACGAAUGUCUUGACUUCGGAUCUGUGAUAGAAGGUGUACCCAACAGUCUCCUUUGGGUAUCCUAUGAAGACACAUUUCUCCGAUUUGGGUUUGAGCUUAUCAGGAUGAAACUUUUUCACAUAAGCAUCGCAACCCCAAACUUAAAGAAACAACAACUUUGGUUUCUUGCCAAACCACAGUUCAUAUGGUGUCAUCUCAACGGAUUUAGAUGGUGCCCUAUUUAACGUGAAUGCAGCUGUCUCUAAUGCAUAACCCCAAAACGAUAGUGGUAAAUCGGUAAGAGACAUCAUAGAUUGCACCAUAUCUAAUAAAGUACGGUUAUGAUGUUCGGACACACCAUCACACUAUGGUGUUUGAUACGUCUCCAACGUAUCUAUAAUUUAUGAAGUAUUCAUGCUAUUAUAUAUUCUGUUUUGGAUGUUUAAUGGGCUUUAUUAUACACUUUUAUAUUAUUUUUGGGACUAAACUAUUAAUCAGAGGCCCAGCCCAAAUUGUUGUUUUCUUGCCUAUUUCAGUGUUUCGAAGAAAAGGAAUAUCAAAUGGAGUCCAAACGGAAUGAAACCUUCAGGAGAGUUAUUUUUGGAAUGGAAGCAAUCCAGGAGACUUGGAGUAGACGUCAGGGAAGAUUCGAGGAAGCCACAAGGCAGGGAGGCGCGCCCUGUCGGUGUCAAAACCGGCAGAUCUCGGGUAGGGGGUCCCGAACUGUGCGUCUAAGGCUAAUGAUAACAGGAGGCGGGGGACACAAUGUUUACCCAGGUUCGGGCCCUCUCGAUGGAAGUAAUACCCUACUUCCUGCUUAAUUGAUCUUGAUGAUAUGAGUAUUACAAGAGUUGAUCUACCACGAGAUCGUAGAGGCUAAACCCUAGAAGCUAGCCUAUGGUUAUGAUUGUUGUUGUCCUACGGACUAAACCCUCCGGUUUAUAUAGACAUCGGAGGGGGCUAGGCUUACACAGAGUCGGUUACAGAGAAGGAAAUGUACAUAUCCGAAUUGCCAAGCUUGCCUUCCACGCAAAGGAGAGUCCCACCCGGACACGGGACGAAGUCUUCAAUCUUGUAUCUUCAUAGUCCAACAGUCCGGCUAAAGUAUAUAGUCCGGAUGUCCGAGGACUGCCUAAUCCAGGACUCCCUCAGUAGCCCCUGAACCAGGCUUCAAUGACGAUGAGUCCAGCGCGCAGAUUGUCUUCGGCAUUGCAAGGCGGGUUCCUUCUCCGAAUACUCCAUAGAAGAUUCUGAACACAAGGAUCGUGUCCGGCUCUGCAAAACAAAUUUGACACACCACCGUAGAGAGCAUAACAUUCCACAAAUCUAAUCUGCUGACCACUUUUCAUAGUGUGACAUCACGCCACGGCUUGGUCAUUAUUCGACCCGUUUUUCUCAACCAGUUGUUGCACAUAUUGCGAGGCGGUUUCCUUGGCACGUCUUGUCGAAGCAGAGAUCGUGUCCCGUUAUCACGGGAUUCUUAUCAAUAUGGGCGUGGAUAACCCAACCGUGCCAUCAACGCGACGCUUGGGGAAUAAGCGAAUUUACCGGGCAUGUGGGGAGGCGCAGGAUCCUGCCGCCGUUAUAAAGACAUAAGGGAUCCCCUUUUUCACCCACACCUUCUUCCUCUUCUUAUCCAUUCUAUCUCGCUCGAGCUCCAGCGCCCAAGCCUUCGUCUUCUCUGCCCACAAAGGCCCUUCGGAAAUGUCCGGAUCCGGAGUAGGAGGCAAGUGGAUGGCCUCUACCGUCCGGGAGAAGGACAUCAAAAAGCUUCGGGAGGCCGGGUAUCUGGCCAAGAACAUCAGCCAUCAUCUCCCGACGGCGGGACAGAUCGUCCCAACCCCGGAACCCCACGAGAGGGUUGUAUUCCUCCCUCAUUUUGUCCGUGGGCUAGGGUUUCCCCUCCACCCAUUCGUUCGCGGCAUCAUGUAUUACUAUGGGUUUGAUUUUCAUGAUAUAUCCCCCAAUUCCUUCCUCAACAUCUCGACAUUCAUCGUCAUGUGCGAGGCCUUUCUCUGCAUCUCACCACACUUCGGCUUAUGGCUGAAGAUCUUUAACGUGAAGCCCAAGGUAGUAAGCAGCGAGAACACCGAAUGCGGAGGUGCCAUGGUGAGCAAGAUGCUCAACGUCACAUGUCUAUCAGGUACUUUUAAUGAUUCCGUCAAAGGGUGGCAGCAGCAGUGGUUCUAUGUAACCGAGCCACGUGACCCAAAAUGGGUUGCGGCUCCCGAAUUCCGAUCCGGGGCUCCCCUGCACCUUACGUCCUGGACCAAGAAGGGCCUGAAUUGGUCUUCGCCUGACGAAUUGUCAGUGCUCCAGACGUGCGUCAAGGAUAUGGAAUACAAGAACAUCAAACUUGUCAAUGUAGUCCAGGUGAUGUUAGUUCGCCGGAUCCUUCCUUGUCAACACAGGGCUUGCAAUUUAUGGGAAUUUGACCCGGCCAAGCACCAGACCCUGCUAGAGCUCUUUGGCUCCUCGCACAAAGACAUCUGGAAGGUGCUUUUCAAGUCCGCCAAAUCAUGGCCGGACUCAGACGAGGACCGUGGGUACCAACUGUCCCGCCCUGCAAGUUCAGUAAGUCAUCAUAUGUUGGCAAGUCAUAUGUUUUAUUUGCAUAACCCAGGUGAAAUGCUUAAUGUGUUUUCCACAACUCUUCUAGGGAUGGACGAAGAAAGCAGGGCGGAUCUACUGUCCGGCCCCACUGCCGGAAGAACCGGCCAGCCCACUUCUGACAAAGAUGCUGGUCCCGGCGCCUUACAAGGUGCUGAAGAAGAAGGCCGAGAAUGAAGCCAGAAAGACCAGGGGCGGCCUUCGUCACCGUGGUACUUCGGACACAAUAUCUGAAGACUCCGAUGCCUGAUCUUCCUCCAGAGAGGACGAGGAAGAGGAGGAAGACCAAUCCCCAGCGAGGGGAGGAAAGAAAAGGACGGCCUCCACAUCCUUGGAGGUCGAGUCGCCGAAUAAGGGAAAAACACCCCUUCCGGAGGAGUCCACCGCCGCUACUGACAGCAGCCCAAAGUGGGAUUGCAGGGCCCAGCCCCUGGAGAACUUGUUUGCGCAUCCAGACUCACAAUGGCAUGCUGUUUUAAUCAUUAAGCCAUACUUUUUUGUAGUCUGGCGAGGUCCCGCACCAAACAAUCCUCAUUGGAGGAUUCACUGGACUCGGAUGCUAUGGACAGUGGGAGACCACCGAAGGCCCCUUCCCCAAAGCACGUGAAUGAUACCGAGGUAUCGUCUCAGAAGGACCCAGACCAAGGAGGGGGGAGACCGUAAAGGCGGCACCAGGAGGUCAAACUUCAGGGGCCAGACACAUGGGAGUGAAGGCCCCCACGGAUGUCGAUGGUGGGGGCUAUCUCGAAUUUGGCCCCAGCCGGACACAAUUUCGGAGACCAAUAUGGCUCCAGAUUUAGGCCGACAACCUCCCUCGGAUGGAGGGGGUGUGCCUAUUCCACCGGCAACCCCUGUCCAACCAGAGGUGCCGGAUACUUUAUCGGCGGCGCUGAAAAGUGCCUCCAUCAUCGAUGAACAUCGUGCCCUUAUGGGUGCGGUGAUUGAGAAGAUUCAGUCUGCUGAGAGUGGACUGAAUGAAGCCUGCAUCAGCCUUAUAACGGGCUUUGAGGUAUGUUUUGUGAGGUUUUCUAAGAGUGUCAUAGUAUAGGUAGUAGCCCCUGGUACACUGUUCGGUAGAAGAAAGAACCGAACAGGGGAUCAAAUAUAUGUUUGCAGGAGACUUACCUUAUGGCAUCUGUCCCUCUCUUUUUCGUAAACAGGCGUCUGUGGUGACUGCCGCCUCUCAUACUGUGGAAGUCUCCAAACUGAAGCAAAGUUUGGAGCAGGCCGGAGAAGAACUCGGCCAAGUGAAUAAGCAGGUGGAGGAUAACCAAGGUAUGCAAAAAACCUUGCUCGCGUUCAACGCAAAUGAAUAAUUUUGUAUGAUAAGAAUAUUUAUAUGAUGUGCUCUAGGGGCGACGGCCGGAAUUGAGGCUCUUAAGAAGGCUGUGGCCGAAGCCGAGAAGAAGGCAGCCGCAGAGCAGGCUCUUCGCGAGAAGCACGAGGCCAGGGUUAUUGAAGCUGAGCAAGAGCUUCAAGAGGCCGUGAAAUGAUGCGAGACCUUGGAGCAUAAUUUAGCGGGGAAAGACUCCGAACGCUCCCAAGCUCGCCAAGCCGCAUGUGAUGCCCGGGGGGAAGCCCAAGGUGCCCUAAAGGAAAUCCAGGAGGGAAGGAAGAUUGCGGCGGGUAAGGCUUUUUCUAUGUAAAGCAUGUCUUUGAAGGGAGAAAAUCAUGUUUACUAAUUUGAAUUCGGAUUUCUCCAAGAGUAUUUGCGGAGCUGCCAUGCAGCAUAUCUGAUGCCGCCCAAUUCUAACAAGCCGAAGAAAGGAUCACUGCGGAGAAGCUCUUCUGGUCACAGUAUCUAGCGCCGAAUUAUCCAGUGCCAUUUGCCGAUCAGCUGAAGCAGCUGAUCGAACUGCAGAAGGCGGCCGGACUAGCCAUGAAGGAUUUAAUUAUCUGGCAAUGGCCCGCCGAGCUGAUUCCGAGGAGCUACUUCAGACUCAUGAAGCGGCUUGUGAGUGCCUGCCCUCGACUCGAGGUCAUCAAGCGGUCGGUCUGUAUAGAGGGUUGAUACGUCUCCAACGUAUCUAUAAUUUUUGAUUGCUCCAUGCUACUUUAUCUACUGUUUUGGACUAUAUUGGGCUUUAUUUUUCACUUUUAUAUUAUUUUUGGGACUAACCUAUUAACCGGAGGCCCAGCCCAGAAUUGUUGUUUUUUGCCUAUUUCAGUAUUUCGAAGAAACAGAAUAUCAAACGGAGUCCAGACGGAAUGAAACCUUCGGGAACGUGAUUUUCUCACCGAACGUGAUCCAGGAGACUUGGACCCUGCUCCAAGGAACAAAAGAGGCGGUCACGAGGGUGGGGGACGCCCCCCCUAGGGCGCAUCCCCUGCCUCGUGGGCCCCCUGUUGCUCCACCGACAUACUCCUUCCUCCUAUAUAUACCUACGUACCCCCGACAGAUCAAAUACAGAGGCAAAAACCUAAUUCCACCGCCGCAACUUUCAGUAUCCGCUAGAUCCCAUCUUGGGGCCUGUUCCGGAGCUCCGCCGGAGGGGGCAUAUACCACGGAGGGCUUCUACAUCAACACCAUAGCCUCUCCGAUGAAGUGUGAGUAGUUUACUUCAGACCUUCAAGUCCAUAGCUAGUAGCUAGAUGGCUUCUUCUCUCUUUUUGGAUCUCAAUACAAUGUUCUCCCCCUCUCUUGUGGAUAUAUAUUCGAUGUAAUCUUCUUUUUUGCGGUGUGUUUGUUGAGACCAAUGAAUUGUGGGUUUAUGAUCCAGCUUAUCUAUGAAUAAUAUUUGAAUCUUCUCUGAAUUCUUUUAUGUAUGAUUGAGUUAUCUUUGCAAGUCUCUUCGAAUUAUCCGUUUGGUUUGGCCAACUAGAUUGGUAGUUCUUGCAAUGGGAGAAGUGUUUAGCUUUGGGUUCAAUCUUGCGGUGUCCUUUCCCAGUGAUAGCAGGGGCAGCAAGGCACGUAUUGUAUUGUUGCCAUCGAGGAUAACAAGAUGGGGUUUUUAUCAUAUUGCAUGAAUUUAUCCCUCUACAUCAUGUCAUCUUGCUUAUGGCGUUACUCUGUUUUUAACUUAAUACUCUAGAUGCAUGCUGGGUAGCGGUCCAUGAGUGGAGUAAUAGUAGUAGAUGCAAAAUCGUUUUGAUCUACUUGUCUCGGACGUGAUUCUUAUACACAUGAUCAUACCUAGAUAUCGUCAUAAUUAUUCGCUUUUCUAUCAAUUGCUCAACAGUAAUUUGUUCACCCACCAUAGAAUACUUAUGCUCUUGAGAGAAGCCACUAGUGAAACCUAUGGCCCCCGGGUCUAUUCUCAUCAUAUCAAUCUCCAUUACUUUAUUACUUGCUUUGUUUUUACUUUACCUUUUACUUUUCACUUUGCAUCUUUAUAUCAGAAAUACCAAAAAUAUUAUUUAUCAUCUCUAUCAGAUCUCACCCUCGUAAGCGACCGUGAAGGGAUUGACAACCCCUAAUCGCGUUGGUUGCGAGUAGCUAUCGUUUUGUGUAGGUAUGAGGGACUUGUGCGUGGCCUCCUACUAGAUUGAUACCUUGGUUCUCAAAAACUGAGGGAAAUACUUAUGCUACUUUACUACAUCAUCCUCUCCUCUUCGGGGAAAUCCAACGCAGUGCUCAAGAGGUAGCAAGAAGAAUUUCUAGCACCGUUGCCGGGGAGGCUCACGCAAGCAAGUAAACAUACCAAGUACCCAUCACAAUCCCUAUCUCUCGAAUUACAUUAUUUGCCUCUCGUUUUCCUCUCCCCCACUUCACACUUGACGUUUUAUUCGCCCUCUCUUUCCCAAUCUCCUCCUCUCUUUCCCUUUCACCUUUUUCUCGUUUGCCUUUUUGUUUGCUUGUGUGUUGGAUUACUUGUUGCCAUGGCACAAGAUAAUACCAAAUUGUGUGACUUCUUGAAUACCAAUAAUAAUGAUUUCCUUAGUACUCCGAUUGCUCCUCUUAAUAAUGAUGAGUCUUGUGAAAUCAAUACCGCUUUGCUGAAUCUUGUUAUGAAAGAUCAAUUCGCCGGCCUUCCUAGUGAAGAUGCCGCUACUCAUCUAAAUAAUUUUGUUGAUUUGUGUGAUAUGCAAAAUAAGAAAGAUACGAAUAAUAAUAUUGUCAAAUUUAAGUUAUUUCCGUUUUCACUUAGAGAUCGUGCUAAAGUUUGGUUUUCGUCUUUGCCGAGAAAUAGUAUUGAAUCUUGGAAUAAGUGCAAAGAUGCUUUUAUCUCUAAGUAUUUUCCUCCCGCUAAGAUCAUCACUCUUAGGAAUGAUAUCAUGAAUUUUAAACAACUUGAUCAUGAGCAUGUUGCCCAAUCUUGGGAAAGAAUGAAAUUGAUGCUUUGCAAUUGCCCUACUCAUGGUUUGAAUUUAUGGAUGAUCAUACAAAAUUUUUAUGCCGGAUUGAAUUUUGCUUCUAGAAAUCUUUUAGAUUCGGCCACGGGAGGCACGUUUAUGGAAAUUACAUUAGGAGAUGCUACAAAAUUACUUGGUAAUAUUAUGGCUAAUUAUUCUCAAUGGCACACCGAAAGAUCUUCUAGUAAAAAAGUACAUGCUAUAGAAGAAAUCAAUGUUUUGAGUGAAAAGAUGGAUGAACUUAUGAAGAUGUUUGCUACUAAAAAUACUUCUCUUGAUCCCAAUGAUAUGUCUUUAUCUACUUUGAUUGAGAAUAAUAAUGAAUCGAUGGAUGUGAAUUUUGUUGGUAGGAAUAGUUUUGGAAAUAACGCGUAUAGAGGGAAUUUUAAUCCUAGGCCUUAUCCUAGUAAUCCUUUUAAUAAUUAUGGAAAUUCCUACAACAACUCUUACGGAAAUUUUAAUAAGAUGCCCUCUGAAUUUGAGAGUAGUGUUAAAGAGUUUAUGAAUUCACAAAAGAAUUUUAAUGCUUUGGUUGAAGAGCAAUUUCUUAAAGUUGAUGAUUUGGCUAGGAACGUUGAUAGAAUUUCUCUUGAAAUUGAUUCUUUAAAGCUUAGAUCUAUUCGUCCUAAGCAUGAUAUCAAUGAGUCCAUCAAAGCCAUGAGAAUUUCCAUGGAUGAGUGCAAAGAAAGAACUGCUAGGAUGCGUGCUUCCAAAGAUGCAUUUAUUAAAGCAUGUUCUUCCAAUUCCUAUGAAAAUCAAGAUGAAGAUCUAAAAGUUAUUGAUGUGUCCCUUAUUAAAUCUUUGUUUUGCAAUAUUAAUCUUGAUGAAACUGAAUAUGAUCUUCCUUUACCUAGAAGGCGUUCUAAGAAUUCGGAGUUUCUAGAUCUUGAUGAUGAAAUUGAUGAAAGUGGGAUUGAAAGAAAUAAAAAUCUAGAUGUUGCUAAACCCACUAUUUUGGAUCUCAAGGAAUUUAAUUAUGAAAAUUGCUCUUUGAUUGGUUGUAUUUCCUUGUUGCAAUCCGUGCUAGAUUAUCCUCAUGCUUAUAGUCAAAAUAAGGCCUUUACCGAACACAUUGUUGAUGCCUUGAUGCAAUCUUAUGAAGAAAAACUUGAGUUGAAAGUUUCUAUCCCUAGAAAACUCCAUGAUGAGUGGGAACCAACUAUUAAAAUUAAAAUUAAAGAUUAUGAGUUUCAUGCUUUGUGUGAUUUGGGUGCUAGUGUCUCCACUAUUCCCAAAACUUUGUGCGAUUUGCUAGAUUUCUGUGACUUUGAAGAUUGCUCUCUAAACUUGCAUCUUGCGAAUUCCACUAUUAAAAAGCCUAUGGGAAGAAUUAAUGAUGUUCUUAUUUUUGCAAAUAGGAAUUAUGUGCCCGUAGAUUUUAUCGUUCUUGAUAUAGAUUUCAAUCCUUCAUGUCCUAUUAUUCUUGGUAGACCUUUCCUUAGAACGAUUCGUGCGAUUAUUGAUAUAAAGGAAGGGAAUAUUAGAUUCCAAUUUGCCUUGAGAAAGGGUAUGGAACACUUCCCUAGAAAGAAAAUAAAAUUACCAUAUGAAUCUAUCAUGAGAGCCACUUAUGGAUUGCCUACCAAAGAUGGCAAAACCUAGAUCUAUCCUUGUUUUUAUGCCUAGCUACGGGCGUUAAACGAUAGCGCUUGUUGGGAGGCAAACCAAUUUUAUUUUUUGUUUUUUGUUUUUUCUUCUGUUUAGGAAUAAAUAAUCCAUCUAUCCUCUGUUUGGAUGUGGUUUUAUGUUUUAAUUAGUGUUUGUGCCAAGUAGAACCUAUAGAAUAAGCUAUGAUGAUAGUUGAUUUGAUUCUGCUGAAAAACAGAAACUUUGCGCUCACGAGAAACAAUUCAAUAAAUCACAGAAACGUGCUUUUGCAUUCAUUCUUUUUGCUGCUGAUCAAUAAACAAAUUUUCCAGUACUUACUAUUUUGGUAGAAUUUUUAGAGUUCCAGAAGUUUGCGUUAGUUACAGAUUCCUACAGACUGUUCUGUUUUUGACAGAUUCUGUUUUUCGUGUUUUGUUUGCUUAUUUCAAUGCAUCUAUGGCUAAUAAAUUAGUUUAUUAACCAAAAGGAAGUUGGAAUACAGUAGGUUUAACACCAAUAUAAAUAAAUAAUGAGUUCAUUACAGUACCUUAAAGUAGUCUUUUGUUUUCUUUCACUAACGGAGCUCACGAGAUUUCUAUUGAGUUUUGUGUUGUGAAGUUUUCAAGUUUUGGGUGAAUUCUUUUGAUGGAUUAUGGAACAAAGAGUGGAAAGAGCCUAAGCUUGGGGAUGCCCAUGGCACCCCCAAGAUAAUCCAAGGACACCAAAAAGUCAAAGGUUGUGGAUGCCCUGGAAGGCAUCCCCUCUUUCGUCUACUUCCAUCGGUAAUUUACUUGGAGCUAUAAUUUUAUUCACCACAUGUUAUGUGUUUUGCUUGGAUCGUCUUGUAUUAUUUGCGUCUUUGCUUGUUAGUUUACCACAAUCAUCCUUGCUGUACACACCUUUUGAGAGAGCCAUACAUGAUUUGGAAUUUUCUAGAAUACUCUAUAUGCUUCACUUAUAUCUUUUGAGCUUGAUAGUUUUGCUCAUAGUGCUUCACUUAUACCUUUUUGAGCGUGAUGAUUUUUGCUCUAGUGCUUCACUUAGAUACUUUAGAGCACGGUGGUGGAUUUGUUUUAAAGAAACUAUUGAUCUCUCUUGCUUCACUUAUAUUAUUUUGAGAGUUGUUAAUAGCAUGGUAAUUUGCUUAAAGAUAAUAUACCUGGUAUUCAAGAUAUGUGAAACUUUCUUUUGAGUGCGUUGAAUACUAAGAUAAGUUUGAUGCUUGAUAAUUAUUUUGAGAUAUGGAGGUGAUAAUAUCAAAGCAAUGCUAGUUGGGGUGAUUAUUAAUUUAAAGAAUGCUUGUGUUGAAGUUUGUGAUUCCUGUAGCAUGCACGUAUGGUGAACCGCUUUGUGAUGAAGUCGGAGCACAAUUUUAUUUAUUGAUUGUCUUCCCUAUGAGUGGCAGUCAGGGACGAGCGAUGGUCUUUUCCUACUAAUCUAUCCCCCUAGGAGUACGUGUGUAGUUCUUUGGUUUUUGAUGACUUCUAAAUUUUUGCAACAAGUGCAUGAGUUCUUUUGAUUAAUGUUGAGUCCAUGGAUUAUACGCACUCUCACCCUUCCACCAUUGCUAGCCUCUCUAAUACCACGCACUUUUCGCCGGUAUCAUACACCCACCAUAUACCUUCCUCAAAACAGCCACCAUACCUACCUAUCAUGGCAUUUCCAUAGCCAUUCCGAGAUAUAUUGCCAUGCAAAUUUGCAGCAUUCCGUUCAUAUGACACACAUUAAUUUUGUCAUAUUGCUUUGUGCAUGAACAUGUAGUUGACAUUGUAUUUGUGGCAAGGCCACCUUAAUAAUUUUCAUACAUGUCACUCUUGAUUCAUUGCAUAUCCCGGUACACCGCCGGAGGCAUUCAUAUAGAGUCAUAUUUUGUUCUAAGUAUUGAGUUGUAAUUGUUGAGUUGUAAGAAAUAAAAGUGUGAUGAUCAUCAUUAUUAGAGAAUUGUCCCAGUAAGGAAAGGAUGAUGGAGACUAUGAUUCCCCCAUAAGUCGGGAUGAGACUCCGGACGAAAAAAAAGAGUGGCCAUAAAAAAAAAGAGAAAAGGCCCAAAUAAAAAAAUGAGAGAAAAAGAGAGAAGGGACAAUGCUACUAUCCUUUUACCACACUUGUGCUUCAAAGUAGCACCAUGAUCUUCAUGAUAGAGAGUCUCAUAUGUUGUCAAUUUCAUAUACUAGUGGGAAUUUUUCAUUAUAGAACUUGGAUUGUAUAUUCUAAUGAUGGGCUUCCUCAAAAGUGCCCUAGGUCUUCGUGAGCAAGCAAGUUGGAUGCACACCCACUUAGUUUCUUUUGUUGAGCUUUCAUAUACUUAUAGCUCUAGUGCAUUCGUUGCAUGGCAAUCCCUACUCACUCACAUCGAUAUCUAUUAAUGAGCAACUCCAUAGCCCAUUGAUACGCCUAGUUGAUGUGAGACUAUCUUCUCCUUUUUUGUCUUCUCCACAACCACCAUUCUAUUCCACCCAUAGUGCUAUGUCCAUGGCUCACGCUCAUGUAUUGCAUGAAAGUUGAAAAAGUUUGAGAUUACUAAAGUAUGAAACAGUUGUUUGGCUCGUCAUCGGGGUUGUGCAUGAUUAAAUACUUUGUGUGAUGAAGAUAGAGCUUAGCCAGACUAUAUGAUUUUGUAGGGAUAACUUUCUUUUGGCCAAGUUAUUUUGAGAAGACAUGAUUACUUUGAUUUGUAUGCUUGAAGUAUUAUUACUUUUAUGUUAAUAUGAACUUUUGUCUUGAAUCUUUCGGAUCUGAAUAUUCAUGCCACAAUUAAGAAGAUUUACACUGAAACUAUGCCAAAGUAUCACUCCGCAUCAAAAAUUCUUUUUUAUCAUUUACCUACUCGAGGACGAGCAGGAAUUAAGCCUGGGGAUGCUUGAUACGUCUCCAAUGUAUCUAUAAUUUUUGAUUGCUCCAUGCUACUUUAUCUACUGUUUUGGACUAUAUUGGGCUUUAUUUUCCAAUUUUAUAUUAUUUUUGGGACUAACCUAUUAACCGGAGGCCCAGCCCAGAAUUGCUGUUUUUUGCCUAUUUCAGUAUUUCGAAGAAACAGAAUAUCAAACGGAGUCCAAACAGAACGAAACCUUCGGGAACGUGAUUUUCUCACCGAGCGUGAUCCAGGAGACUUGGACCCUGCUCCAAGGAACAAAAGCGGUGGUCACGAGGGUGGGGGCGCCCCCCCCCCCAAGGAGCGCCCCCUGCCUCGUGGGCCCCCUGUUGCUCCACCGACAUACUCCUUCCUCCUAUAUAUACCUACGUACCCCCGACAGAUCAAAUACAGAGCCAAAAACCAAAUUCCACCGCCGCAACUUUCUGUAUCCGCGAGAUCCCAUCUUGGGGCCUGUUCCGGAGCUCCGCCGGAGGGGGCAUCUACCAUGGAGGGCUUCUACAUCAACACCAUAGCCUCUCCGAUGAAGUGUGAGUAGUUUACUUCAGACCUUCGGGUCCAUAGCUAGUAGCUAGAUGUCUUCUUCCCUCUUUUUGGAUCUCAAUACAAUGUUCUCCCCCUCUCUUGUGGAGAUCUAUUCGAUGUAAUCUUCUUUUUUGCGGUGUGUUUGUUGAGACUGAUGAAUUGUGGGUUUAUGAUCCAGCUUAUCUAUGAAUAAUAUUUGAAUCUUCUCUGAAUUCUUUUAUGUAUGAUUGAGUUAUCUUUGCAAGUCUCUUUGAAUUAUCCGUUUGGUUUGGCCAACUAGAUUGGUAGUUCUUGCAAUGGGAGAAGUGUUUAGCUUUGGGUUCAAUCUUGCGGUGUCCUUUCCUAGUGACAGCAGGGGCAGCAAGGCACGUAUUAUAUUGUUGCCAUUGAGGAUAACAAGAUGGGUUUUUAUCAUAUUGCAUGAAUUUAUCCCUCUACAUCAUGUCAUCUUGCUUAAGGCGUUACUCUGUUUUCAACUUAAUACUCUAGAUGCAUGCUGGAUAGCGGUCGAUGAGUGGAGUAAUAGUAGUAGAUGCAGAAUCGUUUCGAUCUACUUUUCUCGGACGUGAUGCCUAUACACAUGAUCAUACCUAGAUAUCGUCAUAAUUAUUUGCUUUUCUAUCAAUUGCUCAUAAGUAAUUUGUUCACCCACCGUAGAAUACUUAUGCUGUUGAGAGAAGCCACUAGUGAAACCUAUGGCCCCCGGGUCUAUUCUCAUCAUAUCAAUCUCCAUUACUUUAUUACUUGCUUUGUUUUUUCUUUACCUUUUACUUUUCACUUUGCAUCUUUAUAUCAAAAAUACCAAAAAUAUUAUUUAUCAUCUCUAUCAGAUCUCACCCUCGUAAGUGACCAUGAAGGGAUUGACAACCCCUAAUUGUGUUGGUUGCGAGUAGCUAUCGUUUUGUGUAGGUACGAGGGACUUGUGCGUGGUCUCCUACUGGAUUGAUACCUUGGUUCUCAAAAACUGAGGGAAAUACUUACGCUACUUUACUGCAUCAUCCUCUCCUCUUCGGGGAAAUCCAACGCAGUGCUCAGGAGGUAGCAAGGGUGUGCAAAUGGCCUUCGCCCGCGCAAAGGUGCACUGGGGGAAGAUGGAUGCGGAAAAGCUGAUGACCGAGGUACUACGGGAGGGGAAGGAGCACCGCAAGCCCGAAUUAUAUUAUGAUAGUGUCCUAAAAGGAUCCUGCCUUGCGGCGGAGAAAUGCACCAAGGACAUUAUAUUUCCAUGAAUACAGUCAUCUUGUCCUUUGUAAUGUUGAACCAGGUCAUCUCUAUUAUUUAUUGCCUUUUAUUUGAAAGUUUUUCCUCCUGCGUGGCCGUUUUAUAUAUUAAUCCUGAGAGUUGGCCAGUCGUCGGCUUCUGCCACCACGUAGGAAGUACGGGGGUGUUCGGGAUAAACCUGAGCACUCUUUAUCCCAGUUAUGGGUCCUUGAAGGAGGUGUUCAGCACAACGAACCAGGCAAUCGGACUAUAAGGCUUUAUCACUCUCACUUAGCCAUAGGAGUUUGACAAAAAGAAGGUAGGCGCAGCCCCUGGUGUUCGGAAGACCGCGCGAGGGGCUCUAUAAGCACCUGAUCGGAAGAAAAACCGAUCCAUUGCACGCAGCAUUAGUUAUCGCAUAAUGCGGAAGAAAUCCUUAAAGAUUUUACAACCUCUCGAACAGCUGACCAACUCUUGCUGUAUCAUGACAGUCAGUUUUUGGCUUUCUCUACUGAGGCGCUCGUACGGAAGAACUGGGACACAAUCGCUGUAGUUCUCCCUGUGCCGCCUUAGCCGAUGUAGCAGAAUGUAUGGCAGCAAAACAUGGGAGACGGGCAAACCCAACUAUUGACCCAAGACAUGAUUCGGAGUUGAUGCAUAUAAUGCAAUAAGUUCAGGGUGCCAAAUGACCGCGAAGGUGUUCGUACUUUAUUGCCGUUAUUAUGGGUACAAUGAAGCCCCUGGCAUAUUAAGGCAUAUCAUGGUGUACGGAUGCCAUUUGACAAAGAGUAUCAAUAAGAAACAACAUCAGAUAAGCGUCAUAUAAAUCCACAUGUUGUAAUUGAAUAAUACGUCGAUGCGUACGAAUACAAGUAAUUGUGAUAAAAAGAAAUAUGACUUCGGAACCUACUGAGAUCAAGCGGGAGGAGGCUGUGUGCGGAUCCGGAGUGUAAUCGGAUGGUCAUCAAUGGGCAUAUCUAAGGAUUCCCUUACACAUUCGAGCUGUUUCCAUGUCGCCAGUCCUGGACUACGCAGAAGUGGACCUGCCAAGAAAGUGCAAAAAGAUUUUUAUGUGUCACGGAGUGGUUAAGCCGCCUUGUGUGGCCUAUCCUAGUUGUGCCUCCGUUUACUGCUGGAGUGUUUUUAAUUGAGCUCUGGACGAGCCAGGCUAUCCUGCCACGAAGUAGUUCAGACUCCCUUAACGGUGUCUAGGAGCUUGGCCGUUGACUCGAGUUUCGGUUGAAGGAUGCCCCUCGUUGCUUCUGCCGUUAAGGCGGCGGUAUGCUCUUCAGCGCACAGGGGGGGUUCAGCCUUGCCAUUAACUGUUAUGACGCCGCCGGACCAGGCAUCUUGAGCUUUCGAUAGGCAUAAUGUGGCACUGCGUUGAAUCGAGCAAACGCGGUUCGUCCGAGCAGUGCAUGAUAAUUACUGCGAAAAGGGACAAUGUCGAAGGUUAACUCUUCGGUACGGUAAUUGUCCGGUGAUCCAAAGACUACCUCCAGAGUGAUGGAGCCUGUACAACGGGCCUCCACCCCUGGUAUAACACCUUUAAAGGUGGUUUUAGUGGGCUUGAUCAUCGAAUGAUGAAUACUCAUCUUGCACACUUGUCCUGAUACAGCAGGUUUAGACUGCUGCCUCCGUCCAUAAGGACUCGUGUGAGGUGGAAUCCAUCAAUUAUUGUGUCAAGGACUAGUGCGGCUGAAUUGCCCUGAUUGGUGUUGGCUGGACGAUCCGUGCGACCAAAAGUGAUCGGCCGUAGUUUAUAUUGUGGGGCGACUGGCUCCGUUAAGUCGACAUCCCUAAGAGUGCAGGUCCGUUCCAGCUUGGGAAUAUGGAUGGCGUUUAUCAUUUUCACCGCUUUGAUUUGCAGGGGAAAUUUCUUUUGCCCUCCUGUGUUUGGUGAUCGGGGCUCCUUGUCAUCGUCAUCGCUUUGAGACCCCUUCUCCUUGUUUUUGGCACCUGCCCUCUUGUUUGAAGACCCAGCAUUCUCUGUUGGUAUGAUUGGCUGGUGUUCCUGGGGUGCCAUGAAUUUGGCAUGGACGAUCGAGUAUGCGGUCUAGACUGAACGGGCCCGAAUUGUUCUUUUUGAAUGGCUUUUUCCACUGACCGGUCUUAGAGCCACUGAAUCCGGCAUUGACUGUCGUGUCUUCAGCGUUAUCACCAUUUUUGCGAUGCUUGUGUCUGUUGCGUCGGUGCUUGCCAUUGUUAUCUCUGGCAUCUGAAGUGCCAGGGUUUCUUGAUGUGAUGUUGCUACGAGCCAGCCAGUUGUCCUCGCCUGCAGAAAAGCGGGUCAUGAGUGUCGUGAGGGCUGCCAUGGACUUCGGCUUUUCUUGGCCGAGGUGUCGGGAAAGCCAAUCGUCGCGGAUGUUAUGCUUAAAGGCCGCUAGGGUUUCGGCAUCCGGACAAUCGACAAUUUGGUUCUUUUUAGUUAGGAACCGAGUCAAGAAUUUCCUGGCUGACUCUCCAGGCUAUUAGGUAAUGUGACUUAAAUCGUCAGCAUCCGGUGGGUGCACAUAAGUGCCCUGGAAGUUAUCCAGGAAUGCGUCUUCCAGGUUCUCCCAACUUCCAAUGGAGUUUGCCGGCAAACUAUUCAGCCAAUGCCGAGCUGGUCCCUUGAGUUUUAGUGGGAGGUACUUGAUGGCAUGGAGAUCAUCGCCGCGGGCCAUGUGAAUAUGGAGAAGGAAAUCUUCAAUCCAUACCGCGGGGUCUGUUGUCCCAUCAUAUGAUUAAAUGUCCACGGGCUUAAACCCUUUUGGGAACUCAUGGUCCAUUACUUCGUCAGUGAAGCAUAGGGGGUGUGCGGCGCCUCUGUGCCGGGCUACAUCACGACGUAAUUCAAAUGAGUCUGGUCAGUUGUAUUCAGCCCUGACAGAUUUAUAUUUAGUGUAUCCGGCGUGGUGAUCUUCGUCAUGCGUUGGGGCGCCCCCCCGUGAUCCGUAGAUCGACCUUGACUGUCCCGCUUUGUUUUCCAACACGUCUCGCAGGUCCUGCAUGUAGCCCCAGGCCUUAGUGUUUUUGUUUGAUUGGCGACAGGGUGCGGGCUGAACUUCAGGCUGAUGCGCCGCUUUGUCUGAGCCACGAGGUGGCCGGUCAGCCGCAUUCUGCGCUAGUAGUGUAGGCUUUACUGCCUCCUCCUCGAGUUGAGGUAGCAAAAUGUGCUUUGGGUAACUUUUGGUUGGGCGCUCGAGUCCGUAUUCCUCGGCUGCCAGGACCUCAGUCCAUCUAUCAGUUAGCAGAUCUUGAUCAGCUUCAAGCUGCUGCUGUUUUUUCUUCAGGCUUUUUGAAGUGGCUAUAAGCCGGUGCUUGAAGAGCUACUGCUCGACGGGGCCCUCAGGCAUGAUGAAUUCUUUGUUGCUUAGGCUCGCUUCGUCUUCAGAGAGGGGCAUGUAAUUGUCAACCUCCGAGUCUCCAUCCAUUGCCUAUUUAUCAGGGCUAAGUUGCCCAUCCUUCUGUCCGGCUUGCUCGAAGCUUGGCUGGGCGGGAUUGUUUUCGUCUUCAGCACCAUCCGGAGUGCUAUUGUCUCUUGUGCCGGUAUUGUUGUUUUUGCUAUGGCGGGGGUUUGAGCGGCGCCACUGACGCUGGUGCUUAGAUUGCUUCCCUAGGGGAUUAUCCUCCGUUGCCUCAUCGCCAUUGCUUUCUUUGGGCGUGUCCACCAUAUAUAUAUCAUAUGAUGAGGUGGCUGUCCAGCGCCCUCUGGGCGGUGGUUCCUGUUCUUCUCCUCCAUCGUCGUCUAUACCGUCGAUGUCUUCGGAGUCGAAAUCAAGCAUGUCGGUUAAGUCGUCAACAGUGGCUAUUAAGUGGGUGGUGGGUGGGGAACGAAUUUCUUCGUCGUCUGCUUCCCACUCAAGCCGGACAUAGUUUGGCCAAGAGUCUCCUGAUAGGGAGAGAGACUUUAAUGAAUUUAGCACGUCGCCCAAGGGCAAGUACUGAAAGAUGUUCGUGGAGGUAAACUCCAGGAUCGGUGCCCGAUCAGAUUCGAUAGGCAUGGAUGCACGCGGUUCGUAGCCUAUGAUCGGAGACGAGUCCGAGGGUCUGAUGACACAGACCUCAUUGGAGGCGAAGUCUGUGUUCGGCUCUAAUGCCGAUGAGUGUGCGCCUCCAUGGUGGCGUCCAUCCACCGGUCCUCGGAUGGCAUGAUCUACUCCAGAUUAAGAGCCGGGGCAACCAUAGGUGUGAUCUCUCGAACAUCGUCCGAUGGCAGAUCUAAGUCAUGUUCAUCGUGACUGUUCGGCGCACCUGUCAUGGGCUCGAAUCCGUCAAAGAUCCGGUCUCCGCUGAUGUCGGCUGUGUAGUUCAGGCUUCCAAACAUGACCUAAUGGCCAGGGGCGUAGCUAUCAAUCUACUCCAGAUGGCCAAGCGAGUUGGCCCAUAGAGCGAAGCCGCCAAAUACGAAGAUCUGUCUGGGAGGGAAAACCUCACCCUGGAUCGCAUUGUUGUCAAUAGUUGAAGGAGCCAUCAAGCCUUACCGUGACGACACAGUGGAACUCUCAAUGAAAGCACCAAUGUCGGUGUCAAAACUGGCGGAUCUCGGGUAGGGGGUCCCGAACUGUGCGUCUAAGGCUAAUGGUAAUAGGAGGCGGGGGAUACAAUGUUUACCCAGGUUCGGGCCCUCUCAAUGGAGGUAAUACCCUACUUCCUGCUUGAUUGAUCUUGAUGAUAUGAAUAUUACAAGAGUUGAUCUACCACGAGAUCGUAGAGGCUAAACCCUAGAAGCUAGCCUAUGGUUAUGAUUGUUGUUGUCCUAUGAACUAAACCCUCCAGUUUAUAUAGACAUAGGAGGGGGCUAGGGUUACACAGAGUCGGUUACAGAGAAGGAAAUGUACAUAUCCAAAUUGCCAAGCUUGCCUUCCAUGCAAAGGAGAGUCCCACCCGGACAUGGGACGAAGUCUUCAAUCUUGUAUCUUCAUAGACCAACAGUCCGGCCAAAGUAUAUAGUCCGGCUGUCCGAGGACCCCAUAAUCAAGGACUCCCUCACGCUCCCCACCCUCGUGGGCCCCUCGUGGCUCCCCUGACCGACUUCUUUCACCUAUAUAUAUCCAUAUACCCUAAAAACAUCGGAGAACAGAAUAGAUCAGGAGUUCCACCACCGCAAGACUCUGUAGCCACCAAAAACCAAUCGGGACCCUGUUCCGGCACCCUGCCGGAGGGGGGAUCCCUCACCGGUGGCCAUCUUCAUCAUCCCGGCGCUCUCCAUGACGAGGAGGGAGUAGUUCACCCUCGGGGCUGAGGGUAUGUACGAGUAGCUAUGUGUUUGAUCUCUCUCUCUCUCUCUCUCUCUCUCUCUCUCUCUCUCUCUCGUGUUCUUCAUUCGGCACGAUCUUGAUGUAUCGUGAGCUUUGCUAUUAUAGCUGGAUCUUAUCAUGUUUCUCCAACUCUACUCUCUUGUAAUGGAUUGAGUUUUCCCUUUGAAGUUAUCUUAUCGGAUUGAGUCUUCAAGGAUUUGAGAACACUUGAUGUAUGUCUUGCAUGUGCUUAUCUGUGGUGACAAUGGGAUAUCACAUGAUUCACUUGAUGUAUGUUUUGGUGAUCAACUUGCAAGUUCCGUGACGUCGUGAACUUAUGCAUAGGGGUUGGCACACAUUUUCGUCUUGACUCUCCGGUAGAAACUUUGGGGCACUCUUUGAAGUACUUUGUGUUGGUUUGAAUAGAUGAAUCUGAGAUUGUGUGAUGCAUAUCGUAUAAUCAUACCCACAGAUACUUGAGGUGACAUUGGACUAUCUAGGUGACAUUAGGGUUUUGGUUGAUUUGUCUCUUAAUGUGUUAUUCUAGUACGAACUCUAUGAUAGGUCGAACAGAAAGAAUAGCUUCGUGUUAUUUUACUACAGACUCUUGAAUAGAUCGAUCAGAAAGGAUAAUUUUGAGGUGGUUUCAUACCCUACAAUAAUCUGUUCGUUUGUUCUCCACUAUUAGUGACUUUGGAGUGACUCUUUGUUGCAUGUUGAGGGAUAGUUAUAUGAUCCAAUUAUGUUAUUAUUGUUGAGAGAACUUGCACUAGUGAAAGUAUGAACCCUAGGCCUUGUUUGCAUUGCAAUACCGUUUGUGCUCACUUUUAUCAUUAGUUACCUUGCGGUUUUUAUAAUUUCAGAUUACAAAGACCUAUAUCUACCAUCCAUAUUGCACUUGUAUCACCAUCUCUUCGCCGAACUAGUGCACCUAUACAAUUUACCAUUGUAUUGGGUGUGUUGGGGACACAAGAGACUCUUUGUUAUUUGGUUGCAGGGUUGUUUGAGAGAGACCAUCUUCAUCCUACACCUCCCAUGGAUUGAUAAACCUUAGGUCAUCCACUUGAGGGAAAUUUGCUACUGUCCUACAAACCUCUGUACUUGGAGGCCCAACAACAUCUAGAAGAAGAAGGUUGUGUAGUAGACAUCAAGCUCUUUUCUGGCGCCGUUGCCGGGGAGGUGAGUGCUUAAAGGUAUAUCUUUAGAUCUUGCAAUCGAAUCUUUUUGUUUCUUGUUUUGUCACUAAUUUAGUCAAUAAAAGAAAACUAAAAAAGGAAUUAAGGGUGCCUCAUAUGCUUCAUCUUUUUAAUGUCUUUCGUGAAAAUGAUGGGAAGGAAAAUUGUGCUCAAGUACUAGAAGAAGGAUUACAUAGAAUGCUUGGCAUAAAAUAUGUGAAUGAUGAGCAUGAUUGCAAUGUUGUUAGUAUGAAUUCUUUGAAUACCCAUGAUGCUAAUGAUAUGCAAAGCCACAAGCUUGGGGAUGCUAUGUUUGAUGAAGAUGAUAUGUUUUGUCCCCCAAGUUAUGAUGAGAAAAUUUAUUAUGAUGAUAGCAUGCUUCCUAUUUAUGAUGAUUAUAUUGAUGAAAGUGGGUUUGGAAGAGUGUCAACUUUAGGAAGUAAUGAUCCCACUAUUUUUGAGGGUGUUGAAUCUUAUUGUGAUAAUUAUGAAAGUGGAUUUGGAGAGGUCAUGACUUUAUUUAGUGAUGAAUCCACUAUUUCAGAAGAGGUUCCAAUUGAUUAUGAGAAUAAAGUUGCUAUCUAUGAUGAUUAUUGUGAUGACAUGUAUGUUAUAAAGAAUAAACAUAACGAUGAAACUUGUCAUCAUGAUUUUAAUUUUCAAUUGGAUUAUGCUUCACAUGAUAGUUAUUUUGUUGAGUUUGCUCCCACUACUAUUCAUGAGAAGAAAUUUGCUUAUGUGGAGAGUAAUAAAAUUUCUAUGCUUGUAGAUCAUGAAAAGAAUGCUUUUAUGUGCUGGUUAUAUGGUUGAAUUCAUUCAUGAUGCUACUGAAAAUUAUUAUGAGAGAGGAUCCACUAGUAGAAAACAGGGCUACCGUUCGGCCCUGGCCAGCCCAUUAGUCCCGGUUCUUCAAGAACCGGGACCAAUGGGGGGUAUUAGACCCGGUUUGUGAGCCCAGGGGGCCGGCCGGGGCCUCGUGGGCAUUAGUCCCGGUUCAUGUAGAACCAUUUGUCUCGGUUCGAGCCACGAACCGGGACUAAUGGUCCUCGCUGCUGGCCCACAACCAUUGGUCCCGGUUCGUGGCAUGAACCGGGACAGAAGGGGUGGCUUUAGUCCCGGUUCAUGCCACGAACCGAGACAAAUAACUUGCCUAUAUAUACCCACCGCCGCGGAAGAGCACUCCAUAGUGCUCUGUUUUUUCAAUCCGGCGAGGAGAGGGUAUUUGGGUGCUCUAGUUCACCUCCUAUGCACAUGAUGUGUUCGAUGAAAUGCCCGAGCCACACUAGUUAAGCUUUCUCCUCUCGAAGCUCGACCUAGGAGCUCCAUUUUUUUGAGAUUUGUCUAGAUUUAGGGGUCCAUCAUGCCCCGUCCCCGUUCUCACCGCCGUUGAUCGCCCGCGCCGAUCUCGUCGUCGGCACCACCGUGGUGAGCCUCUUGUUCUUAUCUUCUUUAUGAUACUUGUCUGAUUUUCUUACUUUAGAUAGAUAUUUGUCUGAUUUUCUUAAUUUUGACACACAUAAUUAUAUGUAAUGCACACAGAUGAACCGGCAAUGGAUGUAUGGUGACAAACACACCUCUGAGUACAAUAAGGGCGUGCAUAUUUUUCUCGAAGUGGCUGAGGCAAACAAGCAGAAUGGUUUUAUGUGUUGUCCAUGCAGUAAAUGUGGUAAUACGAAGUCUUACUCUGACCGGAAAAUCCUUCACACCCACCUGCUUUACAAGGGUUUCAUGCCACACUAUAAUGUUUGGACGAGGCAUGGAGAAAUAGGGGUUAUGAUGGAAGACGACGAAGAAGAAGAGGAGGAUGACAACUAUGUGCCCCCUGAAUACGGUGAUGCUACAACGGGGGGAGCUGCUGAAGAUCAAGAGGAACCAGACAAUGUGCCCGAUGAUGCUGCAACGGGGGAAGCUGCUGAAGAUCAAGAGAAACCAGAUGAUGUGCCCAAUGAUGAUCUCCGUCGGGUCAUUAUCGAUGCAAGGACGCAAUGCAAAAGUCAAAAGGAGAAGCUGAAGUUCGAUCGCAUGUUAGAGGAUCACCAAAAAAAGUUGUACCCCAAUUGUGAAGAUGGCAACACAAAGCUGGGUACCGUACUGGAAUUGCUGUAGUGGAAGGCAGAGAAUGCUGUGCCUGACAAAGGAUUUGAGAAGCUACUGAAAAUAUUGAAGAAGAAGCUUCCAAAGGAUAAUGAAUUGCCCGACAGUACGUACGCAGCAAAGAAGGUCGUAUGCCCUCUAGGAUUGGAGGUGCAGAAGAUACAUGCAUGCCCUAAUGACUGCAUCCUCUACCGCGGUGCGUACGAGGAUUUGAACGCAUGCCCGGUAUGCAGUGCAUUGCGGUAUAAGAUCAGACGAGAUGACCCUGGUGAUGUUGACGGCGAGCCCCGCAGGAAGAGAGUUCCUGCGAAGGUGAUGUGGUAUGCUCCUGUAAUACCACAGUUGAAACAACUGUUCAGAAACAAAGAGCAUGCUAAGUUGAUGCGAUGGCAUAGUGAGGACCAUAAGAAAGACGGGAAGUUGAGAGCACCCGCUGACGGGUCGCAGUGGAGAAAAAUCGAGAGAGAGUACUGGGCUGAGUUUGCACGUGACCCAAGGAACGUAUGGUUUGGUUUAAGCGCGGAUGGCAUUAAUCCUUUCGGGGAGCAGAGCAGCAAUCACAGCACCUGGUCCGUGACUCUAUGUAUGUAUAACCUUCCACCUUGGAUGUGCAUGAAGCGGAAGUUCAUUAUGAUGCCAGUUCUCAUCCAAGGCCCUAAGCAACCCGGCAACGACAUUGAUGUGUACCUAAGGACAUUAGUUGAAGAACGUUUACAGCUGUGGAAUGGAAACGGUGUACGUGCGUGGGAUGAGCACAAACAUGAGGAAUUUAACCUGCACGCGUUGCUAUUUGUAACCAUCAACGAUUGGCCCGCUCUCAGUAACCUUUCAGGACAGACAAACAAGGGAUACCACGCAUGCACGCACUGUUUAGCUGACACCGAAAGUAUAUACCUGGGAAGCUGCAGCAAGAAUGUGUACCUGUGCCAUCGUCGAUUUCUUCCGACCAACUAUCAAUGUCGAAAGAAAGGCAAGUAUUUCAAAGGCGAGGCAGAUCACCGGAAGAAGCCCACCAUGUGUACCGGUGAUCAUGUACUUGCUAUGGUCAAUGAUUUACAUGUAAUCUUUGGAAAGGGUCCGGGCGGACUAGCUGUUCCGAGUGACGCUGGGGGACACGCACCCAUGUGGAAGAAGAAAUCUAUAUUUUGGGACCUACCCUACUGGAAAGACCUAGAGGUCCGCUCUUGAUCGACGUGAUGCACGUGACGAAGAACCUUUGCGUCAACCUACUAGGAUUAUUGGGCGUGCAUGGGAAGACAAAAGAUACAGCUGAGGCACGGGAGGACCUACAACGUUUGCACGAAAAAGAUGGCAUGCCUCCAAAGCAGUAUGAAGGUCCUGCCAGCUACGCUCUUACCAAAUAAGAGAAGGAAAUCUUCUUUGAAUGCCUGCUUAGUAUGAAGGUCCCGACUGGCUUCUCAUCGAAUAUAAAGGGAAUAAUAAAUAUGGCAGAGAAAAAGUUUCAGAACUUAAAGUCUCAUGACUGCCACAUGAUUAUGACGCAACUGCUUCCGGUUGCAUUGAGGGGGCUUCUAUCGGAAAACGUCCGAUUAGCCAUUGUGAAGCUAUGUGCAUUCCUCAAUGCAAUCUCUUAGAAGGUGAUCGAUCCAGAAAUCAUACCAAGGCUAAGGAGUGAUGUGGUGCAAUGUCUUGUCAGUUUCGAGCUGGUGUUCCCACCAUCCUUCUUUAAUAUCAUGACGCACGUCCUAGUUCAUCUAGUUGACGAGAUUGUCAUUCUGGGCCCCGUAUUUCUACACAAUAUGUACCCCUUUGAGAGGUUCAUGGGAGUCCUAAGGAAAUAUGUCCGUAACCGCGCUAGGCCAGAAGGAAGCAUCUCCAUGGGCCAUCAAAUAGAGGAUGUCAUUGGGUUUUGUGUUGACUUCAUUCCUGACAUUAAGAAUAUAGGUCUCCCUCAAUCGCGGUAUGAGGGGAGACUGACUAGAAAAGGCACGCUUGGAGGGGAGACAAUAAUAUGCAGGGACGGAUAUUCUUGGUCUCAAGCACACUGCACAGUUUUAUAGAACUCUACCUUGGUGACCCCUUAUGUCGAUGAACACAAGAACAGUCUGCGCUCCAAACACCCGGAGCAGUGCGACGACUGGAUUACAUGUGAACACAUCAAGACUUUCAGCAGUUGGUUGGAAACACGUCUCAGAGAUGAAAACACUGUUUGUGAUGAGCUGUACUCGUUGUCCAGGGGACCAUCUUCGACUGUUACGAUUCAGAAAGGAUACGAGAUAAAUGGGAAUACAUUUUACACGAUCGCCCAAGAUCAAAAGAGAACCAACCAAAACAGCGGUGUCCGCUUUGAUGCAGCCACCGAGAGGGGAAAGGACACAUAUUAUGGUUACAUAGUGGACAUAUGGGAACUUAACUAUGGAGUAGAUUUUAAGGUCCCUUUGUUUAAGUGCAAAUGGGUCAAUCUGUUAGGAGGCAGGGUACAGGUAGACCCACAGUAUGGAAUGACAACAGUGGAUCUGAACAAUCUUGGUUACACUGACGAACCGUUCAUCCUAGCCAAUGAUGUGGCACAGGUUAUCUAUGUGAAGCACAUGUCUACCAAACCGAUAAAAAGAGAAAAUAAGGAAGCAAAUACAUCAUACGAUGAGCCAAAGUGCCACAUGGUUCUUUCAGGAAAAAGGGACAUCGUGGGAGUGGAGGGCAAGACAGACAUGUCCGAAGAUUAUGAAAAGUUUCAUGAAAUUCCUCCCUUCAAAGUCAAGGCGGACCCAAGCAUCCUGAUAAAUGAUGAAGAUUAUCCAUGGUUACGGCGCAAUAAGGAAAGGACACAAGCGAAGAAAAAGUGAAGACUUUCUCCACAACUAUUAUGAUGAUACCAUGCCAACUUUCAACCUUUUGUAGUUCAUUUGAAAUGCAUGUUGUAACAGACAAGUUUCCGUAUGAAAUCCUGAUACUUCGAAAGAGAUUGUCCGUUUUGUACACGAAGUGCAUCCAGUUUUGUCGUAACCCUCUCAACUUUCUUGCAUAUGCUAUGUGGAUGAAAUGAUGAUACCAUGCCAAAAUAACAGAGAGGCGCAAUGCUCACCUGCACGUUGCUUAGCUUCAGGCCAACGUGCAGGUGAGCACUGCGCUUCUUCCUUCAUCGUCUCUACACUCAGGGCUUAUAAAACGCCGCGAGUGCCUCUCGCUUGGCGAGGUGGGAUUAAAAAACAGCUGCAGAAAGAAACAACUAAAAAACUCAUUUACUGGUUCAUGCCACGAACCGGUACUAAAAGGUGCUCGUGGGGCCCCAGCCUUAAAACCUGUACCAAAUAAAAUGCCUUUGUAACAGCCUUAGAACUGGUACUAAAGGAAUCAACUAAAAAGCUUUUAUAAACCUCUAGUAUUAUUGAAACUAAAAUUAUAUAGAAUUUUGUUACAAACUUUAAUAGAAAAAAGAAUUAUCAUAAAAGAAAAUAAAUAAGUAAUUAGAAUUUUGUUCAAAAUAUUAAAAGCAAAAAGAAUUAUCAUAAAAGAAAAUAAAUAAGUAAUUAGAAUUUUGUUACAAACUUUAAUAGCAAAAAGAAUUAUCGUAAAAGAAAAUAAAUAAGUAAUUAGAAACAAAAAAGAAAGCAAAAAAACUGGGAAAAAUUUAAAAAAAGUGCCACCUACAGGGCCACCACGGCCUGCAUACAACUAGAAACCCAUUACUAGGGCCAGGAUGCAGGCCCGCAGUAGGCCUAAUAGGCCCACAAGUACAGAGAGUGAUUUUAGGCCCAUAAGCCUACAGUAGAGAGGAGCUCAAAGUGGUAGGUUCGGCAAGACUUAUAAACCACUCUGAGCCCCUCUCGGCUAGCGAGGUGGGACUAAACAUAGCACCGCACCGUGCCAGCACACGACCUUUGGUCCCGAUUGGUGCCACCAACCGGGACUAAAGGGGUGCAUUGGUACCGGUUGGUGGCACCAACCGGGACCAAUGCCUCUCUUUUGUCCCGGUUUGUGGCACCAACCACGACCAAAGGUCUCUGUUUUCCGCCCUUUGGGCUGCUGAAAAGAGGCCUUUGGUCCCGGUUGGUGCCACUAACCGGGACUAAAGGGGUGCAUUGUUCUCGGUUGGUGCCAUGAACCAGGACCAAUGCUCUGCCUAUAUAAGCAGCACUCGUGAAAAUUUGGUUCAGUUCGUUCUUCCCCGCCGCGCGACGCCGCCAGGCUGCCUGUCCGUCUCUGCCUCGCCGUCGCCGUCGUCGCCCCGCGCCGNNNNNNNNNNNNNNNNNNNNNNNNNNNNNNNNNNNNNNNNNNNNNNNNNNNNNNNNNNNNNNNNNNNNNNNNNNNNNNNNNNNNNNNNNNNNNNNNNNNNNNNNNNNNNNNNNNNNNNNNNNNNNNNNNNNNNNNNNNNNNNNNNNNNNNNNNNNNNNNNNNNNNNNNNNNNNNNNNNNNNNNNNNNNNNNNNNNNNNNNNNNNNNNNNNNNNNNNNNNNNNNNNNNNNNNNNNNNNNNNNNNNNNNNNNNNNNNNNNNNNNNNNNNNNNNNNNNNNNNNNNNNNNNNNNNNNNNNNNNNNNNNNNNNNNNNNNNNNNNNNNNNNNNNNNNNNNNNNNNNNNNNNNNNNNNNNNNNNNNNNNNNNNNNNNNNNNNNNNNNNNNNNNNNNNNNNNNNNNNNNNNNNNNNNNNNNNNNNNNNNNNNNNNNNNNNNNNNNNNNNNNNNNNNNNNNNNUAUGUUCAUAUAUAUGCAAAGAUCGAAUAUGUCAAAUUUUUAUGAUUUUUUUCUGUAGUAAUUUUGUUCGUAGAAUUUUAAUGAUUUUUUUGUUCAUAGUAUUUUCUUUGUCAAUUUAUGUAUAUGUUCAUAUUGUGUAUGUAUAGGAAAAUUUUGCAUGAUCAAUGUCAUUUAUGAAUAUGUUCAUAUUUAGAAUAGAGGAAAAAGGAAAAAAUAAGAAGAGAAAGUGUUUAAUAUAAUUCGUUAGAAAAAUAAUAGAACUAUAGUUAAACUAGUUUAUUUUUAGUAAGUACUACUUUAUUUUAUUUAUAGUAAGUGCUUCAUAUAUAGUUGAACUAGCUAGUUGAUUUAAUAAACUACUUUAUUUUACUAUAUAUAGAAGUAGUUUGUUUUGAGUGAGUACUACUUUAUUUAUUUAUAGUAAGUGCUUAGUAGUUGAACUAGUUGAUUUAAUUAAUGAAACUACUUUAUUUAACUAUAUAUAGAAGUAGUUCCCGCAUCGACGUCGAUGAUGCCUAUCCCACAUCCUCGUCGUCCUCGACUCGGCGGUGGAGGCCUGCUUGAUCAGGGCCAUGUUCGGGACUGGGCUCCGCCGGGCUGGUAUUGGGAGGUGCUACCUUCUGGGGGACGUAGGUUGGUGAGGAGGCAGCCCGUUGUUGACCCGAUCCUUCUUUGGUGGCGGUCGCGUGGGCCAGUGACGGUGCCGAGGCUUCCGGACACCGCGGAGGUGGUACGUCACCGUGUCAGCGAGGAGGACGAGCACGUCCGUCGCUACAUGGUUGCAUUGGAGGGAAGGUUCGACAAUACCUGACAGGUUCUUCAGGGAUCUCACUAGAGCUAUGAUCCUGUGAUGGUUCCUUAUCUUUGGGUGUCCACCGCCCGCGACGAUACCCGUCGGGCGCUACGGUUCUAGCUGUAUUAGCGAUGCUAUAUGUAUGAUAGUAUUCGAGGAGUAUUAGUGAUAAUAUUCGACGAUGUACAGACACAAGAGAUGAUGUAGUUUUGGGUAUAAUUGAAUGCAUGCUAAUUUGAAUACUACUUUAUUUUACGAUUUGGUUUUGCUUGUUGAAUGCUCAUAUUGGAAAAGUACUCCUACUAUGAGUGCUAAAAUUCAAGAGCACUCUAUGCAGAAAUCUAGGAGCCACCUCCAUCAUCCACGCCGUCGUGGGGGUAGCUUCUCCUUCAUUUGGUGUAAUAAUGCACUCGGGAAUGAAAGGAGGAGCUACCAUCACCGAUAGUCAACCCGUGAUUAAUAAUAAUGAUCUAAUUUAGGUUUUUUAGUACAUAUAUUUAAUUUUACAAGUUUAAUAUUUGAAUUAUGAACAUAGGCCGGAAAUGUCGUACUCGGACGACGAAAACCGCCCGGGGGAGUGCGACUGGUGCCACGACGACCGAGAUAUGUGCGACAGGUUCAUUGAGCUAGACAAAGAUCGGCGCUUCAGCAUUAAGCUCGAGGAGACCUUCGAUGUUCAUACGGUACGCAACAACGACAAUAGUUUUUUUUCGUAAUUAAGCAUGACUUCAAAUAUUUUAACGUGUAUUUUUCAUCUUUUCCAAUUCGACUAGCUUAUCCCAUGCUAAGCAAGACGCUAUGUCUUGGAGAGGAUGGGUUUUGAAGACCAUGAAAGUAUGGAAACCAAAAAAAUUCUCAUAAGGACCCAUCAUGGUGUGGAUUUUAAAGUAAAGUUGUACAAUGCUGAGAGUGUAACCCAUUUUGGUUGCAAAAAUUGGGAAGCACUUUGCAAGAUGUAUGAUUUUGAUGAGGGUAUGCUUGUCACCAUGGAUCUUGGUGAUCCCACAAUCAAGCAAGACAAUAUGGACAUUUGGGUCCUUGUGGAUACACCUCCAAUUCUUUCCCCCAUGUGAGCUUAACAUAGUUAUUAAGUAAAUUAUAUUGUUUAUUUCAAAAUAGUUGACAACUUAUUUCCAUUGACAGCUUAUUUCAUUCUUCAAAGAAUGUGCGGAAGAUGGUAGACAAAACCCACUACACGGAUGCCUCUGAAUUAACUUAUAAGGAGAAAAAUCAUCUGAUCGCAUUUUGUACUGAUCUUGAGAAUUACAAUGUCUACAAUCGAACUCCUCAACAUUAUGGUCAAUACGUGCCACUAGUGCCUGUGUUGAACUACGGUAACUAACAUGGAGAUACCCUGGUAAGAUUUUUUACUAUUACGACAUCCGUGCAUCUUUUUGCAUACUUCUAAAACUAGUACAUCAUUGCUAACUUAUUACUAUGUUUUUCAACAGAUAAUCCCGAAUGAUUGUGUGCCUCAUCUGAUGUAUAUGCACGGUCUCCUUGAUGUUUUGAACAUACAACCAGGUCGUCCUACGAAUCUCAACUGUCCAUACCGGAUUUCUAAAAGAAGUGGAGACAUGACAAUCAAAGAAUGGAAAAAAUGUAUGGAUAGUCGUAAGGAGCUUCUUGGAAGCAAAAGGAAGCGAAGCGCAAGAAUUGGAGACAGGAUGAUCUCCAUUCUUCAUAAUGGAGAGUCAGGGUCUAUAUUAUUUUAUGCUAUUUUAUCUUAAGUGUGUUUAGGUCUACCUGAUACUGAUGAUGUGCUAAGAACAAUUAUGUAGGGUUGGGUUCGAUGACUAUGAGUAUGAUGAUCGUAUGACUUGUUAUUAAUAACGAGUAGAAGUUGUAUGAUGAUGCAUGAUUAGUAGGACUUGUUAUUAUCUAUGAUGAUGUAUGAUGCGAGCAUGAAGAGUUAUUAUAUAUCAGCGGGUGAAAUGAACAUAGCAGUAGCGUUGGUAAACUAAGCACGAAGAUAAGAGAGGACACUUCUCUCUAUUAGCUAGCUAAUAACAACCUAAAUUAACCCCCAAAACCCCUAAACCAGCCACUUUCAAAAAAAACCUCAGCUGCAGCCAGCUUCUAACGUGUGGAUGCCUUUUGGUCCCGAUUUAUGUAACCAACCGGGACCAAAGGCCCCCCUGCCUGGGCUGCCCGCAGCGGCCACGUGGAUGCCCAUCUGUCCCGGUUCAUGUAAGAACCGGGACUAAAGGGGGGAGGCAUUAGUAACGACCUAUUAGUCCCGGUUCAAGAACCGGGACUUAAAGGCCCUUACGAACCGGGACAAAUGCCCUAUUUUCUACUAGUCAUCAUAUGCUUCUACAUAUUUCAAUAAUAUCAAGUUUCCUCUCUAUGUGCUUAAAGUUUUAAAUUUAUGCUUGUUUUGCCUUCCUAUGCUAGUUGAUUAUUGUUCCCAUAAGUUGUUUGCUCACAAAAUCCCUACGCAUAGGAAGUGGGUUAGACUUAAAUGUGCUAGUCAUAUUCUUCAUGAUGCUCUCUAUAUGUUUCAAUUCUUACCUUUUAUACGAGCAUCAUUGAAAUCAUCAUGCCUAGCUAGAAAGGCAUUAAAGAAAGGCACUUGUUGGGAGACAACCCAAUAUUUACCCAUACUGUUUUUGUGUGUUCACGUGAUUAAGCUACUGUAUUAAUCAUGUUUUGUAGCUUUUGUUUCAAUAAAGUGCCAAGUAGAACCUUUGGGAAGACUUGGGUGGAAGUUAAUGUGAUCUUGCUGUAAAAAACAGAAACUUUGCACUCACAAGUUUAGCUGUCAUAUUUUACAGACGAGUGCUUUUAAGCUGAUUCUUUUUAUAGAAGAUUAAUAGACAAAUUACUCAGGUCCACCAAUUUAUUUCAGAAUUUUUGGAGUUCCAUAAGUAUACGUUUGAUACAGAUUACUACAGACUGUUCUGUUUUUGACAGAUUUUGUUUUCUAUGAGUUGUUUGCUUAUUUCGAUGAAUCUGUGAGUAGUAUCGGAGGGUAAGAACCAUAGAUAAGUUGGAAUACAGUAGAUAUUACACCAAUAUGAAUUUAGAAUGAGUUCACAACAGUACCUAAGUGGUGAUUUAUUUUCUUAUACUAACGGAGCUUAUGAGUUUUCUGUUAAGUUUUGUGUUGUGAAGUUUUCAAGUUUUGGGUAAAGAUUCGAUGGACUAUGGAAUAAGGAGUGGCAAGAGCCUAAGCUUGGGGAUACCCAAGGCACCCCAAGGUAAUAUUCAAGGACAACCAAAAGCCUAAGCUUGGGGAUGCCCCGGAUGGCAUCCCCUCUUUCGUCUUUGUUCAUCGGUAACUUUACUUGGAGCUAUAUUUUUAUUCACCGCAUGAUAUGUGUUUUGCUUGGAGCGUCAUUUUAUUUUAUUUUGUUUUGCUUGCUGUUUGAAUAAAAUACCAAGAUCUGAAAUUAUUAAAUGAGAGAGAGUCUUCACAUAGCUACAUAAUUAUUUAACUACUCAUUGAUCUUCACUUAUAUAUUUUUGGAGUAGUUUGUCAUUUACUCGUGUGCUUCACUUAUAUCCUAUGAGUAAAUGGUUGAAUGAUUUGAAUGUCAUAAAUCUGAAAUUAUAUAUGUUUCAUAUGUCUUUCCCAUGGGAGUAAUGCCUUCACAUAUAAGAAGUAGAGGUGGUAAAUUUUUUGAAGGUUAGCAAACAUUGUAUUGGUCACUUGAACAAUUCAUGAAAGAAUAUUGAAGGAAGAGGGAGUUCACAUAUAAAUAUACUAUCUUGGACAUCUUCUAUAAUUGUGAGCCCCAUUAAUUAUUUUCAAACCUGAGCAAAUUAGUUGAAGCUGGACAAGGAAGAUAAGAUAAUGAGUUAUGCUUGGGUAUAUUUGUAUAGAAGUUAUAUUGUUAUGGAUCCUCUAACAUGUGGUGCUUGCUAUUUAGAAUCCUUUGCUAGCCAAAAUAUCUGUACUAAGGGGAAUACUGCUUGUGCAUCCAAAUUCCUUGAACCAAGUUUAUUCCAUGAGUGUCCACCAUAUCUACCUAUAUGCGGUAUUUACCUGCCGUUCCAUGUAAAUUUGCAUGUGCCAAACUCUAAACCUUCAAAUAAUAAUCUAUUUUGUAUGCCCGAAUUGCUCAUGUAGCGACUAGGGGUUGUCUGUAUCUUCCAUGCUAGGUGGGUUAUUCUCACGAUGAGUGGACUCCGCUCAUCAUUCGCGAGAAAAUGGCUAGUAACUAGGAUGCUCAGUCCUAUGAUCACAAGAUCAAAAACAAAUUCGCAAAUAAUUUAAACAAAACUCCCCCGGGAUUGUUGAUAGUUGGACGGCACCCGUUGUUUCGGACAAGCCGUGGAGUGUGAUUGUUGGUGGAGGGGGAGUAAAAUCUUUAACUUUCUGUUUGGGAACUGCCUAUAAUGCAUCUAGUAUGGAAGAUAUUGGGAACUCUUGGUUGUUAUGUUGACAAUGAAAGCAUACCUCUCAAAAUUAUUUUCAUCUUUUUUUUGCUUCGAGCUCUGGCACCUCUGCAAAUCCCUGCUUCCCUCUACGAAGGGCCUAUCUUUUACUUUUAUGCAAGAGUCAGUCAUAUUCCUUCUCAUUCCAACCUACUUUUUAGUUGACAAGCAUCAUGUGGUGGAGAAAGAUCUAAGCAUAUAUGGCCAUUCAAAUAUAUUUGAUCAUGAAUUAUUAUUGUUGACAAUUAUCUAUAUGAUAAAUAAGUUGGGAGGCGAAACAUUAAGCCCCUAUCUUUCUCUGUGUUCAACGGAUGCUAUUUUUUCUAAAAAUAUGCUUUGAGUGGUAGCAAUCAUGGAAGACUAUAUGAUAGUUGAGUAUGUGGAAUUUGCUAAAUCAAAGCUCUUACAUAGACCCUUCCUGAAAAUAAGAUGAAUUGCAAUUGUGUGAUGAUUGAGAACUGUUUGUUAGUUUUCAAGAAAGUUUAUGAUCUAUACUUUAACAUGUGAAUAGCUUAUCAUGAGAAGUUUUAUGAUAUGAGCUACUGUUAUGACAUAUAAUGAUGCUAGAAAAAGUGAUUGGAACUAUCACUGAUCAAACUUAUGCACUUGCUAGCAUUCUAACUUCAUAAUUAUUUCUUUUAUCAUUUACCUACUCGAGGACGGGCAGGAAUUAAGCUUGGGGAUGUUGAUAUGUCUCCAACGUAUCUAUAAUUUAUGGAGUAUUCAUGCUAUUAUAUAUUUUGUUUUGGAUGUUUAAUGGGCUUUAUUAUACACUUUUAUAUUAUUUUUGGGACUAACCUAUUAACCGGAGGCCCAGCCCAAAAUGUUGUUUUCUUGCCUAUUUCAGUGUUUCGAAGAAAAGGAAUAUCAAAUGGAGUCCAAACGGAAUGAAACCUUUAGGAGAGUUAUUUUUGGAACGGAAGCAAUCCAGGAGACUUGGAGUAUACGUCAGGGAAGCUUCGAGGAAGCCACAAGGCAGGGAGGUGUGCCCUACCCCCCUGGGCGCGCCCCCACCCUCGUGGGCCCCUCGUGGCUCCCCUGACCGACUUCUUUUGCCUAUAUAUAUAUAUAUCCAUAUACCCUAAAAACAUCAUGGAACAUAAUAGAUCGGGAGUUCCGCCGCCGCAAGCCUCUGUAGCCACCAAAAACCAAUCGAGACCCUGUUCCGGCACCCUGCCGGAGGGGGGAUCCCUCACCAGUGGCCAUCUUCAUCAUCCCGGCGCUCUCCAUGACGAGGAGGGAGUAGUUCACCCUCGGGGCUGAGGAUAUGUACCAGUAGCUAUGUGUUUGAUCUCUCUCUCUCUCUCUCGUGUUCUUGAUUCGGCACGAUCCUGAUGUAUCGUGAGCUUUGCUAUUAUAAUUGGAUCUUAUGAUGUUUCUCCCCCUCUAGUCUCUUGUAAUGGAUUGAGUUUUCCCUUUGAAGUUAUCUUAUCGGAUUGAGUCUUUAAGGAUUUGAGAACACUUGAUGUAUGUCUUGGAUGUGCUUAUCUGUGGUGACAAUGGGAUAUCACGUGAUUCACUUGAUGUAUGUUUUGGUGAUCAGCUUGCGAGUUCCGUGACCUCGUGAACUUAUGCAUAGGGGUUGGCACACGUUUUCGUCUUGACUCUCCGGUAGAAACUUUGGGGCUCUCUUUGAAGUACUUUGUGUUGGUUUGAAUAGAUGAAUCUGAGAUUGUGUGAUGCAUAUCGUAUAAUCAUACCCAUGGAUACUUGAGGUGACAUUGGAGUAUCUAGGUUACAUUAGGGUUUUGGUCGAUUUGUGUCUUAAGGUGUUAUUCUAGUACGAACUCUAUGAUAGAUCGAAAGGAAAGAAUAGCUUCGUGUUAUUUUACUAUGGACUCUUGAAUAGAUCGAUCAGAAAGGAUAACUUUGAGGUGGUUUCAUACUCUACAAUAAUCUCUUCGUUUGUUCUCUGCUAUUAGUGACUUUGGAGUGACUCUUUGGUGCAUGUUGAGGGAUAGUUAUAUGAUCCAAUUAUGUUAUUAUUGUUGAGAGAACUUGCACUAGUGAAAGUAUGAACCCUAGGCCUUGUUUCCUAGCAUUGCAAUACCGUUUGUGCUCACCUUUAUCAUUAGUUACCUUGCUGUUUUUAUAAUUUCAGAUUACAAAAACCUAUAUAUACCAUCGAUAUUGCACUUGUAUCGCCAUCUCUUCGCUGAACUAGUGCACCUAUACAAUUUACCAUUGUAUUGGGUGUGUUGGGGACACAAGAGACUCUUUGUUAUUUGGUCGCGAGGUUGUUUGAGAGACACCAUCUUCAUCCUACGCCUCCCAUGGAUUGAUAAACCUUAGGUCAUCCACUUGAGGGAAAUUUCCUACUGUCCUACAAACCUCUGCACUUGGAGGCCCAACAACGUCUACAAAAAGAAGGUUGUGUAGUAUACAUCAGUGUUCCAGGUGGCGUGAGUUGCGAAACUAUUCCGCAUUGUUUCAAAUGAAGACCAAACUCGUAACUCAAAUAUUCUCCUCUAUGAUCAGAUCGUAGAAACUUUAUUUUCUUGUUACGAUGAUUUUCCACUUCACUCUGAAAUUAUUUUUACUUUUCAAAUGUUUCAGAUUUAUGUUUCAUCAAGUAGAUAUACUCAUAUCUGCUCUAAUAAUCUAUGAAGGUCAGAAAAUAACGAUACAUGUCGCGAGCCUCAACACUCAUUGGACCACAUACAUCAGUAUGUAUGAUUUCCAACAAGUCUGUUGCUCGCUCCAUUGUUCUGGAGAACGGAGUCUUGGUCAUCUUGCCCAUGAGGCAUGGUUCGCAAGAAUCAACUGAUACAUAAUCAAGUGACAAAAGCCCAUCAGUAUGGAUUUUCUUCAUGCGCUUUACACCAAUAUGACCUAAACGGCAGUGCCACAAAUAAGUUGCACUAUCAUUAUUAACUUUGCAUCUUUUGGCUUUAAUAUUAUGAAUAUGUGUAUCACUACGAUCAAGAUUCAAUAAACCAUUCACCUUGGGUGUAUGACCAUUGAAGGUUUUAUUCAUGUAAACAGAACAACAAUUAUUCUCUGACUUUAAAUGAAUAAUCAUAUUACAAUAAACAUGAUCAAAUCAUAUUCAUGCUUAACGCAAACACCAUAUAACAUUUAUUUAGGUUCAACACUAAUCCCAAAAGUAUAGGGAGUGUGCGAUGAUGAUCAUAUCAAUCUUGGAACCACUUCCAACAUACAUCGUCACUUCACCCUUAACUAGUCUCUGUUCAUUCUGCAACUCCUAUUUCGAGUUACUAAUCUUAGCAACUAAACUAGUAUAAAAUACUGAGGGGUUGCUACAAACGCUAGUAAAGUACACAUCAAUAACAUGUAUAUCUAAUAUACCUUUGUUCACUUUGCCAUCCUUCUUAUGCGCCAAAUAAAUGGGGCAGUUCUGCUUCCAGUGACCAGUCCCUUUGCAGUAGAAGCACUUAGUCUCAGGCUUAGGUCCAGACUUGGGCAUCUUCACUUGAGCAGCAACUUGCUUGCCAUUCUUCUUGAAGUUCCCCUUCUUCCAUUUGCCCUUUUCUUGAAACUAGUGGUCUUGUCAACCAUGAACACUUGAUGCUUUUCUUGAUUUCUACCUUCAUCGAUUUCAGCAUCACGAAGAGCUUGGGAAUUGAUAACCCACAAGUGUAGGGGAUAAUUGUAGCCUCUUUCGAUAAGUAAGAGUGUUGAACCCAACGAGGAGCUAAAGGUAGCACAAAUAUUCUCUCAAGUCCUAUCUGCCACUGAUACGACUCUACGCACGCUUAGUGUUCGCUUUACCUAGAACAAGUAUGAAACUAGAAGUACUUUGUAGGUGUUGUUGGAUAGGUUUGCAAGAUAAUAAAGAGCAUGCAAAUAAAAGGUAGGGGCUGUUUAGAUAAAGAUGCAAUAAAGUAAAUAUAGCGAGUGUGGAAAAGUGGUGGUAGGAGUUGUGGAAUUGUCCCUAAGCAAUUGACUACUUUACUAGAUUGGUAAUCACUAUUGCAAUUCUAUUUGAGGGAGAGGCAUAAGCUAACAUACUUUCUCUUCUUGGAGCAUAUGCACUUAUGAUUGGAACUCUAGCAAGCAUCCGCAACUACUAAAGAUCAUUAAGGUAAAACCCAACCAUAGCAUUAAAGUAUCAAGUCCCCUUUAUCCCAUACGCAAACAACCUACUUACUCAGGUCUGUGCUUCUGUCACUAACGGCACCCACCAUGAGAAAAUCAUGAACAUAUUGCAAACCCUACAGCGGGGAUCCCUCGCGCUUGAGCGACACGGAGGGCACUAUAGGACAACACCAAUGAUAAAACAUGCAACUCAAACCAAUCAUAGCAAUUCAUUAAUCAUCGAUAGGACAACGGAAAUCUACUCAGACAUCAUAUGAUGGCAACACAUCAUUGGAUAAUAAUAUGAAGCAUAAAGCACCAUGUUCAAGUAGAGGGUAUAGCGGGUUGCAGGAGAGUGGACUGCUGAAUAUAGAAGGAGGACGGUGAUGGAGAUGUUGGUAAAGAUCGCGGUGAUGAUGAUGGCCCCCGGCAGCGCUCCGGCGCCACCGGAAGCAAGGGGGAGAGAACCCCCUUCUUCUUCUUAUUCCUUGACCUCCUCCCUAAAUGGGAGAAGGGUUACCCCUCUGGUCCUUGGCUCCCAUGGAGUGGGAGGGGCGAGAGCGCCUACGAGGUUGGAUCUAUCUCUCUGUCUCUCUCUGUUUCUGUGUUCUUUGAUUCUUCCCCUUCACCGUUUCUUUUAUAUCCGGAGAUUCGUAACUCCGAUUGAGGUGAAUCAUUCGCCCAGAUCUUUCUCAUAAAAUUAGCUUUAUUGCGGCAAAAGAAGAGCGUCAACCGCCGUACGAGGGGCCCAGGAGAGUCGAGGGCGCGCCUGCCUCCCUAGGGCGCCCCCCUAUCUCCUGGCCCCCUCGGGCACCGUCUCAUGUUGAUUUUAAGUCCCAAAAAGCACAAAUAUUCCAAAAUAAUUCUCCGUUCAUUUUUAACCCGUUUGGACUCCGUUUGAUAUGGGGUUUCUGCGAAACAUAAAACAUGCAACAGACAGGAACUGACACUGGGCACUGGAUCAAUAUGUUAGUCCCAAAAAAUAGUAUAAAAAGUUGUCAAAAGUAUAUGAAAGUUGUACAAUAUUGGCAUGGAACAAUCAAAAAUUAUAGGUACGACGGAGACGUAUCAGCAUCCCCAAGCUUAAUUCCUGCUCGUCCUUGAGUAGGUAAAUGAUAAAAAAGAUAAUUUUUGAUGUGGAAUGCUAACUAGCAUAAUCUUGAUCAUAUGUCUAAUUAUGGCAUGAAUAUUAAGACACGAGUGAUUCAAAACAAUAGUCUAUCAUUAGACAUAAAAAACGAUAAUACUUCGAGUGUACUUAAUAAAGCAAUCAUGUCUUUUCAAAACAACAUGGCCAAAGCAAGCUUAUCCCUACAAAAUCAUAUAGUUUGGCCAUGCUUCAUCUUCGUCACACAAAAUGCUUCCAUCAUGCACAACCCCGAUGACAAGACGAGCAAUUGGUUCAUACUUUUUAACGCGCUUCAGCUUUUUCAACCCUCACGCAAUAAACUAGCCCAAGCCAUGGAUAUAGCACUACAAGUGGAAUAGAAUAUGAUGGUGGGGGUUUACGUGGAGAAGACAAAAAGGGAGAAAGUCUCACAUCGACACGGCUAAUCAACGGGUUAUGGAGAUGCCCAUCAAUUGAUGUCAAUGCGAGGAGUAGGGAUUGCCAUGCAACGGAUGCACUAAGAGCUAUAAGUGUAUGAAAGCUCAACAAAAGAAACUAAGUGGGUGUGCAUCCAACUUGCUUGCUCAUGAAGACCUAGGGCAUUUGAGGAAGCCCAUCGUUGGAAUAUACAAGCCAAGUUCUAUAAUGAAAAUUCCCACUAGUAUAUGAAAGUGACAAUAUAGGGGACUCUCUAUAUGAAGAACAUGGUGCUACUCUGAAGCACAAGUGUGGUAAAAGGAUAGUAACAUUGCCCCUUUUCUUUUUUUUUUGUUUUUCUUUCUUUUUCUUUUUUUUGGGCGGGCUUCUUUGCCCCCCCUUUUUUAUUUAGGCUUCUUUGGCCUCUCUUUUUUCUUUUUCUUUUCUUUUCUUUUUUUUCAUGGGGUAAUGCUCUAUAAUGAUGAUCGUCACACUUUUAUUUACUUACAACUCAAUAUUACAACUCGACACUAGAACAAAGAUAUGACUCUAUAUGAAUGCCUCCGGCGGUGUACCGUGAUGUGCAAUGAUCUAGCAUAGCAAUGACAUCAAAAACGGACAAGCCAUGAAAACAUCAUGCUAGCUAUCUUACGAUCAUGCAAAGGAAUAUGCCAAUGAAUGCUCAAGUCAUGUAUAUGAUGAUGAUGGAAGUUGCAUGGCAAUAUAUCUCGGAGUGGCUAUGGAAAUGCCAUGAUAGGUAGGUAUGGUGGCUGUUUUGAGGAAGAUAUAAGGAGGCUUAUGUGUGAUAGAGCGUAUCAUAUCACGGGGUUUGGAUGCACCAGCAAAGUUUUCACCAACUCUCGAGGUGAGAAAGGGCAAUGCAUGGUACCGAAGAGGCUAGCAAUGAAGGAAAGGUAAAAGUGUGUAUAAUCCAUGGACUCACAUUAGUCAUAAAGAACUCAUAUACUUAUUGCAAAAUUUUAUUAGCCCUUGAAGCAAAGUACUACUACGCAUGCCCCUAGGGGGAUAGAUUGGUAGGAAAAGACCAUCGCUCGUCCCCGACCGCCACUCAUAAGGAAGACAAUCAAUGAAACACCCCAUGCUUCAAAUUUGUCACACAAUGGUUACCAUAGGUGCAUGCUACGGGACUUGCAAACCUCAACACAAGUGUCUAUACAAUCCACAACCACCCACUAGCAUGACUCUAAUAUUACCAUCUUUAUAUCGCAAACUAUUGCAAGGAAUCAAACAUAUCAUAUUCAGUGAUCUACAAGUUUAUGUAGGAUUUUAUGACUAACCAUGUGAAUGACCAAUUCCUGACAUCUCUCUAAAUAGAUAUAAGUGAAGCAAGAGAGAAUUCUACAAAUGGUGGUUUUCUAUGUGAAGAGAAACAUGCAAUCCAGACUUCAAAAGAUAUAAGUGAGGCAUGUGAAGCAUUCUAUAAAACCAUACUCAAAAGAUCUAAGUGAAGUGCAAUGAGCAUUAUAUAAAUCAACCAAGGACUAUCUCAUACCAGCAUGGUGCAUAAAAGAAAAGUGAAAACUAAAUGCAAAAGACGCUCCAAGACUUGCACAUAUCGCAUGAACGAAACGAAUACGAAAACAUACCGAUACUUGUUGAAGAAAGAGGGGAUGCCUUCCGGGGCCCUAAGCUUAGACGCUUGAGUCUCCUUGAAUAUUUCCUUGGGGUGCCUUGGGCAUCCCCAAGGUUGAGCCCUUUCCUCUCUUCCUUUUCCUCAUAUCGAGACCUCCUCGAUCAAACACUUCAUCCACACAAAACUUCAAUAGAAAACUCGGUAAGAUCCACUAGUAUAAUAAAGCAAAUCACUACUCUAAGUACUGUAGCAAACCAAUUCAUAUUUUGUUUUGGCAUUGUGUCUACUGUAAUAUAGCUUUUCCAUGGCUUAAUCCACUAAUAUAAAUUGAUAGUUUCAUCAAAACAAGCAAACUAUGCAUCAAAAACAGAAUCUGUCAAAAAGAGAACAGUCUGUAGCAAUCUGAACAUUCACCAUACUUUUGGUACCCCAAAAUUCUACAAAAAUUAGGAAAAAUAAACAAUUUGUACGGAAAGACAGUGCAAAAAGAAGCAGAACCAUUUGGCAUUCCAGUAAAACAUGUAAAAUCGUGCACUACAGCAAAAGUUUCUGUCCUGCACCGUACAAACCAACAAGCAUUGUAAACAUCCUAAAGGCAAACCUUGGCACAUUAUUUUUAUAAUACAAUGGAAUUGUACAAGGGGGAUAAUUAUUUUUGAUGAAAAAUUUCUAUAAUCAAGAUUCACAAAGUUUCCGUGAGCAUGAACAAAGUUCAAGGAGCUCUCCCACUUCAACAAUGCUUGUCUUUCUCACUUUCACUUUCCUUUUUGAAAAAGUUUUGGGUUCUGCUCUUUAUUUUUUUUGUUUUUAAACUAUAUAAAAGCACUCAACAGAAAUAAAUUACUCUCUAAAACUUCUGGGUUGUCUCCCUGGCAGCGCUUUCUUUAAAGCCAUUAAGCUAGGCAUAUAGUGCUCAAGUAAUGAAUCCACCCGGAUCCCAAGGUAUAUCAAAGCCAAUUUUAAUUAACAUUGAUUUGUAAUUUAGUAGUGAGCACAAAGUAACAUAUAUCAUGCAACAAUGAAGUCUAACUCUCUUCCUAUGCAUCGGCAUGUCAUAAAAGAACAAUUCAUGCACACCAAGUAAAGGCCAAUGCAUAGUAUAAGCAGUUUCUUGCAAUUUUAUCAUAUUGGAAACAUAGAGAGGUGGAGAUAUAGUUCCUCUCUCAUAAUAAUUGCAAGUAGGAGCAUCAAUCACAUGCAUAUUAUAUCUAUCAAAAUCAUCAUGUGUAGUAGUAAAACACAACCCAUCAAUAUAAUCCUUAAAAAGCACAAACUUCUCCGAUAUAGUGUAGUCGGGAGAAUUCAAAAAGAUAAUAGGACUAUCAUGCAUGGGUGCAAUAGCAACAAUUUCAUGUUUAACAUAAGGAACUAUAGCAAGUUCAUCUCCAUGAGCAUAAUUCAUAUUGGCAUCUUGGCCACAAGCAUAGCAAGCAUCAUCAAAAAGGGAUAUUUCAAGAGAAUCAACGGGAUCAUAACAAUCAUCAUAGCAAUCGUCCUUCGGUAAGCACGAAGGGAAAUUAAACAAUGUAUGAGUUGAAGAUUUACUCUCAUUAGAAGGUGGGCAUGGGUGAUCAAUCCACUCUUCCUCCUUUUGUUCUUCUCUCUCCUCCUCAUCUUUUCAUCCAAUGAGCACACAGUUUCAUCAAUUUAUUCUUCCACAGACUCCUGCAAAAUAUUAGUCUCUUCUUGGACAGCGGAGACCUUCUCAAUAAAAGCAUCAAUAUUGGAUUUAUAUUCAUAAUUCUCAUAGCAAUAUUUCAAUAUAGCGGCCUAUAAACAUCAUCAUCUAAAGCUUCAUACUUUUCAAACAAAGAUUCAAUUUCAUAAGCACCCUUAAAAGCAACGAAUUCUUCUAUUUGUUCACAUCAUAGUAAUCAUAUAUACCAUUAGCAUAAGAAGCCAAGGCUUUAUCAUCAUUAAAUUUGCAUGAAAAGGGAAGGUGUGGAGCCUUCAACCUAGAGCAACAAGUAAUAUCAUAUCUCAAGCAUAGAUCCCGAGCAUACCAAUGCAACAUAUAAAUUUGAUCCCAUAAUAGUUUCCCUUUUUGUGUCAAGCGAUAAUCCCUAAAGUAUUCACAUUGAUCCAACGUGUCUCCCAUAACAAAAUUGAAUGGGAUUUUCUCAGGAUUAUCAAAGUAGUACAUAGUAUCUUGAACAUAAUGAGCAUCGAGGGUUUUAGGAGGUUCCCCAUCUCCAUGAGUAGCAAGUACACCUAAUUUUUUUGGUAUUUCGUGUUCCAUAUCCAUAACUAAAGGUAGAGAACAACUAAGAACAGCAAAAUAAAAAUUACUUCGUGAUAAAGCAAACAAGCACACACGAGAAUAUUCACGCCACGCUAUGACUCCCCGGCAACGGUGCCAGAAAAAUGUCUUGAUAACCCACAAGUUAGGGGAUAAUUGUAGCUUCUUUCGAUAAGUAAGAGUGUAGAACCCAACGAGGAGCUAAAGGUAGAACAACUAUUCUCUCAAGUCCUAUCUUCCACUGAUACGACUCUACGCAUGCUUAGUGUUUGCUUUACCUAGAACAAGUAUGAAACUAGAAGUACUUUGUAGGUGUUGUUGGAUAGGUUUGCAAGAUAAUAAAGAGCAUGUAAAUAAAAGGUAGGGGCUGUUUAGAUAAAGAUGCAAUAAAGUAAAUAUAGCGAGUGUGGAAAAGUGGUGGUAGGAGUUGUGGAAUUGUCCCUAAGCAAUUGAAUACUUUACUAGACCGGUAAUCACUAUUGCAAUUCUAUUUGAGGGAGAGGCAUAAGCUAACAUACUUUCUCUUCUUGGAGCAUAUGCACUUAUGGUUGGAACUCUAGCAAGCAUCCGCAACUACUAAAGAUCAUUAAGGUAAAACCCAACCAUAGCAUUAAAGUAUCAAGUCCCCUUUAUCCCAUACGCAAACAACCUACUUACUCAGGUCUAUGCUUCUGUCACUCACGCCACCCACCAUAAGCAAAUCAUGAACAUAUUGCAAACCCUACAGAGGGGAUCCCUCAUGCUUGCGCGACAUGGAGGGUACUAUAGGACAGCACCAAUAAGAAAACAUGCAACUCAAACCAAUCAUAGCAAUUCAUCAAUCACCUAUAGGACAACGGAAAUCUACUCAGACAUCAUAGGAUGGCAACACAUCAUUGGAUAAUAAUAUCAAGCAUAAAGCACCAUGUUCAAGUAGAGGGUACAACGGGUUGCGGGAGAGUGGACCGCUGACUAUAGAAGAGGGAAGGUGAUGGAGAUGUUGGUGAAGAUGGCAGAGGUGUUGGUGAAGAUCAGGGUGAUGAUGAUGGCCCCCGGCAGCGCUCCGGCGCCACCGGAAGCAAGGGGGAGAGAGCCCCCUUCUUCUUAUUCUUCCUUGACCUCCUCCCUAGAUGGGAGAAGGGUUUCCCCUCUGGUCCUUGGCUCCCAUGGCGUGGGAGGGGCGAGAGCCCCUCCGAGAUUGGAUCUAUCUCUCUGUCUCUCUCUGUUUAUGUGUUCUCUGAUUCUGCCCCUUCACCGUUUCUUUUAUAUCUGGAGAUCCGUAACUCCGAUUGGGGUGAAUCUUUCGCCCAGAUCUUUCUCAUAAAAUUAGCUUUCUUGCAGCAAAAGAAGAGCGUCAACCGCCUUACCGGGGGGGGCAGGAGAGUCCAGGGUGCGCCCCCCUAUCUCCUGCCCCCCUCGGGCACCGUCUCGUGUUGAUUUUACUUCCCAAAAAUCACAAAUAUUCCAAAAAUAUUCCAAAAUAAUUCUCUAUCCGUUUUUAUCCCGUUUGGACUCUGUUUGGUAUGGGGUUUCUGCGAAACAUAAAACAUGCAACAGACAGGAACUGGCACUGGGCACUGGAUCAAUAUGUUAGUCCCAAAAAAGAGUAUAUUGGCAAAAGUAUAUGAAAGUUGUAGAAUAUUGCCAUGGAACAAUCAAAAAUUAUAGAUACGACGGAGACGUAUCAGGAAUCGUUUCCGUUAUCCCUUGCAUAUUAUAGUUCAUCACGAAGUUCUAGUAACUUGUUGAUAGUGACUAGAGAACUUUGUCAAUCACUAUCUUAUCUGGAAGAUUAACUCCCACUUGAUUCAAGUGAUUGUAGUACUCAGACAUUCUGAGCACAUGCUCACUAGCUGAGCUAUUCUCCUCCAUUUUAUAGGCAAAGUACUUGUCAAAGGUCUCAUACCUUUCUACAUGGGCAUGAGUCUGAAAUACUAAUUUCAACUCUUGGAACAUCUCAUAUGCUCCGUGGCGUUUCAAAAACGCCUUUGAAGCCCCGAUUCCAAGCCAUAAAGCAUGGUGCACUAAACUAUCAAGUAGUCAUCAUAUCGAGCUUGCCAAACAUUCAGCUGCUCUUGCAAUCGGUCUGUUACCUAGCGGUGCAUUAAGGAGAUAAUUCUUCUAUGCAGCAAUGAGGAUAAUCCUCAGAUCACGGAUCCAAUCCGCAUCAUUGCUACUAACAUCUUUCAACUUAGUUUUCUCUGGGAACAUAUCAAAAAUAAAAUAGGGGAGCUAAACGCGAGCUAUUGAUCUAUAACAUAGAUAUGCUAAUACUACGAGGACUAAGUUCAUGAUAAAUUAAAGUUCAAUUAAUCAUAUUACUUAAGAACUCCCACUUAGAUAGACAUCCUUCUAAUCAUCUAAGUGAUCACGUGACCCAUAUCAACUAAACCAUGUCCGAUCAUCACGUGAGAUGAAGUAGUUUUCAAUGGUGAACAUCACUAUGUUGAUCAUAUCUACUAUAUGAUUCACGCUCGACCUUUCGGUCUCCGUGUUUCGAGGCCAUGUAUGCAUAUGCUAGGCUCGUCAAGUUUAACCCAAGUAUUCUGCAUGUGUAAAACUGGCUUGCACCCGUUGUAUGUGAACGUAGAGCUUAUCACACCCGAUCAUCACGUGGUGUCUCAGCACGAAGAACUUUCGCAACCGUGCAUACUCAGGGAGAACACUUAUAUCUUGAAAUUUAGUGAGAGAUCAUCUUAUAAUUCUACCGUCGAUAUAAGCAAAAUAAGAUGCAUAAAGGAUAAACAUCACAUGCAACCAAUAUAAGUGAUAUGAUAUGGCCAUCAUCAUCUUGUGCCUUUGAUCUCCAUGUCCAAAGCAUCGUCAUGAUCACCAUCGUCACCGGCGCGACACCUUGAUCUCCAUCGUAGCAUCGUUGUCGUCUCGCCAACUAUUUCUUCUACGACUAUCGCUACCGCUUAGUGAUAAAGUAAAGCAAUUACAUGGCGAUUGCAUUUCAUACAAUAAAGCGACAACCAUAUGGCUCCUGCCAGUUGCCGAUAACUCCGUUAUAAAACAUGAUCAUCUCAUACAAUAAAAUUUAGCAUCAUGUCUUGACCAUAUCACAUCACAACAUGCCCUGCAAAAACAAGUUAGACGUACUCUACGUUAUUGUUGCAAGUUUUACGUGGCUGCUACGGGCUGAGCAAGAACCGUUCUUACCUACACAUCAAAACCACAACGAUAUUUUGUCAAGUAUGUGAUGUUUUAACCUUCAACAAGGACCGGGCGUAGCCACACUCGAUUCAACUAAACUUGGAGAAACUGAAACCCGCCAGCCACCUGUGUGCGAAGCACGUCGGUAGAACCAGUCUCGCGUAAGCGUACGUGUAAUGUCGGUCCGGGCUGCUUCAUCCAACAAUACCGCCGAAUCAAAGUAUGACAUGCUGGUAAGCAGUAUGACUAGUAUCUCCCAUAACUCACUUGUGUUCUACUCGUGCAUAUAACAUCUAAGCAUAAACCUGCCUCUGAUACCACUAUUGGGGAACGUAGUAAUUUCAAAAAAAUCCUACGCACACGCAAGAUCGUGGUGAUGCAUAGCAACAAGAGGGGAGAGUGUUGUCCAUGUACCCUCGUAGACCGAAAGCGGAAGCGUUAUGACAACGCGGUUGAUGUAGUCAUACGUCUUCACGAUUGACCGAUCCUAGCACGGAAGGUACGGCACCUCCGCGAUCUGCACACGUUCGGCUUGGUGACGUCCCACGAACUCACAAUCCAGUAGAGUGUCGGGGAAGAGCUUCAUCAGCAGGACGGCGUGAUGAGGGUGAUGAUGAAGCUACCGGCGCAGGGCUUCGCCUAAGCACUACGACGAUAUGACCGAGGUGGAUUAUGGUGGAGGGGGGCACCGCACACGGCUCAAAGAUCAAUGAUCAACUUGUGUGUCUAUGCCGUUCCCCCCUCCCCCGUAUAUAAAGGAGUGGAGGAGGGGGAGAGCUGGCCCUCCUAUGGCGCGCCCCAUGGGGAGUCCUACUCCCACGGGGAGUAGGAUCCCCCCCCUUCCAUGUAGUAGGAGUAGGAGAGAAGGAAGGAGGAGAGAGGGAGAAGGAAAGGGGGGCGCCGCCCCCCUUCCUAGUCCAAUUCGGACUAAAGGGGGAGGGGUGCACGGCCUGCCCUAGCAGUCCCUCUUUCUCUCUCCACUGAGGCCCAUAAGGCCCAUUAAACUCCCCGGGGGGUUCCGGUAACCCCCCGGUACUCCGGUAUAUGUCCAAACUCACUCGGAACCCUUCCAUUGUCCAAACAUAGUAAUCCAAUAUAUCGAUCUUUAUGUCUCGACCAUUUCGAGACUCCUCGUCAUGUCCGUGAUCAUAUCCGGGACUCCGAACUACCUUUGGUACAUCAAAACACAUAAACUCAUAAUACUGAUCGUCACUGAACGUUAAGCGUGCGGACCCUACGGGUUCGAGAACUAUGUAGACAUGACCGAGACACGUCUCUGUAACCAAUAGCGGAACCUAUAUGCUCAUAUUGGCUCCUACAUAUUCUACGAAGAUCUUUAUCGAUCAAACCGCAUAACAACAUACGUUGUUCCCUUUGUCAUCGAUAUGUUACUUGCCCGAGAUUCGAUCAUCGGUAUCUCAAUACCUAGUUCAAUCUCAUUACCGGCAAGUCUCUUUACUCGUUCCGUAAUGCAUCAUCCGCAACUAACUCAUUAGUUAUAUUGCUUGCAAGGCUUAUAGUGAUGUGCAUUACCGAGAGGGCCUAGAGAUACCUCUCCCACAAUCAGAGUGACAAAUCCUAAUCUCGGUCUAUGCCAACUCAACAAUUACCAUCGCUGACACCUGUAGAGCACCUUUAUAAUCACCCAGUUACGUUGUGACGUUUGGUAGCACACAAAGUGUUCCUCCGGUAUCCGGGAGUUGCAUAAUCUCAUAGUCAUAUGGACAUGUAUAAGUCAUGAAUAAAGAAAUAGUAAUGUACUAAACGAUCAAGUGCUAAGCUAACGGAAUGGGUCAAGUCAAUCACAUCAUUCUCUAAUGAUGUGAUCCCGUUAAUCAAAUGACAACUCAUGUCUAUGGCUAGGAAACUUAAUCAUCUUUGAUUCAACGAGCUAGUCAAGUAGAGGCAUACUAGUGACACUUUGUUUGUCUAUGUAUCCACACAUGUACUAAGUUUCCGGUUAAUACUAUUCUAGCAUGAAUAAUAAAUAUUUAUCAUGAAAUAAGGAAAUAAAUAAUAACUUUAUUAUUUCCUCUAGGGCAUAUUUCAUUCAGGAAAUAGAUAAUGCACGUAAUGAAAAAUUAGUGAUGUAACUCCUUUUGACUUAGGUUCUAACUAAUAAAAACUUCUGCACAUGCCAUGUUUAAUAAUAACUCACAGAACAUCUUUUUCUCCCAACAAUUCUAAUUUAUACAAACUUUUGGAUAAAUAUAUAUCAAAAGUGCUCGCCUGUUUAAGCGCGACCGUUGUUGACUAGUUAUCGGCUAAUGGUAGAUGGAGACAUGGUGGAAAUACGACGGACUGCUAGACACAUGCAUCUGACUAGGGCAGUUACUUCUAUGCGUCGAACAUGUCUUUGAAUAUUGCAGAAAAUGGGCGGUUUCAUAUGAAGUAGUAGCCCAGACUUGUUUGAUCGAUGCCAUAAAUAUGAACGGAUUGUCUUUUCAAAAAGGAGCUCAAAACACCCGGCAUAUCAACAAAAUACUGUAGAGAGCUAAUUGAAAAUGCGGAAAACAAGAUCCAUUUCAUGGUUUACAGCACAGACAUCAAACAACAUGAGGUCAAGCCUAAUUAAGGUCCAAAGAAUAUCACGUGAACCAUAUGCUCAGAGUUUAUAUCCAUAGGAAAAUGAUACAACAUAUGAUAUUAUAUCUCAAUCAUGGAGUCGGCACGUCCUGAACCAAAUGGGCAUAUGCACCCACUUUUUGAAAUAUGCAUUUUAAACAUGUUUUAAAAUGUCUAAAAAUUCAAAAGAAAAUUUCACAUAUACAUGUUCACAUAUGUGUGUGCACGGCACAAAGUUUUGUGAAAAAAAUGUCUCUUCGAUUUGUCUCCGCAAAAAAGACAAAUUUUGAUGCUUCUAAAUAGAGUUUUAUGACAUAUUUUUUUGUCUUUUUUGCACAUGCCACAAAAAAUUAUUUUUCCACGAAACUUUAUGCACGCACAUAAACACAUGAAGGCGUCUCCGUGCAACCUUUUUCAGUUUAUUUUAGCAUUUAGAAAUGUGUUUUUCAAAAUGGGUUCAUAUGUACCCGAAUUCAUCGAUGCACUUUCCCUCAAUCAUGGCAGUACAUCAAGCAGGCAGCAACAUGGCAUCCACCAUGAUAUCUUUUAUUGUAGCAACUAGCAACGAAAGAAAAUACAGACAAGCACAUAAACAAACCGACACACUGGUUUGGGUACUCUCAAUGGGAUCCAGUUUUAUUGAACACGAAGGCGAGACAUAACUUUGG
This 134278-nucleotide long non-coding RNA is filed under the name Triticum aestivum (bread wheat). RNAcentral describes it as "long non-coding RNA (TAES_LNC010761)". The record is from RNAcentral. Lineage: Eukaryota; Viridiplantae; Streptophyta; Magnoliopsida; Poales; Poaceae.